This 90880-nucleotide long non-coding RNA is filed under the name Medicago truncatula (barrel medic). Its description in RNAcentral is "long non-coding RNA (MTRU_LNC004284)". The stretch from base 16722 to 16828 matches the Rfam family "Plant small nucleolar RNA R71". Lineage: Eukaryota; Viridiplantae; Streptophyta; Magnoliopsida; Fabales; Fabaceae. The record is from RNAcentral.
UUUUUUUUUUUUUUUGAGCAAACGUUAUUUAAAUCUUAAAAUGUGUCGCCGAAUAGUUCCAAAGAUUUGGUUGAGUGAUAAAAAUAUAAUAUUUUGGGGCAAAUUCUAUGAUACACCCAAUAUAUUUGAGUGUACCGGUACACUCCUUCUUUAAAUUAAUAACUAAAUGAGUUGUUUUUUGAAGAAAAAUAUUUUUUUUUAUCACUUAUAAUUAUAAUAACUAAAUCUUAUUCAUCAAAAGUGUCAACGAAAUAAAAUUAAUUUUUUUUGAAUUUUUAUCACUCAUAAUUGAGAACAUUGAUUAUUUUUUACGAUAAUGUGUAAAAACAAUUAUAAAUUUUUUUAUAAACAAUAAAAUGAUGUUUUUUCUUAUAAAAUAAUGUUCUAUAAAACAUAAAUAUUAACAAAUAGCUAUUUAUUACACAAAAAAGAAUCGUUUAUUUAUAAAAUUAUGAAGGAAGAGUACGGGUACACCUCACUUUGUGAGAAGUGAGUGUACCGUAGAAGUUCUCAUAUUUUGAAGGUUGUGGGUUCGAAUCUUAGUAAUCUCUUUAUUUUCACCGUCAGACAUCUUUGCUUUGACCCUAAAUUUUCAUAAAAAAAUGUACCAUAAACUUGGAACUACAAAACGGUCUAAUUAACUCACCUAUACAUUUAGUAAAAAAAUAAAAUUAAUUUGUAUCAAGGGAGAUUGGAUGAUUAAUGAGUAGUCUAGUAUAUAGCAUUGUAAACUGAGUCCAUGUUUAAUUCAUUUACUUUGCUAAAAUUUUACUUUGUUUUAAGAAAGACAUACACAAAUGGUAAAUUAGUAAGACUCUUUUAAUAAAUGGACCGACUAAUGGGUUCAAUUCUUCUAUCAUUAACCCUUUUGUUUGGUUGUUCAGUUAGAAAUUCCUUUGUUGUCCCAAAGCAAUUGUAAGAGUUAUUUCUAGGGACCAAUUUAGGUUUGACUUUUUGUUAUGUGUAUAAUUUUGAUACAAUGAAACGCCAUUUUGCAAUGUUAAACCAAUUGUAAGCAAAUGGAUAAUAUAUAUGAGGCAUGAAAAGGGUAAAGCUUAAGUCAAUAAAACAAAGUGACUUUUGUUGUCCUUAAAGUGUAUGCAAAUUCAAUAGUUUGAAAAUAAUUGCAAGCUAUAUACAACAAAAACAUGGGUGUGGCAUCACUUGUUCAAUCAUGAGUUGCUUUCAGCUGAGAUGGCAAGGGAAUUUCCUAGCGAAUGUUACAAUACAUAAUGUCUACGAAUAUAUAACAUUAUAAAAAAAGUUGAAUAAGCAUCUAUGGUUAAUUUUAUGCAUAAAAAAUGGAUGAUCUAUGGUUAAUUUUUAAUCCGAAGUCAUCUCUUUAAAUUGUUUUACCUUUUUCUUUUAACUUAAUUAGGGUCUGUUUGGUAAGCCCACUAAAUGAGCUUAUAGUUUAUAGCUUAUAGUCUAUCAUCUUUUCUUCCAUUUAUACCCUUAUUAUUUUAUCUAAAAACAAAUUUUACCCAUUAUAAUUUAUCACUCCUAUAAUUAAAAAUAACACAUUAAUUAUUGUAAUAAAUACCAUGCCUUAAAAAAGUCUCGUUAGAUUUAAACGAAUAUAAUUUAUACCGUACAUUUAAACGAAUAUAACCUUUUGUAACCAAAAAAACGAAUAUAACCUGUGGUUAAAAAAAAAAAAAAAAAUUGCAUCAUACAUGUAACAUUUGUGUUUUUAAUCUUUUAUCAUGACUACAUGAUUUUUAUACAAUUGUGUUUGAUUUUGCUAAAAUAAAAUACAACUGUGCUAUGUAUAUAUACGAUUUUACCUUUAUUAGUUAGUUGAACCGCUAAUUUUACCAAACACUUUAAUUAGCUUAUCAGUCGUUAGCUAUAAGCUAUCAGCUAUCAGCUAUAAGCUAUAAGCUAACUUAUAAGCUAUCCGCUAUUUUUACCAAACAGAGCCUAAGUGAUUUUCACAUGUAUUUAGUUUAUAGUUUUUUAUGAAGCUAAAAUGGAAUAUAGUUAAACAGAAAUGGUUCAACUAACACAAGAUGUGCCAAAAAGAACCACCCAAAAAGAUUACAACGUUAAAUGCCUGUUGCCAUAAAGCACAACGAAAAAACAAGCAAAGGAAACUACUCCCUAACACCCAUACAUGAUAAAGGGCUCCGCCACCCGUCAUUGUAACCGAAAGUGGAAGUGAACAUCUUAGCUUUUAACCAAGUAAACGACAAAAACUUGACAUCAUCUAACACCUUAGACAAAUCCUGAGCUUUGUUGUUAAAUAUCCUGUUAUUUUGGUCCUUCCAAAUGACCCAAACAGUAGUAUGCCAAAUCACUUGGAGGUAAGAGUGAACAUAUCGCGGGAAACCCGCCAAACCACCAAAUUGAUGAAAAUGAUCAGCCACCGAGGCAUGGGAUAUGAAAGAAAUACCAACCCACCUGUAAAUUGGUUUCCAUAAAAUGCUAAAAAUGUCACAACACAAAAUGAGAUGAACCGCCGUCUCCUGUGUGCGACACCCUCCUACACAUGCCAUGGCAUCCUGAUGAAGUAUUGUAACACCCCGUUACUCAAAUUCAAUUAAAUAACAAAUAAACAUACAUCUGAAUAAUUCCCAAACGGGCAUGUCACACUACAAUUUCAAAUUUCUUAAAUAGAAUAUAAAAUCUAUUUAACUAAACAUCCUUCAAAAUCAUCAUUUAACUUGCAGCGGAAUAUUUUCGACUUUAAUUAACAAAAACAUCCAAUAUAAUUAAUCUCCAAUAAAUAUUCAUGGCAUAAAAGCCUCAUCAAGGAAAUCCAAACAUCAAUAGGGCUACAACAUCAAUAUUCAAAAUUUCAUACAUAGGAAAGAAGUUAAGCAAUAAAAUCUCAUCCCACGUAUCAGAGCCCUAGACACUUUGAGCCACCACCUACUACUCAGGAUCACCUGCAAGUUACCCAUAUGAAGGGCAAUGUAACACCCCGUUUUCCCAAUAUACCAAUUUCUUAAAUCAUUUAUCAGAGUAAGCAUCAUAAACAACGGGAUAUCACAUAUAACAUAAUCUAAACAGUUAAAUAAUAAUUUAACCAAAUAUCUUAAACAUUGCAGCGGAAAUUAUAUCAUAAUCCAUAAAACGUUUUGGCACGCAGGCCCCAUCAAAAUAAUCUUAAAAGAGUCAGUUCAAUAUAACAAAUAGCAUAUUAUUCACGUAAUAGAACGAAGCAUGCAUAACAUAUAGCCCCAUCACGUUACGUAUCAGAGCGACCUAGACGACACAGUGAAGGCAAGGCCACUCACGACGGAAACUGCACACUAAGCGCGAUCACCUGCAAGUUACCCAUACGAAGGGCAACAUUUUCAAGCAGAAGGGGUGAGAUUUCAUAACAAAAUAAUGUUAAUCAAAGUAAUUUGAAUCAUAAUUAACAUCAUAUCAAUCUUAAACAACUUUGCAUAUUUGAUAAACAAUCAUCACCUAAUCACAUAUUCAAUCGUCAUCAACAACAUAACAUACUAGACAUGACAAUGCGACAAUUCUCUUAGACUCCUUAUAUGCAUGUGGUACCAAUCGUCAUCAUAAGUAUUAAUAUACUUUAACGUGCGGAGGACAAAGCUCCUAAUAAAUCGUGCGGAGGACAAAGCUCCUAAUAAUCGUGGUGAGGACUAAGCUCAAUGAAUGCUAAUGCAUGGACUCUUAUCAACAAAUCACCGUAAUCAACAUAUCAAUAAGCAUCCAAUAAUUUGGAGCUAAACGUCAUCUUAUUCCUCAUAUAUAGACAUUAUGCACUUAGUUAAAUAACAGCAGCAGCAUAGUCAAGUCACACAACAACAGGAUGAUAUCAAUAUAUCAAUUGCAAUUCAAUGGCAUCAUAAUAUUUCAUUCAAAAUCUUACAUAAUGUAUAAUACAUCAGUUCAUGCUUAAUUAAUAUCAACAUAUCUUAAACGGCUUUACAGAUUGCAUUAAACGUCAUCAUUAGGUUUCAUUACCAAUUAGGGUUUCACUCUUGAUCAAACGUGCGAUACAGAUCGCACAAACACUCAAUGCACUCUUAUCUGGAAGUGCUCGCGAGGCGAGAGUUCCUACUCGCCAUGGCAAGUACCAGACAAAACCAAACUAAAGCUGUUCUGGGUUUAAUCUUGUCCUACAUUCAUCCCUAAUCAAUACUAGGUAUGUUCAAGCACUCAAAGGCACUCAAGGUCAAACUAAAAAGUCGAAAAUACAAAAUCUAACAUGCUCUCUUCCUUAGCUCGCUAUGGCGAGUAAGGUUGCUCGCUGUGGCGAGCUGCAUUGCACAACUCGCUAGGCGAGGAAAAAGGGGUCGCGAGGCGAGUGAUGAAUGUGCAUCACUCACGAGGCGAGAUUCAUAGCUCGCCGUGGCGAGCGAUGAAUGUCGCUACGGCCAGACAUCCUAUUUUCACAAAAAUUCAACGAUUCACAUGGUUCUAAGCCUGAUAUUGAUUCCAAAGUUCGUCCUAAACAUGAUCUAAGGUCUAGGGGCAUUUUCUACAUCAAUUUAUCCAAUUCCUACCGUUCGAUUAUCAAUUCUAGGGAUUUGACCUAGUUUUCGUUUUCUCCAAUUCAAUCCUAAAGCUUGCUAACUAAUCAUCAGAAUUACAAUCAAUUAACAUUACUGAGUUAUUAGUCUCACCCUUACCUGGUUAUGAAGAAAUCGCAGCCCUCUCUUGAUCUUCUCCCUUCUAAGUUUUUUCUCCAUUUUCCAAAAGUUUUCACGUACAAUGGUUUUUCUAACAAUUAGGUCUUCUCUAUUUAUAUCUCCUCUUAAUAACUUAUCUUAUCUCACUUUCUCCCCCAAAACUAUCUAAAAUCUCAAAACAACCCUUAACUAAAUAUUUUAUAUUAUUUUCAAAUCUUUAUUUUAUUUAACAAUAAAAUAAGUCCCUUACUCUUAUCAAAUCUUCCAAAACUCAUAGCUUAUCAUAAUAUCAACCAAACCAUCAAUAUAGUCGUAAAUCAUUCAAAUCAUACCAAAAUAAUGAAUAUAUUAUAUAAAUAUAAUAUAAUCGCCUAAAGUCGAUUAAAUAAACAAUUAACGAAAGUGGGCGUUACAUAGAACAUGAUGGUAUUUUGAUGUUUUCCUUGAUGGCUUCCUUAUCUAUUGAGAAUCAAACAGUGAUUGAUAAACUACAAGUGGUAUGCGAUUUUCCAGAAGUAUUUCCUGAUGAAAUUCCUGAUGUGCCUCCAAAGAGGGAAGUUGAAUUUUCGAUUGAUCUUGUUCCUGGAACGAAGCCUGUGUCUAUGACACCUUAUCGUAUGUCAGCUUCUGAGUUGGCCGAGUUGAAGAAAUAAUUAGAAGAUUUACUUGAGAAAAAGUUUGUUAGACUAAGUGUUUCGCCUUGGGGAGCGCCCGUUUUGCUAGUGAAGAAGAAAGAUGGUAGCAUGAGGUUGUGUAUUGAUUAUCAACAGUUGAACAAUGUAACAAUAAAGAAUAGGUAUCCACUUCCGAGAAUUGAUGAUUUGAUGGAUUAGUUAGUGGGUGCACGUGUUGUCAGCAAGAUUGAUUUGAGAUCAGGUUAUCACCAGAUUAAAGUAAAAGAUGAAGAUAUGCACAAGACAGCUUUCAGAACGCGUUAUGGACAUUAUGAGUAUAAAGUUAUGCCUUUCGGUGUUACAAAUGCACCUGGAGUAUUUAUGGAGUACAUGAAUCGCAUCUUUCAUGCAUUUUUGGAUCGGUUCGUGGUUGUUUUUAUUAAUGAUAUUUUGAUUUACUCCAAGUCUGAAGAAGAGCAUGCUGAGCAUUUGAAGCUGGUUUUGUAAGUGUUGAAAGAGAAGAAGCUUUAUGCGAAAUUGUCUAAGUGUGAAUUCUGGUUGAAAGAAGUGAGCUUUCUUGGACAUGUUAUUUGUGGUAGUGGUAUUGCAGUAGAUCUGUCUAAAGUUGAAGCAAUAUCGCAAUGGGAGACUCCUAAGUCGGUUACUGAGAUUAGAAGCUUUUUGGGAUUGGCUGGUUAUUACAGAAGAUUUAUAGAAGGAUUUUCCAAGUUAGCACUUCCGCUAACACAGUUGACUUGCAAAGGUAAAGCCUUUGUGUGGGAUGUUCAAUGUGAGAAUAGUUCCAGUGAAUUGAAGAAGCGGUUGACGACAACUCCAGUUUUGAUUUUGCCAAAGUCAGAUGAACCUUUUGUGGUAUAUUGUGAUGCGUCCAAGCUGGGUUUAUGUGGUGUGCUUAUGCAAGAUGGUAAAGUAGUAGCUUAUGCUUCGAGAUAGUUGAGAAUUCAUGAGAAGAAUUACCCUACGCACGAUUUAGAGUUGGCUGUUGUGGUCUUUGUAUUGAAGAUAUGGAGACAUUACUUGUAUGGUUCGAGAUUUGAGAUAUUUAGUGAUCAUAAGAGUUUGAAGUAUCUGUUUGAUCAGAAGGAAUUGAAUAUGAGGCAGCGUAUAUGGCUUGAAUUGUUGAAGGACUAUGAUUUUGAGUUGAGCUAUCAUCCAGGUAAAGCUAAUGUUGUUGCAGAUGCUUUGAGUAGGAAGACCUUGCAUAUGUCUGCCAUGAUGGUAAAGGAGUUCGAGUUGCUUGAACAAUUCAGAGAUUUGAGUUUAGUUUGUGAAAUGUUAUCUGAAAGUGUGAAGCUAGGAAUGCUGAAGAUUGAUAAUGAAUUCCUGAAGAGUAUUAAAGAAGCGCAAAAAGUUGAUGUUAAGUUUGUAGACUUGUUGGUUGCUAGUGAUCAGACUGAAGACAGUGACUUUAAAAUCGAUGAUCAAGGUGUGUUGAGGUUUCGAGGUAGGAUUUGUAUUCCAGACGAUGAUGAGAUGAAGAAAAUGAUUCUUGAAGAGAGUCAUAGAAGUAACUUGAGUAUUCAUCCGGGAGCUACGAAGAUGUAUCAUGAUCUAAAGAAGUUGUUUUGGUGGUCUGGAUUGAAACGCGAUGUUGCACAGUUUAUGUAUUCUUGUUUGAUUUUUCAGAAGUCGAAGGUUGAGCAUCAGAAACCUGCUGGUAUGAUGGUGUCUUUAGAUGUGCCAGAGUGGAAAUGGGAUAGUAUAUCCAUGGAUUUUGUGACGAGUUUGCCGAAUACUCCUAAAGGGAAUGACGCGAUUUGGGUGAUUGUUGAUAGAUUGACUAAGUCGGCUCAUUUUCUUAUGAUUAAUAUCAGUUUUCCUGUUUCUCAGUUGGCAGAGAUUUAUAUUCGAGAUAUUGUGAAGUUGCAUGGUGUUCCUUCGAGCAUUGUGUCAGAUAGAGAUCCAAGAUUUACUUCUAGAUUUUGGAAAAGUUUGCCAGAGGCUUUAGGUUAUAAGUUGAGGUUGAGUUCGGCGUAUCAUCCGCAAACUGAUGGUUAGUCGGAGAGGACGAUUCAGUCGUUAGAAGAUUUGUUGAGAGUUUGUGUACUUGAGGAAGGAGGAACUUGAGAUAGUCAUCUUCCAUUGAUAGAGUUCACGUACAAUAAUAGUUAUCAUUCUAGUAUUGGAAUGGCACCUUACGAGACUUUGUGUGGUCGGAGAUGCAGAACUCCGUUGUGUUGGUUUGAGUCAGGUGAAAGAGUAGUCUUAGGACCAGAGAUUGUUCAACAAAUUACUUAGAAGGUUAAGAUGAUUCAAGAGAAGAUGAAAGUUUCGGAGAGUCGACAAUAGAGUUACAAUGAUAAGCGUAGGACAGAUCUUGAGUUUCAAGAAGGAGACCACGUAUUUGUGAGAGUCACUCCUGUGACUGGUGUUGGACGAGCUUUGAAGUCAAAGAAGUUGACCCCGAGAUUUAUUGGUCCGAAUCAGAUAUCGGAAAGAGUUGGAACGAUGGCGUAUCAAGUGGGUUUACCACCGCAUCUUUCGAAUUUGCACUUUGUGUUUCAUGUGUCGCAACUUCGGAAGUAUGUAUCGGAUCCCUCCCAUGUGAUCCAAAGUGAUGAUGUGCAAGUUAGAGAUAACCUUACGGUUAAGACUUUACCGAUAAGGAUUGAUGAUCGAAAAGUGAAGACGUUCAGAGGCAAAGAGAUACCUCUUGUGAGAGUCGUUUGGGACAGAGCGACUUGUGAAAGCUUAAUGUGGGAGCUAGAGAGUAAGAUGCUGAAUCUUAUCCAUAGUUGUUUGCUUGAGGUAAAUUUUCGAGGACGAAAAUCUUAUAAGUUGGGGAGAGUUGUAACGCCCGUUUCGAAUUGUUUAAUUAUUUAAUUAUUUAAUUGAGUCUAGAAGUUAUUUAGAUUAGUUUAUAUUAUAUUUAUAUGAUAUAUGUGUGAUUUAAGAGGUUUAUAUGAUUGAGGUGGUUUUAUAUGAUUUUAUGAGGAGUUGUGACUUAUUUUGUUGUGUCGCGUCAUUUUUCGGAGAUCAAAGCUAUUUGAUUAGCUAUUUGACUCACUAAUUUAUUUCACGACUAAACAUUUAAUUUUUUAAGAAAAAGGGGAAAAAAGUUCAAAACACCCCAUAUUGAGAGAUUUAGGGUUCGGGGGUUGGUUAUAUUUAGGGAAGGUAUUAGCAUCCUAAAUAUUCGUAGUACUCUACGAGAACCUCUUGAUUUUAUUUAAUUAAUGUGCUAUAAACUUGCUUAUUAUUUUUGAAAAGAAAGAAUUAAAGUGGAAAAAUAAAAGACCUAAUUAUCUACAUUUUAUUGAUUUGGAAGGACAUGGUCCUCUGCCUACGUACCCGUGAGGGAUCAAAACCUCGUAGUUCGGGGUAGAAAAUGACGUUUUAUUUGUUUGGUAUUUUUUAUUUGUUUUGAAAAAAGGUUUUAAAAUGAAAAGCCAAGUGGCAAAUAAGAAUUUGUUUGUAUUUUUUAUAUUAAAAGAAAAUGACUAAAAAUAUGAUUAAAUUGGUUAAAGUUUGAUUAAGAAAAUAAAAUAAAAGACGGUCACUUGAUUUAAGAUCAAGGUUUGUUUAUGAAAAUAUUUUUGUGAUUUUUGAUUAUUUGCAUGUUUUUGUUGUUUUUUGGAAUAUUAAAUGAAAAUUAAACUAACGGAGCAAUAAAAAUAAAAGCGCGUGGAUUUUUGUAGUGACGUUGUAUCACCACAAAAUCCCUAAUCUAAUUUUUUUGAAUUUUUGGAUAUAUCUAAGGCGGUAAAGAAAUAAAAGGACACACACACCCACACACUUUUCUCAUUUAUAUUUACAUUGAACCUAAAUACAUUCUAAUUGCUGGAAAAUAGAUAACAAUAUAAUUAAAAUGCUAAAUAAAAUAAAAUAAAAAUGCUAAAAUGCUAAAAAGAAAUAAAAUGCAAGAAAAUAAAAUAAAUGGACAACCAAAGGGACAAAAAUUACCGAAGGAACAAAAUUUCGAAGGGACUUUCCGAAGGGACAGAAAAAAGGAGGAGAAGAAAAGAAUAGCUCGUCAACACAAGCUAAGAGGGAGAAGAGAGAAAAGUUCUUUGACAACUCAAUAGAACUUUUGGUGUCUGAAAUUGUGUGGAAUGAGAGCUCUAUUUAUAGGUGAGGAGGUUGAUGAAAAAUGGAAAAUUGGUUUAAUGGAAAUGAUGGACAAUUAUGGUGAAUUUUGAAAAAGGAAUGUCAAAGUUGACACUUGACUUGAAUUUUUUUUAGACGUUGGACAUUUUAUUCUUGGACCUAUUGACACUUUGUUUUUUUGGGACACUAAUUAAUUAAAAGAAAUAAAAUAAAAAUAAAAUAAAUCUAAUACGAAAUAAAAUAAAAAACAAAUUAAACUAAAUUAUGUAAAGAAAAAUAAAAUUAAAAGAUGGAAAAUAAAAAUUAUUAAAUAUAAAAAAUAGUAACUAACCUUAAAAUAAAAAUCAAUAAAAGAUGGAAAUUAGAUAAUGAAAUAAAAAGAUAAAAAAGAAAGAAAAGAGGGCCCGACUCGAAAUCAAAAUUGAGGUAUUUUAAAAUACCUCUCUGCCGAAUUUUCAUUGAAAAAUCAGAGAUCGAUCAGAGUCAAGUGACACGGCCUUAGGUAAAAAAUUGGGGUAUGACAGAUGCCCCUAUUUAAGUUUCUUCGUCAGGAGAUUUGAAGAUGAAAUCUUUGAUUUGACGAGUCGAAGAGACUUAAAUACAAAGUACACCAUUUUUGACCUAAGAUCCUACGGAUGCAUGUGAUGCAAUUUAUGAAUACAGGAUGAUUUGAUUUGAAUGAGAAAUAACAACGGGACACCCGAAUUCGUUGAAGAAAAAGGGGUCCAACUCCGCUAGGGGAAUGUAGUUUCACUAGGGAAAAUGAUUGUCUACUAUCGUAUUGAUAGCUUAACAGAGACGAUUGAUACUUUUACCUAACUAUCGAUGAGAUAGCUUAACAAAGGUAAGAAUGAAAGAAAAACUAUCGUCUAACUAUCGUUGAAAUGAUAGCUUAACAAAGACAAAUGAUACUUUUACCUAACUAUCGAUGAGAUAGCUUAACAAAGGUAAGAAUGAAAGAAAAACCAUCGUCUAACUACCGUUGAAAUGAUAGCUUAACAAAGACAAAUGAUACUUUUACCUAACUAUCGAUGAGAUAGCUUAACAAAGGUAAGAAUGAAAGAAAAACCAUCGUAUAACUAUCGUUGAAAUGAUAGCUUAACAAAGACAAAUGAUACUUUUACCUAACUAUCGAUGAGAUAGCUUAACAAAGGUAAGAAUGAAAGGAAAACCAUCGUCUAACUACCGUUGAAAUGAUAGCUUAACAAAGACAAAUGAUACUUUUACCUAACUAUCGAUGAGAUAGCUUAACAAAGGUAAGAAUGAGAGAAAAACCAUCGUCUAACUACCGUUGAAAUGAUAGCUUAACAAAGACAAAUGAUACGUUUACCUAACUAUCGAUGAGGUAGCUUAACAAAGGUAAGAAUGAAAGAAAAACUAUCGUCUAACUAUCGUUGAAAUGAUAGCUUAACAAAGACAAAUGAUAUUUUUACCUAACUAUCGAUGAGAUAGCUUAACAAAGGUGACGAGAUAAAACCGCAAGUGCACGGUCUUACCGAAGUAGUACAAAAGAGUAUCGUUCCGACAGGGAGUAGUUCAAUUUAAUUAACCUUUAGAGAUGAUUAGAAGAGAAAAGAGAUUUUAAAUUGGGGGUUUUAAACGGUUAAAAGCAAUAUAAUAAAAGAGCCUUGGGAUCGUUGGUUUUAUCUAAGUGACAAGUCCUUCUCAAACCAAAACCAUAAGCUUAUAAUGUUAUGUUAGACCUAAUUUCUCAAGACAGUUUCUCUUAAGUUCCUCUAGCAACCAAGCCUAUUUCGCUGACCUGAUUACUAUUGGAUUUUGGUUCCUCUAACAACCAAGCCUAUUUCGCUGACUUGAUUGUUAUUAGUUCCCUUGAAGAUCGAAACUAUAUGUCUCAAAGAUUGCAAAGCCUAUUUCGCUGACUUUGCAAUCCUUGUCUGAAUUCACUUGUUCGAAUAUCAAAGCUCCACUUUCGUUUUAUGAAUUGAUAUUUGGAAUAAUGGAUGAACAAUUAUCAAACCCUCCACUUUCGUUCCCACAGUUUGAUAAUGGUUAAUCCAUGUUAAGACGGUGAAUUCAGAUAAGAAAUUAGGGUUACAUAAGAUUAAGGCUUAGGGCUUGGUUUGAUUAGGAUUAUGUCAUUUAGACUUAUCCAACAAUCCCAAGACAAGAAGAAGUCUACUCACUCAUGUUCAUCGUAGACAUGGGGGAGAAGAGAGAAAGCAUGAAAGUAAAAGACAAUGAAAUAAAGGAAAAGAACUUUAUUUAGAAAAGCAAAUGUCACUUAUUGUAUUCCAAGUAAAGAUGAAUAUUAGUGAUGGCUAGCUACUCUAUUUAUAGUACACAAUUGACUUAAAAUCUAAGCAAGUAUAUUCCUAGAAUAUUCCUCGGUAGAUUGUGCGUCAAAAUAGAAUAGCUUGGAGUCAAAGCAAAAGCAGCAAAAGGCAUCUGGAGGGUGGCACGGCCGUGCCAAGGCUAGCACGGGCCGUGCCAAGCUUCUGACUUGUGGGAGAUAUAUUUUGUUUCCCAAUCUUCAUGUUUUUGUGUCCAAUCUGCUCCAAAUCCCUUUCUUUUGCUCCAAGACUCUCUCCAUCCAAUAUUCUUCCCUGAAAUAUAAUAAAUUGCAUUUUAAAGUAAACUAUCCUAAAAAGGAAAUAAUACUAAUAUAAAAUUAUAUAAAAUCUAAUUAAAACUAAACUAAAAAGCAUAUUAAAAUAACAUAUAAAUGAUUCAUCAAACUCCCCCAUACUUGAAUCUUUGCUUGUCCUCAAGCAAAAGGCAUAAACAUAGUAACAUCAACAGUUAAAUCAAAUGACAAUUAAUUAAAGCACAUGUCUCCUCAAGGGCUUAAAUCCCAAAAUGUACACUAAUCACAAACUCAAGUAUUUCUUGAAAUCUUUAUUCUACCCAACAAUCAAGUUUCAAGUGAGAGUGUGUGUGAAGUCCAACCCUUUUCUUGCUCCUGUAUAAAAUAGGUAUAAUGAGGAAACAUGGUCUAAUCUUAGCACUAAACUAACCAAGAAAAAUUCCUUCUACAAUUCAUAUAAAAGAGAUGGGAGUUUUUGAGAAUCUUUGUUCUUUUGCCAUAUGCACAUUUUAAGUUCUUUAUUUAAGGGACAACAUUUUCACGUAGGAGGUCGGAGGGCCUACCCCCUUCCCCAAUCUAGAUUCAAUGAUAUUCCUUAAAACAUCGUCUUCACGUAGGAAGUCGGAGGGCCUACCUCCUUCCCCAAUCUAGUUUCAACAAUGCUUUUAUCAGUUUUUCUCAAGAUAACAAUCACCUUCACGUAGGAAGUCGGAGGGCCUACCUCCUUCCCCAAUCUAGAUUCAGUGAUGAGAUCUUGGAAUUAUUUGGCUUUUUGGCUUUUUAUGAUCUCCCUUAUACUCACUUAUACUACUGGCGCUUUGAGAAUUUUUAAAGGUUAAUGCACCAUUAAGAUUAGAACGCGUUUCCUUAAAAUACCUAUUCAUACAUUUACUCAAGGGAAGCAACUUUGUGUUUUUCUCAUUGGAGAAUUUUAUUCACUUUGAAACAAGAUGUGGUUAUAUCAAGAAGACUUAAAACACAAGAGUUUGCUUUCAUGUACAAGAGUCAACAAAAUAAGAGGAGACAAUGAAAAUUUUUGUGUCAUGAUUUUUUUUUCAAUAAAAAUUAGCUACUUAACUAUGCCUUUUACAAUAAAACAGAACAAAAGAAUAAAGUUCAAGGGAGUUUGGAAAUACUACGACUACUGACACUUUAUUAGGCUCCCCCCACACUUAGGAGAAGCAUUGUCCUCAAUGAUUCAAGAUAAAAAGAAAAAUAACAGAGAAGUAGAGGUAGAAGAAGAAGAAGCAGAAGAAGAAGGAGAAGGAUAAGAAGGGAAGAGUGGAAGAGGAAAGCUCACAGUUUUAUCAUUGAGGUCCAUAUGGAGGACCUUGGAGGUGAAAGUGGUGCAUCAUGUUCCGAAGCAUUUGGUUAUUUUCUUCGGAUAUGCGGUUGCCCCUUUGGACAUCAUGCCUUAUGCUCAUGAGUUCAACACCUUGCCUUUGUUGCUCGGUGUUUAUUCUUUCAACCUCGGUAGUCAUCCAUUCCCAUCUCGCAUCUUCAUUUGUUUCAUCUUCAUUAGGGUCAUGGUAUUCCUCAUCAUGGUGCAGUUGUGCACCUUCCUCUUCUUGAUGCAAGUGUGCAUCCUCUGUUUCUUCAUUAUGCUGCUCUAUGUGCACCUGUGGGUCAUCUUCAACAUACAACAAAUUUGCUUCCACCUCGGUGUUAGUUCGAGAUGGGUUAGGCAAUAAAAUUAAGAUGGGCACAUUCAGUUGGAGUGUAUAGACAAAGGGGACUCGAGUUUUUAUGAAAUUCAUAGAGAUGAGAGUUUCUAUGUUUAGUCUAUUGUUACCCUCGAUCUUGUUUAUCCCUAGGUCUUCAUUCACACCGAAUCGCCCAGCUAUGUAUGUUAUAAUACCCCCCACUACUAUUUCUCCCCUACUAUCGGACCUAUUUCCUAUAAGGGAAAGGUAGUCAAGCAAGUAAAAACAAGUGUUAAUGGUUUGGUUGUGCAACAUAGCCCAAAGCAUGAAGAGUUCAUCAUUCCUAGUGUUCCCCAAUUCUUUCCGUCCCCUAAGGUACCUAAGUACGGGGUUGUGAAUGUUGCUAGCUUUGUUUGCACGUGUGUUAAAUUGGUCAAGACCGGUGAUUUGCUCCCAAAAGGCGGCGGGUUGAUAGUUAACCGGUUUUAAAUUUUGAUCCCAAGAGUCGUGGAUGAACCCCGCAUUGGCGAAGCCCAUCUCAUCACAGAAGUGUUGAAGAAACAUCUCAUAAUCAAUAUUCAAAAGCCGGAAAGAAACUCUAUGGUUAGGGUUAUCAAAGUUCAACCUAUAUUUCGUAAAAACAAUAGAACUUAAAAAUUCAUAGGUGAAGUUUUCAUACCCUCGCAUAGGUCUCAACAUAUCAACCCAUCCUAGCCUUUCUAGCAGUUUUAACACAUUAUCCUUAAUACCUAGCUUAUUCAUGUCAUGGUUAUCAGGGUACCUGCAAGGUUGUAGAGGUUUAGAGAUUAGAAGUUUGUACCUAUCCCUUUGCUUGUUGUCCCGGAAGAUGAUGCCAUGAUUUUUGGCUUGUGCCUUCUUCUUUGGGGGAGGUCCCCCGGAUGAGCUUGCAACUUCCUUUCCACUUCUCUUUGAAGUCAUUGCCCUGACCUUGCCUUUGGUGUGGUGGUUUGGUUAAGGGUUGUUUUGGUGGAAAAAGGUUGCACUAGCGUUGUGUUGAAGGUUUAUGUGAGUUUUUGAGGUUGGGUUAGGGAGGUUGGUGACAAAUUUAUGGUUUUUGGGUUAGGUUAUGGAGGGUUACGAAUUUGGGUGAUGUUGGUUGGGGUGGAUGAAAGUUGUUUUGGAAUGGUGGGUUAUGAUUGGAAUGGUGUUAGUGAUUGAUUGGGUGGAGAAAUUUUGUGAAUGGGUGUGAUUUGGGGGUAGUUGUGAAGGUUUGUAGUUGUAUGGUUAUGGAGGUUUGAGAGAGAAGGUGUGAAGUAGAGAGAAGUUUGUGUUGGAGAGUGAGGGAAGAAGAAGAUGAAAAGGUGGGUUUAUCCUUACCUGUAGUCGGGCACGGCCGUGCCAACCUUAGCACGGGCCGUGCCAACAUUCUGGACUUGGCUCUAUGUUUGGUUAUUGAAGAGAUGGCACGGCCGUGCCAGUGUGAGCACGGGCCGUGCCAAGGUUCUGGAGGGCUAGGCUUCAAAAUUUUCUGUUUUCUUGAAUUUUUUUCCGGACAAUAACCUACAAAAUAAUUAAAAGAAACAAAAACAAAAACAAAAGCAGUUAAAUGCGUGGGUUGCCUCCCACGAAGUGCUCGUUUAUUGUCAUUAGCUUGACGUUAGGAAAGUGUCCUUAGAAAGGAUCAAAGAGGUCAUAUUGUGUAGUUGACGCUAGAAAGCGUUCUUUCACAUUAUGUACUUCAAUCAUGUUACAAUAAUAAAGAGCGGGACCUUUCAUAACAUUUUCCAGCUCGAACCCAAUCAUUGCAUCACUUGCUUGAAAAACUAUCCUUCCACUCUGAACAUCUAUUAUAGCACCGGCAGUAGCUAGGAAGGGUCGUCCUAAGAUUAUCGGGACAUCAAGGUCCUCUUCUAUGUCGACCACUACAAAAUCAGUUGGGAUAUAUAUCCCUUCUAUCUUAACGGGUAUGUCCUCGAUGUAGCCAGCUAGGGGGAUAGUAGAACGGUCUGCUAGUUUUAAGAUCAUCUCGGUCGGUUUAAGCUCUCCUAUUCCCAUCCUUUUGAAGAGGGAUAAAGGCAGCAAACUUACACUAGCUCCUAAGUCACACAAGGCCUUGUCAACGGUUUCUUUUCCUAUCACACAAGGGAUGGCAAAACUACCUGGAUCUCUAAGCUUUUGGGGUUGCUUCUUGAUGAUUGCACCACUUUCCCAAGUUAAAGCUACUGUCUCCUUAUGAUCUAUAGCCUUUUUCUUUGAAAAAAUUCCUUUUAAAAAUUUGGCGUAUAGAGGCAUACGAGAUAGGGCUUCAACAAAGGGGGUCUGAAUGCAAAUCUUUUUAAGUAUGUUUAAGAAUUUAGCAAACUGGGCCUCCAAGUUAAGCUUAGUGAGCCUUAAUGUAUUAAGAGUCUUAUUCUUAUCAAGUGGUGUUUUUAUCGCAUCCUUCUUACCUAGAGACUUAACACUCUCCCCCUUGACACCUUUGGCUUUGGUAAUGGUCUCUUCUAACUUAUUGCCCCCAAGAGAAAUGGCAUUGACAUGGGCCUUGGGGUUUGUUUCAGUUUGUCCAGGAAAGACUCCUGGUGUUUGUGAAGAGGUGGCCACUUGUUGGGCUAGUUGGGAGAUUUGGGUUUCAAGGAUUUUGGUGUGUGUGGCGAUGGAAUCAACCUUGGUAUUGAGCUUGGAGAGAGAGUCGUUCAGAGAUCCUGUUUGGUUUUUUAGCUCUUGAAGUUGUUUAUUUUGAUUCAUCAUGCAAUUUUCCAACAUUAUUUCCAAACUAGAUUUCUGAGCUACUCUCUGGUUGUUUGUAUAGCCAGGUGGUGCUGUUUGCCCAUAGGAACUUUGAGGAUUUUUGUAAAAAUUUUGGUUUGGCCUCAUUCCUUGGUUGUAUUGAGCGUAAUUUAGUUGCUCAAUAUUGGCAGCACUACCUAACUGACAAUCAACACCUGUAUGACCAGUUAUACCACAGACUUCACAAGUAGGGGAUGCGGGAGAAGGUGAGGCAGCAUUAACAUUAAGUUUUUCAAUUUUUUGUGUUAAUGCCUCAACCUUAGCAGCAAGGUGGUUAUAUUCAGAGACUUCGUAUAUACCUGCCUCUUUCUUAGAGGGAGUAGGAGUGGUGACGGCUCUUUCGUUGGUCCAUUGAUAGUGAUUUUGAGCCAUGUCCUCAAUUAAAGCGUAAGCCUCCGUGUAGUUUUUGUUCAUUAGGGCUCCACCUGCAGCUGCAUCAACAGACAUUUUAGUGGUAUAUGUCAAGCCAUUAUAAAACGUGUGGACUAUAAGCCACUUCUCUAGGCCAUGGUGGGGACAAAGUCUAAGCAUUUCCUUGAAACGCUCCCACGCCUCAUAGAGAGAUUCCCCAUCUUUUUGAUUGAAACGUGUAAUUUGGUCUCUAAGCUUAGCUGUUUUAGAUGGGGGAAAGAAUCGGGCGAGGAAUGCUCGCCUCAUAUCGUCCCAUGAAGUAAUGGAACCGACUUAUAGGGAAUGGAACCAAGCGCUAGCUCUAUCCUUUAAGGAAAAGGGAAAGAGAUGAAGUCUUACGGCUUCUUGGUUCUCUUUUAUGGUGCCAUUGAGUCUAAGGAAGGAAGAAAUAUGGAGAUUUGGAUCCUCAGUGGGUGAUCCAGAAAACUGGUUUUGCUGCACUAAAUUGAGUAGUGCAGGCUUGAUUUCGAAGUUAUUACCCGCAACCAUUGGGUACACGAUAAUAGCUUGUGGCUCUUCCGUUGAAGGAGUAGCAUACUCUUUGAGAGUACGUUCAGCCAUAGCGGUAUUAUUUUGUGCCUCUCUCUUUUUCUUAUGCAAAAACCUUUCGAUCUCAGGAAUAAAUUCUCCGAGACUUUUACUUCUUCGCAUAAGAAACCGAGAACCCAAGAAGUUAGUGGUAAAAACAAAAGAAAGAAAAGUAGAAGAGAAGAGGAAGAGGAAAGAGAAGAGAGUUCUAAUCACAAAGAAAGAGUUAAUUAAAUUAGUUUACUCCCCGGCAGCGGCGCCAAAAACUUGAUGAGAUAAAACCGCAAGUGCACGGUCUUACCGAAGUAGUACAAAAGAGUAUCGUUCCGAUAGGGAGUAGUUCAAUUUAAUUAACCUUUAGAGAUGAUUAGAAGAGAAAAGAGAUUGUAAAUUGGGGGUUUUAAACGGUUAAAAGCAAUAUAAUAAAAGAGCCUUGGGAUCGUUGGUUUCAUCUAAGUGACAAGUCCUUCUCAAACCAAAACCAUAAGCUUAUAAUGUUAUGUUAGACCUAAUUUCUCAAGACAGUUUCUCUUAAGUUCCUCUAGAAACCAAGCCUAUUUCGCUGACCUGAUUACUAUUGGAUUUUGGUUCCUCUAACAACCAAGCCUAUUUCGCUGACUUGAUUGUUAUUAGUUCCCUUGAAGAUCAAAACUAUAUGUCUCAAAGAUUGCAAAGCCUAUUUCGCUGACUUUGCAAUCCUUGUCUGAAUUCACUUGUUCGAAUAUCAAAGCUCCACUUUCGUUUUAUGAAUUGAUAUUUGGAAUAAUGGACGAACAAUUAUCAAACCCUCCACUUUCGUUUCCACAGUUUGAUAAUGGUUAAUCCAUGUUAAGACGGUGAAUUCAGAUAAGAAAUUAGGGUUACAUAAGAUUAAGGCUUAGGGCUUGGUUUGAUUAGGAUUAUGUCAUUUAGACUUAUCCAACAAUCCCAAGACAAGAAGAAGUCUACUCACUCAUGUUCAUCGUAGACAUGGGGGAGAAGAGAGAAAGCAUGAAAGUAAAAGACAAUGAAAUAAAGGAAAAGAACUUUAUUUAGAAAAGCAAAUGUCACUUAUUGUAUUCCAAGUAAAGAUGAAUAUUAGUGAUGGCUAGCUACUCUAUUUAUAGUACACAAUUGACUUAAAAUCUAAGCAAGUAUAUUCCUAGAAUAUUCCUCGGUAGAUUGUGCGCCAAAAUAGAAUAGCUUGGAGUCAAAGCAAAAGCAGCAAAAGGCAUCUGGAGGGUGGCACGGCCGUGCCAAGGCUAGCACGGGCCGUGCCCAAGCUUCUGACUUGUGGGAGAUAUAUUUUGUUUCCCAAUCUUCAUGUUUUUGUGUCCAAUCUGCUCCAAAUCCCUUUCUUUUGCUCCAAGACUCUCUCCAUCCAAUAUUCUUCCCUGAAAUAUAAUAAAUUGCAUUUUAAAGUAAACUAUCCUAAAAAGGAAAUAAUACUAAUAUAAAAUUAUAUAAAAUCUAAUUAAAACUAAACUAAAAAGCAUAUUAAAAUAACAUAUAAAUGACUCAUCAAAAGGUAAGAAUGAAAGAAAAACCAUCGUCUAACUACCGUUGAAAUGAUAGCUUAACAAAGACAAAUGAUACUUUUACCUAACUAUCGAUGAGAUAGAUUAACAAAGGUAAGAAUGAGAGAAAAACCAUCGUCUAACUAUCGGUGAAAUAUGAUAGCUUAACAUAGACAAAUGAUACUUUUACCUAACUAUCGAUGAGAUAGCUUAACAAAGGUAAGAAUGAAAGGACAACUUGGUCAGUCACACUAGGGAUGACACUAUUAAGAGUUGAAAUUGACUGGUGACACCACUUGCACAACUACCGCUGGGGAUGACACUUUUUGAAUUUGAAAUUGAAAUUUGAUUAGUGUAAUGACUAGCACGGCUUCACGCCGGGGAUGACACUUUGACAAUAAGAAGGUAAAUGGAAGAGGCUUAUUUGUAGAAACUUGCGGCUUGACAUAAUGGUAAGUUAAGACUGAACCGAAAAGACACGCCCGAAUCGAGAUUCUGGACGACUGAUGCAAUUAUGUGUGAAUUGAUGUUGUGCAUAUGAUGUGUACGUAUAAAUGUAUGAACAUGUGAAAAUAUUGAUGAAUGCAUGAUUGUAUGAAUGCAUGGAUGUGUGAAUAUGCAAAUGUGCAAUUGCUUGACUGUAUAGACUUUAUAUGACAUGUGACUUGAUGAGACGAGACAAGACAGGUAAGAUGGGAGGCGGACUGACAUCGCAGUACAAACACUCGGCAAAUUUCCUUGGUGAUGAUACUAUUGUGAACAAAUCAAUCCGUUGACAGUGUAAGAUCCGGCACAGGGCAACAACUGAUGCCUCUUGGGGGUAAAGCCCAUUGUUGAUAAAAGGUAUAAAUGAAGUCGCCACAUGUGAACCGGCACAGAGUGUCCUUCCAUUGGUAUGCUUCAGUAGUCAUGCUUUUUGUUUUAUAUUUUUUUUUUUAAAAUCCCUAACUUUUGCCUAGACCGCCCUUUCGGGUUUUCAGUCCAUCGGGAAUAUAUUCUUUUUUUCUGCCCCUAAUUUUUGCCUGGACCGCCCUUUCGGGUUUUCAGUCCACCGGGACGCUCUCUAUUGCCUAAGCCGCCUUUUCAGGUUUUCCAACUUAGCGAGCUUUGAUUUAUUUUAUUUUUUUUUGGACUGUGAUAGCAUCUUGCUCAAGGCAGAGGUCCUUUCCAUAGUGCUUAGCCAUGUUCUCUUCCGGAGUGUAACCGUUCUCGAGGAGAAUGUUGAGGUACGGUUCACCUACUCCUGAGUUCAAAGUGAGUGCGUUUGUUGUUCACACUUUUCAAAAGAUGUAAAAUAAGUUUUUGUAUUUUGAAAAUUUUUGCUUUAAGUAUUGCCAUCAAAAAUAGAAGAAAUUAUGCAAAUAGAAUAAAUGAGAGUUCCAAAUUUGAUGAAUUGAGUGGUGACCUGCCAAGGGCAUGGCUCCACAGAUUUUUGAAAAUUUUGGAAAAAUGGUAAAUUUAAUGGGAAGGGUACAUUGAACACAAAUAACCGUUAUUCUCCCUAACAACUUUGAAUGCCCCUGUUCCGAGUCUUUGAUGUGCAGAUGCUUCGAAUCGGAGGUCUUUUGAUAGCUAGAUGCCCCAAGUGGAUUGUGCCUGACCGGAUGCAGUUACCUUGUCUUUUGAUCCUUAACUUUUGCAUAGAUCGCCCUUUCGGGUUUUCAAUCUAUCAGGAUAAUAUUUUUUGGUCAUGUCUCUAACUUUUGCCUGGACCGCCCUUUUGGGUUUUCAGUCCACCGAGACGCUCAUUUUUGCCUAAGCCGCCUUUUCGGGUUUGCGACUUAUCGAGCUUUUAUGUUUGACAGAGUAUUUCUUGACUGCACCGGCAUUCAUAGGAAGUACAAGUUUGUCACCAUCCAUAGUUGUAAAAUUCAUUGCGCAUGAGCCUUCAUAGUUAGGCGUCCACUUGCUCCUGGAGUCUGGUUGGAAAGGUAGCACCUUUUUGGGCACAAAGUCUCUUUCUUGAAUUUUGCGGGGACGAACCUUCUUGUUGGAAGUUUGUUUCAACCUCUUUUGACAUGGUUGUACAAGGUCGUCAUGCAUUUUAAGUUCAAUCAAGCUUAGACUUCGGCAAAACUCCUAUUGUCGGGACUUCGACCUCCACAUGAAGCAUGGCCUUCAUGACGUAUGUUUAGGAAAUAGGGGGUUGCCCCUGUUGAAGUGUGUACUAAUGGACAAUACUCAUGAAGUGCAAGUGGUAGCAUCUCGUGCCAGUCUUUGUAAAUGAAGGAAAUCGUUUGGGCAAUCUUCUUUGAUAUUUUGUUUGCAGCUUUGACAGCUAAGAUGCCCCAGUAUGCGAGAGAUCUCAUCGGGAGUCUCUUCAUUCUUUUCUUCAGCUUCGGAUACAAGGAACUCGAAGUUGGAAGAGAGUACAUGUUUAUUGCGUUCAACGGGUUUAUUAAUGCAUAAAUUGAUUAUUGAUUUUGACAAGUAAGUACAAGUUAUGAUUAAGCAGAUAUAUGAGAAUGAUUAAAGAAAGAAUUUUUUUUGGUUUUUUGUAUUACCAUUUUUCCAAGAAAAAGCACAAAUUUAAAAAAAAAAAAAAAAAAAGUCGAGAUCAAGACGACCUUUUUAUUAAUGAUGACAAAUCUUAAAGCAAAAAACCCUACACAAGAUCACUUUCAUCUCGGGCGGGAUGAAAGGAUGUUUUUUUUUUGAAAAGCGAAAAGCAACAAACAAACAUUAAUUGAACAAAAAGUAGCGGAAGGAAUGUCAAUAGUGUUGUUACCUCUUCACGAAUGCUCGUGGAUUUCUUGUUCAAACUAAUAUGUUUUCUUUUUUGUUUGCACGAGUGUUGUAGGUGCGAGUUGACUUUGGACGAGGACAGUUGGGACACCUUUGAGAUGGAUUGACCUUUAGUAGAAAAGGCACAGUGUAAGACUCAGACUUGAAAUUAUGUAUGCAAAAUGAUGCAUCCUAUGCUUAUGCAAAAAUAGACACAUUUUUUUUGAAGGACUUGUCAAAGUAAUUGUAAACUUGAUAAGGAACAUUGUUUUAUCUAGAAAUUGUGAAGAUGUUGCAAUUGGUUCCCUUUUCAAAAGUAAGAACGAAACCAAGGAAAAAAUUCUUAACAAAAGCUAAAGCUUAGUUAAGGUUUUUGAAGUUGUAGGUAUUCCUUCUUACAAGGACCAUAUCUUUGAUGUUUACAAGAACUUAUCUAAGUCCUUCGAUAUUAGUGAGAAAAAGUUUUUAUGAAUGAAUGCAUGUUUAUGGAAUGCAUGGUGAGGUUAAGUCCACAGUGUUGGAGUCAAAGGUAACAACGCCAUUUGGUAAGGACUAUGGUUUUAUUUGUACCUGUAUUUCGGGUUCUACCAAGUUCCCAAAGUCUACAACCACUUCCAAAUAUUAUCAGGUUACAAGAUUACUCUUGAUCCAAUAUCAUUUGUAGGAAAGUCUCGUUUGAGUGUAGUCUCGCGUAUCAACUAAUUCAUGAUUACUCUUGAUUAGCCACCGCACUACGUCCUAAAAGGCCAAGAUGGGUUAAAGUUAACUAAAGGUCCUCAACUUCGACGUUUACUUGAAAAUAAUAGUGUCAAACAUGAUUACUCAUGUCAACAAAGUAUUACUUCCAAGAGCCUCCAUUGAGCGGGAUUAUCACAUGUACCAACACUCAAGAUUACUCUUGGAAUGGCACUUUGAUUAUAUCACCAUCCUAUCUCAAUGUUCCCUCAAGCUCGGGUGUUGGACUUAUCUCACCACUCACGUUUAAGAAAGAGAAAGAAGAAGGAAGAACAUAUAUACACGGUUUUCCAUCUUUUAUUUUUUUGAUUUUAAGCAAGUUAUAGCACAAAAUUUAAAUAAAGCCAAGUUAGGCUUAACCCUCUUAGGGGAUCCCCAGCGGAGUCGCCAUUUCUGUCGCGUCAUUUUUCUUAAGAAAAAGGGGAAAAAAGUUCAAAACACCCCAUAUUGAGAGAUUUAGGGUUCGGGGGUUGGUUAUAUUUAGGGAAGGUAUUAGCACCCUAAAUAUUCGUAGUACUCUACGAGAAUCUCUUGAUUUUAUUUAAUUAAUGUGCUAUAAACUUGCUUAUUAUUUUUGAAAAGAAAGAAUUAAAGUGGAAAAAUAAAAGACCUAAUUAUCUACAUUUUAUUGAUUUGGAAGGACAUGGUCCUCUGCCUACGCACCCGUGAGGGAUCAAAACCUCGUAGUUCGGGGUAGAAAAUGACGUUUGAUUUGUUUGGUGUUUUUUAUUUGUUUUGAAAAAAGGUUUUAAAAUGAAAAGCCAAGUGGCAAAUAAGAAUUUGUUUGUAUUUUUUAUAUUAAAAGAAAAUGACUCAAAAUAUGAUUAAAUUGGUUAAAGUUUGAUUAAGAAAAUAAAAUAAAAGACGGUCACUUGAUUUAAGAUCAAGGUUUGUUAUGAAAAUAUUUUUGUGAUUUUUGAUUAUUUUCAUGUUUUUGUUGUUUUUUGGAAUAUUAAAUGAAAAUUAAACUAACGGAGCAAUAAAAAUAAAAGCGCGUGGAUUUUUGUAGUGACGUUGGAUCACCACAAAAUCCCUAAUCUAAUUUUUUUGCAUUUUUGGAUAUAUCUAAGGCGGUAAAGAAAUAAAAGGACACACACACCCACACACUUUUCUCAUUUAUAUUUACAUUGAACCAAAAUACAUUCUAAUUGCUGGAAAAUAGAUAACAAUAAUUAAAAUGCUAAAUAAAAUAAAAUAAAAAUGCUAAAAUGCUAAAAAGAAAUAAAAUGCAAGAAAAUAAAAGAAAUAGACAACCAAAGGGACAAAAAUUACCGAAGGAACAAAAUUCCGAAGGGACUUUCCGAAGGGACAGAAAAAAGGAGGAGAAGUAAAGAAUAGCUCGUCAACACAAGCUAAGAGGGAGAAGAGAGAAAAGUUCUUUGACAACUCAAUAGAACUUUUGGUGUGUGAAAUUGUGUGGAAUGAGGGCUCUAUUUAUAGGUGAGGAGGUUGAUGAAAAAUGGAAAAUUGGUUUAAUGGAAAUGAUGGACAAUUAUGGUGAAUUUUGAAAAUGGAAUGUCAAAGUUGACACUUGACUUGAAUUUUUUUUAGACCUUGGACAUUUUAUUCUUGGACCUAUUGACACUUUGUUUUUUUGGAACACUAAUUAAUUAAAAGAAAUAAAAUAAAAAUAAAAUAAAUCUAAUACGAAAUAAAAUAAAAAACAAAUUAAACUAAAUUAUGUAAAGAAAAAUAAAAUUAAAAGAUGGAAAAUAAAAAUUAUUAAAUAUAAAAAAUAGUAACUAACCUUAAAAUAAAUAUCAAUAAAAGAUGGAAAUUAGAUAAUGAAAUAAAAAGAUAAAAAAGAAAGAAAAGAGGGCCCGACUUGAAAUCAAAAUUGAGGUAUUUUAAAAUACCUCUCUGCCGAAUUUUCACUGAAAAAUCAGAGAUCGAUCAGAGUCAAGUGACACGUGUCAGUGGGGCAUUAGGUCAAAAAUUGGGGUAUGACAUGUUGUUUAAUAAAAUAAGAUUUGAAAAUAAAAUAAAUAUUGAGUUUAGGGGUUGUUUUGAGAUUUUAGAGAGUUUUGGGGGAGAAAGAGAAAUAAGAUAAGAUAGUUGGAGGAGAUAUAAAUAGGGAAACCUAGUUUAGAAAAACAGUUGUACGUACGAUCAGUUUUUGGAGAAAAGGGAGAAAAAGCCAAGAGAAGAGCAAGAGAGACGUAGGGAUGCGAUUUUCAUCUACAAGGUAAUGGUGAGACUAACUUUGCAAUUCUAUUAAGUCUGUGAAUCAACGGUUACAUUUAACAUGAAUUAGGAUGAGUUUAAGAGGAAUCGGAAAUUAGGUCAAAUUGAUGAUUAAACAGUGAAAAGAUGUUAGAUUGAUGUAGAAAUUGUUCCUAGACCUUAGAUAAUGAUUAUGAUGAAUUCUGGAAUCGAAGUUAGGCUUUAAACCAUGAGAAUUAGUGAUUUUUAUGAAAAACUGCACUUCUGCUUGUAGGGACAUUCAUCCCUCGCCUCCCGAGCUAUGAUCCUCGCCACGGCAAGUGAUGAACUUCAUCGCUCGCCUCGCGAGCAACCUUUCCCCGCCUCGCGAGUUGCACGUCGCAGCUCGCCAUAGCGAGAAGAUGAACUCGCCUAGCGAGCUUGACCAGAGAGCAUGCAAGAUUUCGUGAUUUUGACUUUUGAGUUGAUCCUUAGAUGCUUUUGAGUGCCUGAACAUGUCUAAUAAUGAUUAGGAAAGAAUGUAGGAUGAGAUUGAACCUGGAAAGAUUGUAGAAUGAAACUUGUGGGAUUCUGACCUAAACUCGCCACGGCAAGCAAAGGCUCUCGCCUCGCGAGUAACCUAGAAACAGAGUGUCCUGUUAGGUUUUGUGACCUUUGUUGCACAAGUUGCCGAGAGUUGAACCUUGGGGUAGUAUAAAGACUUAAUGAUGAUGUUAAUCAUAAUCUGUGAAGCUGUUUAAGAUGUGUUGAUGUUGAUUAUGUUGUGAUAUAAUGUUGCGUGCAUUACUUGAAGUAUAAUUGAAUAUUUAAGAUGAUGUUGACUUGCAAUUGAUAUUAUUAUGUCAAGCUGUUUUUGUAUAUUGCCUAUGUUUUUGUUGUUAUUUAACUAAGCUGCAUGAGUCAGUCUAAGUUGAUGAAGAUGAUGAUGUUCCAAAUUAUUGGAUUAUAUAAGAGGUAGUCGAAUUAAGAUGUUUAAGAGGUCGAGUCCAUGCAUUAGCAUUUCAUUGUUGGGGGCUUGAUACCUUGGAGCUUUGUACUCAACACGUUGGAGCUUUAGCUCAAUUAGCGAUGGGGGCUUGAUGCCUUGGAAGUAUAUUAAUACUCAAAUAGCGAUGGGGGCUUGAUGCCCUGUAUUGGUACCACAUGCAUAUAAGAGGUCUAAGUUGCAUAGUUGCAUUUGUCGAGUUGAUGAUGAUAAGAUGUGAAGUUGUGAUUACUUAUAUGAAUAGUUAACGAAGUGAUUUAUGAUAUAUUAUUAUCUAUGAUGAAUAAUAAGAUGUUUUUAUGUUGUUAAAUAUAAUUGUUGAAUUAUAUGCUUAAUAUUAUUGUUUUGUGAAAUCUCACCCCUUCUGCUUGGAAAUGUUGCUCUUCGUAUGAGUAACUUGCAGGUGAUCAAGAGUAGGUUGCUGUGUUUGCUGUCGUGAGUGGCCUUUUCUCACGGAGUCUUAGGUUGCUCUGAUACGUAACGGGAGGGGAUCUUUAGUGGCUAUUUCUCUUUCCUUUGCGUAUAUGCUAUGUUUUCAUGUUGUUUAACUGAAUUUAUGAGAUGAUUAUUAUGAGGCCUGCGUGCCAAGACUUUAUUAAUGAUGAUGAACUUAUCCGCUACGAGUUUUGAAAUAACUAUGUUGAAAGAUAAUUUGUUAAUUAUCUCAUUUAUGAUUUUAAGAAGUGUGAUAUCCCAUUUCAUGACGUUUUACUCUGAAAUUUGAAAUGAAAGUUUUAUGUUGGGAAAACGGGGUGUUACACUUGGCUUGUGAAUGAUUUGUCGCCUAUGACGGACCAACGAUCCCAAGGCUCUCUUUUUAUUAUUAUUUUCUCUUUUAAUCAUUUGAAAACAACAAUCUUGCAACUUAAUUCUUUUCUAAUCACCAACUAAAGUUAAUUGAAUUAAACAACUCUCUGUCGGAACGAUACUCUUUUCAUUACUACUUCGGUAAGACCGUGCACUUGCUGUAACACCCCAUUUUUCCAACAUAAAAAUUUCGCAUAAAUAAUAAGAGUUUUUCAACAUAAACGGAAUGUCACAUUCUUUUCUUAAAAUCAUAAACUGAAUAAAUAACUAUUUAUCAUUUAAAAAUUCAAAUACAAGAUAUUUAAUACUUCGCAGCGGAAUUUAUUCAAUAACUAAAACAGUCUUUGGCACGAAGGCCUCUUCGUAAAUGUCUCAUAAAAAUCCAAUCUAAAAACAUAGUCAUAAAUCUUCAAAAACAAUACGUAAGGAAUAGAAAAGCAAUAACAAAAGAUCUCAUUCCGUUAUAUAUCAGAGCACCUAAGACACACGAGAAGGAAAGUUCACACGACAUCAACUAUUCUUGGUUACCUGUUAGUUACCCAUGGUGGGCAAACAGAAGGGGUGAGAUUUCACAAACAAUAAUAUUAAGCAUAUAAUUCAUCAAUUACAUUUAACAACAUAAGCAUCAUCAAUCAUAUUUAACAACUCAUAGACAACAUCAUAUAAUCAUCAUAAUAUUCAUCAUAGAGAAUAAUAUAUCAUAAUUCACUUCUUUAAUAGUUCAUAUAAAGAAUCACAGCUUUAAACAAUUUCAUGAUUUAACAACUUAACAACUCGACAACUUGAUAACUUGACAACUUGACAACUUAACCUCUUGACUAUGCAACUUAAUCUUCUAAUCAUGCAUGUGGUACCAAUCUUUGAGCGUAAAUAGGCUCCAGGGCAUCAAGCCCUCAACUUUAUUUGAGCAAAGGCUCCCCCCCCCCCCCCCCAACAAUGAAAUGCUAAUGCAUGGACUCGACCUCUUAAACAUCUUAAAUCGACAACCUCUCAUAUAAUCCAAUAAUUUGGAAAUUCAUCAUCUUAAUCAACUUAGACCGACUCAUGCAGCUUAGUUAAAUAACAACAGCAACACAGCAGUAUACAAAAACAGCAUGACAUAAUAAUAUCAAAUGCAAGUCAACAACGUCUCAAUUAUUCACACAUAAUUCAAGUAAUGCAUAUACAAUUAUAUCACAAUAUAACAACAUCAAAUCAUAAUCAACAUCUUAAAACAUCAUAUAUACAUAUAACACUUCAUCAAUCAUGGACAAUAUCAUAUUCACAACAUAUACAUACAUAUACUAAUUCAUCAAUCAUAUUCAAUUAUUCACUGUGACCUAUGUGCAGUAAUUUGACCAUAACUCAAAUUCUAUAAAUUCUUUUGAAGUCAAACCAACGGCAUUAGAAAGCUAACAUUCAUACCUACAACUUUCCUACUUACACCUAAGACCAAUUCUGUACCAAUUAAUACCAUUUUUCAUUUCAAAUUCGGACAAAGUUGUGCUGAAAUUCAUAAAAAUUCACUGUGACCUACAUGCAGUAAUUUGACCAUAACUCAUAAACCAAAUAUCAUUUUCAAGUCAAACUGACGCCAGUGGAAAGCUAACACAAUUAUCUACAACUUUCAUGUUUACACCAAAGGGUAAUUCAAAACAGAAACGUGUGAAAAAUACUCAAGCAUAUGAAACAGGACAUGCUGUCAGACAGCAACUCGGGAAAAAACACACUUUUCACCCCAAAAUCCCAAUUUUAACUUCCCUAUGCCCAAAUUUGAUCCCAAAGUUUGUCUAAACAUUUAUAUACAUCAAAAGAGACUCAAAACCAUAUAAAACUUGACCCAAAAUAUUAUUUUAGAAAAUCAUCAAAUAAUCACUUUUAACCCUAAUUCCCAAAUUCUCAAAAACUAAAACCUACAACAUGUUAAAUACAAUUUUCAGAAUCAUAGACUCAAGAUUAUUGAAUGUUAGUCCCACCCUUACCUUAUAGAUGAAAAUCGCAGCACUCCUAGGUCUUCUCCCACCUCUCGGCUUUUUCUCCCUUUUCUCCAAAAUUGAUCGUACGUUAUGUUUUUUCUAAACUACGUUUCUCCUAUUUAUAACCCUUUUUUCUAUUUUAUCUUAUUUCUCUCUCUCCCCCAAAACUCUAAAAUCUCAUAACAAACUCUCAACUCAAUCUUAUUUCUAUUUUCAAAUCUUAAUAUAUUAAAUAACAAUAAAAGCCACUUAAUAAAUCACAUAAUCAAAUAAAUAUAUUUUAAACUCUUCUUAAUAAAUUUUAGACUCAAUUAAAUAAUUAAAUAAAUCAAAUAAUUCAAAGAGGGUGUUACACUUGCGGUUUUAUCCCAUCGAUUUUACACAAUAUUAGUAAUGUCACCUCCUAAGUACUUACGACUAGUUACUAACUAAAUACUUCCUAGAUAGUCAGAAAUAAAUAUCAAGAUAUAAGUAUCAAUAUUGGGGCUGACUCAUUGCCAAAGUGCCUAAACUGGGGUUGCGCUCCAAAGCAAAUAAAUCUAAAUAGCGAACAAAAAUAAAAAUAAAUAAUGAUCACUAAAAUAAAUCAUUAUCCAACAAAAUAAAUAGAGGUUCAUCUUAGAAAGACACAUCGUAAUUAAAGACAAAUUAUAAAAAGAUAAACACAUACCAUAGAAGAAGAUAGAAAAAAAUCCUCCGGAAUCUCCUAGAAUCGCCUACCUCUUGAACUGCUCCAGUUCUGAACGAGAAAUUAUGAAUGAGGAAGGAGGUAUUUACAGGGAAAGUUUCAACCUGAACUUGGGCUGAAAACGCGGGCUUUCUACCACAAAAAGUCAAAAAUUAUGACUUUUUUCGCAAGCAACCUGACGCCUAACGCACCUGCUAAUGCGCCAGCUGCAUGUGAGAGAGCUGCCAUGCGCCUAGUGUAAUAGCCUGUUUUUCGCGAGGAUUAUUUUAUUUAUUUAUUAUAUGUGUUUAUAUGUGUUUAAUUGCUUUUUUGUGUGUUUGUCUUAGGAUCAGUGGAAUUUUAGACGAGAAGGAUAUUUUAGACAUUUUUAGCUCCAAGGAUAUUUUGGUAAUUAGAUGAGUAAGGGUAAAUUAGUAAUUUCAGAAGGGAGUUUAUUUUAGAGUGUUUUGAUGUGAAUAGUUAAAUGAGAUGUUUUAAGAGUCAAGGGAGUAUUAACUUUUAAUUGAGUGAUAAAAGUUUAAAGGAUCAUUAUGAAUUGUAGUAACCUAGCCAAUUGAAUAGGAUAAUAAAAAGAUAACUCAUGAGGAUAAUUAAAGUUACACUCAUUUCAUUCACUCACACAAAGUGGCUAUAAAAGCUUAAAUGGAAUUGAGAGAGAAGUGAAAAAAGAAGAUAGAGUUGGAGAACCCAAGUGAAGAUGAGAGCUAGGAUUCACUAGAGGAUUAAGGAUUUUGGUGGAUUAGCUAAUCAUUAUAGGAAACAAGGUAAGGGAGAUAAGUUUGUUUUACUUAAUAAUCUACUGUAUCCGUUCCUUUUUAAUUGUCACUUUUUAACAUUUUACAUAAACCAAGAUAUUCAAUAAAUGAUACUACUUUUGAUACAAUAAUGUAUACUUUUACUAUAAUAGCCUUAUUCAUUUAAUAAUUUAUUUAAUAUAUUUUUCUCUCCACAAUAAAUAAGUAAGGAUAAUAUUGGUAAAACAACAUUUAAUGUUGCAUUGAACUUUGAAAGUGACAGUUAAAUAGAAACAAAAAAAUUCUUCAAAAGAGACACUUAAAAAGGAAAGGAAGGAGUAUAAUCUUGUUUUCUAGCUUAUGAGUCAUAAUCGUUUUGUUUAAAUUGUGAAAAUUGAUGAUUAUAUGUGUGAUUUUCGCGCUUGGAAUUAAAUGGUGAAUUUCGGUAUGUGAUUGUUGUUGAAAACUUGUUGAUGCAUAAAUUUCAUUUUAAAUAUAUGUUAAGUUGUUUACUUUGAAAAUUUAAAUUGGUGAAAAUGAUGAUGUUGUUGUUGAUUAAUGAUGAAUUCAUGAAUUAUGUGCUAUGAAUGUUGUUGGGUAUAUGUAUAUGUUCUGAAUCCAUGAAUUUGAUGAUGAUAAAUGUCAUGUUGUGCUAAGUUGUUGUGUUUUAGUGACUUUUGAGAAAAUGGGUCAAAAAGGAGAAGUUUGAUUUUGAUGAAUUUGAGUGGAUUAAUGGAGUGGUUAUGAUGAAUUGAGUUGAGUGAAUUUUCUGUUUUGAAAGGUUAUGUUUUGGUAAGGAAUCAUUUGGGUGAAAACUGGUUUUUUGAGUAAAAAGACAUUUAAACACUUUUGUGAAAUAAGUCAUUUUGCGUUAAUUGAAAUAAAUUGUUUUGAGUUAGAAAACUAUAUUUUGGGGUGAGUAUUUACUGUUUAAGUGUUUGGAAUGAAUUCGGUGAAAGUGGAAUCAAAAACGGAUCUAAAAUCGGUCUCUUCCCGUGCGAGAAAAGCAAUAAAACGUGUUGUUCUAGUGACAUAGCAAAAUGCACGGUCUUCUUUAUAAAUCGCACGGACCGUGCGUUCUCUGGGUGAUCCGAAAGGAAAUUUUUUUGUACUUUAAAGGUUGCAAAUGCAUCCCUAUGAGUUCCUAAAACCUAAAUCUAUUUGAUUAGAUUCUAAUGGGGGCUUAUAUGAUUGGAUUAUCUUAGAUUAUUUUGAGAAAUGAAAUUGAUUUCAAAACAUGAAGAAAAUGACACGAACUUUGAGAAUGUUGAGAAAUGCAUGGACUUUGUGAAACGAAUAUGCUAUGAUUUAAUUGUUAAGGUGUUAGAUGAUAUGCAUGAAUGUUUUGAUGUUAUGUGAGAGCUUAUGUCCUACUUUUUUUGAUAAAAAAAAUGAAAAUAGGCUAUUUGAUGAAAAUAGACGAACUUCGUCAAAAUGAGGGUUUUGAUCGGAUAACUUGCAAUUAGCAUCGUAUACAUGAUAACAUGAUGAAAUAAGAAUGAAUCAAUGAAUGAUGGGUGUAUAAUAUUUUGGAUAUCCUGAUGUAGAUGAUUGUCGUCUAUUAUGCAAAUUGUGCUUUUUGAAACGUUAUUGUUUCCUUGUCGUAAUAAAUGUUGAUGAUGACUCUUUUGUUGAUUGUAUGGAUGUAAAUUAUUGAUAAUGCAAUGGUGAAUUGGUGAAGAUAUUAUAUGAUGGUGAAAAUUAUAUAAUAUGUGAUUUGGUGAAAAUCAUAGUCUUGAGCGUAGGAGCACGUGUAGAUACUCCAUGCCCCCCGAUGGAGAUGGACUCGAUAUAUGAUGCAUGUGACAUUCUUAAAGAGAACAUGCAGUGGUGUGGUCUUAUGAAUGUGGUCACUGAAACAACAUAAUGAAUUUACCUGAUGAGAUAAAACCGCAAGUGCACGGUCUUACCGAAGUAGUAUGAAAAGAGUAUCGUUCCGACAGGGAAUAGUUUAAUUCAAUUAACCUUUGAUGAUGAUUAGAGGAGAGAGAAGUUGUAAGUUGGGGUUUUCAAACGAUUGAAAGGUAAUAAUAUAAAAGGAGCCUUGGGAUCAUUGGUUCAUCUAAAUAACAAGUCCUUCACAAACCAAACUAUAAGCUUAUAACUUUAUGUUAGACCUAAUUUCUCAAGAUAGUUUCUCUUGUGUUCCUCUAGCAACCAAGCCUAUUUCGCUGACUUGAUUACUAUUAGAUUUUGAUUCCUCUAACAACCAAGCCUAUUUCGCUGACCUGAUCAUUAUUAGUUCCUUUGAAGAUCGAAACUAUAUGUCUCAAAGAUUGCAAAGACUAUUUCGCUGCCUUUGCAAUCCUUGUCUAAAUUCACUUGUUCGAAUAUCAAAGCUCCACUUUCGUUUUAUGAAUUGAUAUUUGAGAUAAUGGAUAAAAAAUUAUCAAAUCCUUCACUUUCGUUUCCACAGUUUGAUAAUGGUUGAUCCAUGUUAAAGCGGUGAAUUUAGAUAAGAAAUUAGGGUUACAUAAGAUUAAGGCUUAGAGCUUGGCUUGAUUAGGAUUAUGUCAUUUAGACUUAUCCAACAAUCCCAAGACAAGGAGAAAUCUACUCACUCAUGUUUAUCGUAGACAUGGGGAAGAAGAGAGAAAGCAUUAAAGUAAAGGGUUAAUUAAGUUUUUAGUCCCUAUAAAUAUUCACAGUUUUGUUUUUAGUCCCUAUAAAAUAAAAUCAUAUUUUUUAGUCCCUAUAAAAUUUUCCAUCCACAUUUUUAGUCCCUAUAAAAUUUUCCAUCAGCAUUUUUAGUCCCUAUAAAAUUUUUCCAUCAGCAUUUUUAGUCCCUAAAAUGCUUAAGGAAAAUGUCACAGGGACUAAAAAGUGUGAUUUUAUUUUGUAGGGACUAAAAACAAAACUGUGAAUAUUUAUAGGGACUAAAAACUUAAUUAGCCCUAAAGUAAAUGACAAGAAAGUAAAAGAAAAGAAAAGAACUUUUAUUAGAAAAGCAAUUGUCCCUGAUUGAAUUCCAAGAAAAGAUGAAUAUUUGUGAUGAGUAGCUACUCUAUUUAUAGCAUACAUUCGACUUAAAAUCUAAGCAAUUACAUUACUGGAAUGUUCUACAAGAAACUGCGGGCUAAAAUAAAGUAGCUCAAAAUCUAAGCAAAAGCAGCAAAAGUGACUCUGGAGGAUGGCACGGCCGUGCCAAGCUUCUGACUUUGGGGAGACAUAUUUUUGUCUCUGAAUCUUCGUAUUUUCGUACUAAAUCAGCUCCAAGUCCCUUUCUUUUGCUCCAAGACUCAAUCGAUCCAAUAUUCGUUCCUGAAAUAUAAUAAAAUGCAAUUUGUAGUAAACUAACUCAAAAAGGAAAUUAAAUAAUACUAAUAUAAAAUAAAAUAAAAUCUAUUUAAAACUAAACUAAAUAACAUAUAAAAAUAGAUAUUAAAUGACUCAUCAUUACCGUACUGGGUUUCUUAAUUGGUCCAGAACCUGAACAUGAAAAUAAAUAUGGAAUUUUUAUUUUUUUAUUAAAAUAAAGAUGGAGUCUUUAGUUACUGGAAUUAAUAUUUCAAGAUUAUAUACAAUAUCUAGUUCCCUUAAGCAUAUGCCAAUAUUCAUGAAUGAAAGGGGGGAAGUAUAUCCAAAGCAUAAAACCCCGAGUAUUAGCCUAUAUAACUUUUUGGGAGUGUCAUAUAUUACUUGACAGACACGUAAUCAGUCAAGAAGAGUGAGAGAGUGACUAUUAUAUAUUAUUAGUAAGCAAUAUACUCAUUAUAGGCAAUAUCUUUUUUGGCAAGUAACGGUGAUAUUGCAUUUCAAUUUGUUUGGGAGUUUGGAGAGGAUGGGAAAACUUUGUCGGGUGGAAAAUAUGAGGAAAAUUUGAAACAUCAUUCUAAAAAUUUAAAAGAGUUGUUUUUAAAAAAUGAUAAAUUAAUGCAUGUGAUUACUAUAAUUUUAAUUUUAAAAAUAUUAUAACAACACACAUUAAAUUGAAUAAUUCACAUAAACCCUCCAAAACCUCUAAAACCCUCCUCCAAUACAAUUUUUUAGUUCCUCAAAUGAGAAGAGUUUUGUAUUAUCAAGAAAAGUUAAUCCAUUUAAGCCAUUCCUUCCCAUUUUCCUCCAUUUCUUCCACUUGUUCAUUACUUUUUUUCUAAAAUUUUUCAUUCAUUCCCGUGUAAACUCGCAAACAAAGCUUAAAGCUUAUAACACACAUAUACAUCUUAGCCAUUAACUUUCCAAAGAAGAGCUGCUCUGCGAGUGUUUAGCUUAGACACAUCUACAUUGUCUCUUAUUUUUUGUUUUUCAGGUAAUACUAUUUGAGGUAUGUAGGAUACUAAAUAUAUAGUAUCAGAAUAGUUCAUUCGCUAUAACCAUUUGGAUUAUUCCUCCUCCUUCAAUCCUUUCAUUUAUUUUUUGUUUUUAUUUUCAAGGGGGUUUAUUUAUACUUAAUAAUUUUCUGAAUAAAGAUCCUUAAAAAAAUCUGAAUAAUGAUGAAUGCUUGUUUGUUUUAUUAAAUAUAUAAUCACCAAAAAAGACACGCUAUAAACGAUAAAAGAAAUAAUAAUAAUAAUGAAAUGAUGGUUGAAAAAUAAUUAACUAUUAUGUUAAUUAAGAUUUUAGCUCAAAUCUUUAAUAAGGUGAAGUUAUCAAUUGAGAGAACAAAAGGGGUAAAUAUGAUUUCUCUGUAUAAUAUAGAGGCAUAUGAUAAUUAUUUUAAUUAAACUAUAGAACAUCAUAUUCCUUACAUAUUUAAUACUUAAAAAAUUAUAUUUAAUAGAUUAUGUUGAUAUUCUAAAGUUUAUUUAUGUAUUCAUUAAUUUGAACCCCUGACUUUCGAUUAAUACAUAGAGAUGUUAUCUUCUCAUCAGUGUGUUACUUCUACAUUAAAAUUUUUCCUCCCUUUACACUAUUAUUUUAUUUUGUGAACUUUCCUAUCUAGUGUAAGAUCAAGUGAUCAAUCACAUGUGCUAUAGGGACAAGCAUGAUACAUCAAUUUAUUCAAAAGACAUUUAAAAAUAAGUUAAAUUUGAAUAAAGGGUUUCUUGCAAGUAAAUAUAGCAGAAGGUUUUUUACUAUAUAAAUUAAUCAACGAAUUUCUAUUUGUUAAAUGAAAUGGUGGAAAAGAUGGUUGGAAUUCUCAAGUUUGUUUGCCCCUUUUUGUUUCUCUAUUUCUUGUUAUUAUCAAUGUUGGUGGUAAGCUCAUUGUCCUAUUCUUUUGUAUUUAUCCUAUGCAAAACAUUUCUUCUCUUUUCGAAAUAUUUCUUUGUUUUCAUUUCACAAUAUUUCUUUGUUUUGUUUUCAUUUUAGAUUUCAGGAAAGCAUGAUUAUCACAUGUUUUUUCAACGCAUACCAUGUCCCAAGGAUAAAAUUCUUGAUUGCAAUCUACUUGAAUGUUGGUGCAAAUAAAAGGUAGGUACUAAAAUUAUUCUAUGUUAUUUUUUAAUGGUAUGAUUUUUUUUUUUAUCAUAAUGUUGUUAUUCUUAUGAUUUCUUUCACAAAUCCAUUUAUUUCUCUGACCCUUCAACUUAUUUGAUAGUUGUAGAAACCUGCUGAUUAUGUUUACAAAGUGUUGUAAUAACCUUCGUUUUUAUGUGUAAGAAAUAUAGUUGUUUAAGGUUAAUUUUGACCUAUGUCUUUGAUAUAUCAUCUAAGAAACAUAGAAUUCAGUUUGGAACUAAAAAGAGUAAAUGAUUAAUUCAAAUUACACUUUCAGACGUUAUUUCAAGGAUUUCUUUGUACAACUACCUUGAAUUGUCACCUAAUAGUAUCUUUUCAUUUGGAAUGCACACUGUGAAGAUAUUGAAAUCAAGGGUUGUGCUACAAUUUUCACAUGAGAUAUUCUUAACAUCUAAUUUUAUAUAUUUUUUUUUAAUUUAGAAUGCACCACAUGAUUUUUAAUAAUGCAUGUUGAAAAUUAUAUGGACAUAUAUGUUAUAUUAAGUAUUACUGUAUUGUUAUAAAUGUUUUGAUGCUUUAUAUGUUGAAUAAUGUUUUGUGUGUGCUCAUAUACUUAAGGCUUAUUCUUUUAACAUAAUUUAAGAUGUACUAAAUCUUCUAUAUGUGUCUUAUUGUAGACAUACUUGAUUGCAAACUAUAUUCAAAUUGACAUGGAAAGUAAUAAGUGGAGCAUCAAUUGUGACAGAGGAGUCAAGGACUUGUGCAUAGCUUUAUUUUUUUAGUGUCUUAUUGGUUUUGUUAAAUUCCUAUGAAUUUUGUUGUUAUUUUAUUUGGUUUUUUUAGGUUUGCAAACUUAUGAGUUAUAACAUUAUUGUUAUCUCUAAACUUUUGCCCCGUGCAACGAACGGGUCCUAUGUAUUGUAAUAAAGAUCAAUAAAUUAUAUUAUAUAUUACUAUUGAUGUUAAAUAACUCAUAGGGAAAAAAUUAUAUUAUUAUUAAACGUGGUACCAUAAAUAUUCAUAUUUUUUUUAAUACAUAAAUCAUGUAAAUCAGCCAACCAAGACAUCACGUGAAGGGGACAUAUAGAAGAUAGGGGGAGCCUUGUUGCACAAAAUUAUCAAAAGAAGAUAUGGUUUGUCAGCAUAAAAAAAGGGAAGACUGUGAAGAAGUUUCCUUCUUUAGAUUUGGCUGGGUUUUGAUGAUAACAAACACAUACCACAAAAGAAGAACAACUAUGGAGGCACAAGAUGAAGAUAAGAUAAAGAUAAAUACUUUUAGAAUGUAUAGUGUUAAUAAUUGUAAGUAUGAUCUUUAUCUUUGAUUUAUCGCUUUCAACAUCUAUAUAACUUAGAAUGCUCAAAAAUUCAUUUGAACUUAAUCACAAAUCAUUUUUUAAAUUAAAUAUAAGAGUCUAUGAGAAGCAGGUUUUUAACUUUAACGUGUAACAAAUUACCAAAUAUGAGUAACUGAUUACCAAUUCAAUUUUCAAAUAUUUUUUAACGUGUAAUAGGUUACCACAUUUGAAAAUUUAAUUUUUUUAAUGUUGGAAUGGUGUAACCGAUUACCAAAACAUAGUUAUCGUUUACCAGCUAUCAAAAUGCAUUUUUUUCAUGAUUGGGUGCGAUUCAAGUGAUUAUUAAUGAUUCAUGGAUCCACUUGGAAUUGGUGUCUUGAUUUAUGGACUUUUCCUGUAAAUACAUUUGAGAUCUAAACAACAUUAAUCAGAUUCAAUAUUCAAAAAGUUUAACAUCAAAUAUCACUUUCUCACUUUAACUUUAAAAUUUUCAUUUUUUUUAAACCUUGAUUGUAUUUUUAUAUCCAAAAAGGUUUAUGAGCAUUAAGUUAUACUCAUUUGAAAGUAAUAUUGAUUUGAUACAGCUAUACAAAAGUUCUUCGACAAUUGUUAAUAAGAAUUUCAUCAUAGUGUUCGAUAAAGAUUCUUGUUCAAAGGUUGAGAAUUUCAUCUUUGUUUGUUGAAGAUUCUUGUUCAAAGGUUGUGAGAAUUUUGUCAUAGUGUUUGGUGAAAAUUCCUGUUGUAAAGAUAGUGGAGUUCUAUCUUGGUUGACUAGGAAAAUUGUUAGAGAAGACUUGGGGUGAAGUGAGGCUUGCUUGUAACAAAGAUUUUAACAUAGUGAAAUCCUUCAUGGGGUAUGAAGGGGAUGGACUAUUUGUAACGCCCUUAUUUUUACAGAGUCUAGAGUCUAUUUAGAUGAUUUAUAUGAUUUAAAUGAUUAUGUAAUGUGUUGUGGAUUUAUUAAGAGGCCUUAUUUUAUUAUUUAAUAGAUCGAGAUUUGAAAAUAAAAUAAAUAUUGAGAUAAGGGGUUGUUUUGAGAAUUUAGAGAGUUUUGUGGGAAAAAGAGGAAAUAAGAUAAAAUAGAUGGGAAGAGAUAAAUAUGAGAAAAUAGGUUUAGAAAAGUUUUCACGUACGAUCAGUUUUGGAGAAAAAUGGAGAAAAGUCAAGAGAAGGGAAGAACCAAGAGAGGCUGCCGAUUUUGAAUCAUAAGGUAAGGGUGAGACUAACAUUCAAUUUUCUUAAGCUUAUAUUUCUGAUGAUUAGAUUUAACAAGUUGUAGGUUUAGUUUUGAGAAUUGAAAUUAUUUUAAAAGUGAUCAAUUGAGGAUUAGAUGAUGGAAAUUUGUAGAAUUGAUGUAGAAAGUGUAUACAGACCUUAGAUAAUCCAUAAGGUGAUGUUUAGAAUCAGUUUUAAGCUUAGAACCAUGUGAUUAGAUGAAUUUUCGUGAAAAAGUGCAAUCUGCCCGAGCCUGAAUUCAUCGCUCGCCCUCGCGAAUGAUGAUCCUUGCCUCGCGAGUGAUGAAUGGAGGUUGGUUAUAGUACUGUUAAUAUUUUGUUUUUAAAAAAGGUCCCUGCAAAAUAUUUUGUUUUUAAAAAAGGUCCCUACAAAAUUAUUUUUUUACGGGGACUAAAACCAAAACGAGGCAUAUUUGCAGGGACUAGAACCAUAUUUUAGCCUUUUCUUUAUAUAUAGAAUAAUUUAUUUUGGUCGUGGUCGGGGUUUGAACCCCGGACCUUACAUAUAUUAUUCGUUGUCCUUACCAACUGAGCUAAGCUUACGAGGAUUGAUAUAGAAAAUAUUAUUACUGCUAUUACUAUCACUAAGAACCACCAAAUUAUUAUUAUUAGAGAAAACAUGGGCACUCACGUGUUUGUCUUUCCGUUCUUUUUAUUGCAUUAACGCAUGUAGAUUAUCAACGAUAUUUUAUAGAAAUUUACGUGUAAAUUACAAACGAUAUUUUAUAUCAAUAUUUUGAUAUAGAUUAAAAUUAUAAGUAUAAAUACUUGUGACUUUCAAAUGUAACAAACUCAACAAACAAUAUUUAUCUUUUUCAAUGACAAAUAUAAUAUAACAAUGGCUUAAUUGGAUAUUUGGCCCCUUAUGUUUAUUUUAGGUUUCAAGUUGGUCCCUUAUGUUUUAAAAGUUUCAAGUUGGUCCCUUAUGUUUUAAAAGUUUUAAUUUCAUCCACAACGUUAGUCACCUUGGAAUAAGUUAAGUCCAUUUUGUCCCUUGACCGUUUAGAGAUUUGGCUUGAGAAUAUGAAUGAAAAAUUUAACUUAUUUAGAAAAUAUAUUUUAAAAAAUUUUUUAAUUUUUUUUAUUAGACUCAAUAUCCUGUCGCUAAAGGGGCUAACUUAUUCCAAUAUGAGUAACAUUUUGGACAAACUUGAAACUUUUAAAACGUAAGGGACCAACUUGAAACCUAAAAUAAACAUAAGGGAUCAAACAUGCAAUUAACCCUAUAAUAAAUAUAAUAAAAAUUCUUAUCUUUUUAAAUAACACCAACAAUAUAACAUUAUUAUUAUAGGAAAUAUUGUUUAAGGGUAAUAUUGAAAUAACAGAAAAUCAGCACAAACUCGCUUAUUCUCUUUGUAUAUAGAUAUUAGCGAAAAAACGGACACUUCACGUACUCGUCUUUCUGCCCUUAUUAUAUAAAUUAUGAACGGUAUUUUAUAUAAAUUUUUUAUUUUGAUUAAAAUUUUAAGUACAAAUAUUUGUGAUUGUAAGAAACCCAAAAGGACAAGUUUAUCUUUUUCAAUAACUAAGUUUUUUUUAUUAGCAUAGAUCCAAAUGACAUCAAAAAGAAUAGUGUCCAACUAAGUUUGUACCCUAAUCUAAUCUUUUGUCAAUUACUCAUAUAUAAUAUGGGUUAAUAGUGUUUUUCACCCCUGUAAUAUAGGUCAUUUCCGGUUUUCGCCCUUAUAAAAUUUUCCGUUUGAUUGCUGUCAUUGUAAUUUUUUUUUUCUUCCGGAAUACCCCCCUCCUCCCUCCAACUCAGCAAAUCAGCCUAUGUGGCGCUGACAAGGAAUUUAUUUUUUUUAUUUUUUUUUUUUCACUUGCCACGUGUAUAAUUCGUUUUUUUUUUUUAAAUUGUGAAAUUUUAAUUUUAAAAAACUCAAUUUUUGUUUUAAUUGUUUUAUUUUUUAAAAUAUUUGAAAAUUAAUUUUCAAAAAAAAAAAAAUUAUUCAGAUUUUUUUCCAAAAAUUUAAAAAAAAUUCAAAUAUUAAAAAUAUGAUUUUUCAGAAUUUUUAAAAUUUUAGAAAAUGAUUUCUUUUUUAAAUUUUAAUUUCAAAAAUGAUUUUAUAAAAAUCUAGAAUAAAAUUUUCGAAAAUAAAAUCUGAAUUUUUAAAAAAAUCUGUAUCCAGAUUAUUAAAAAUAAAAUAUUUUCCAUAAAAAAAAAUAUGAAUUUUUUUAAAAAAUUUCGAAUUUCAAAAAUGAUUUUAUAAAAAUCUAGAACAAAAUUUUCGAAAAUAAAAUCUGAAUUUUAAAAAAAAUAUGUAUCCAGAUUAUUAAAAAUAAAAUAUUUUCCAUAAAAAAAAUAUGACUUUUUUUUAAAAAUUUCGAAUUUGUUUCUUCUAAUUUAACUUUUUUUUUAAUUUUGAAAAUUAAAAUCCAGAAUCUUUAAAAAAAAAUUAAUUUCCAAAAAAACCGAAUAUUUUUUCUGAUUUUUUUAAUAUUCGAAUUUAAAAUAAAACCAUAAAAUUCAAAAAAAAUCUUAUCGUUUUUUCUGAUUUUUUUAAUAUUUGAAUAUUUUAUUUUAAGAUUUUUAAAUUUUUUGGAAAAAAAUCUGAAUAUUUUUUUUUAUUUUUGAAAAUUAAUUUUCAAAUAUUUUAAAAAAUAAAACAAUUAAAACAAAAAUUGAGUUUUUUAAAAUUAAAAUUAAAAAAACGAAAUUAAAAUUUCACAAUUAAAAAAAAAAACGAAUUAUACACGUGGCAAGUGAAAAAAAAAUGAAAAUUUUACAAGGACAGAAAUCAAAUCGAAAAUUUUAUAAGGGCUAAAACCGGAAAUGGCCUAUAUUACAGGGGUGAAAAACACUAUUAACCCUAUAUAAUAUUAAUUAAAAAAGGGGGAAAAUACAAAUAAAAGAAAAAAUUGGGGGGCAUAAACCUAACCCAGUAAAUCUACAGAAAAGUGUAGGUCAACCCCAAAUGGGAAAAAUACAACAUAAGUGCAUCAUCCUCUAAUUAAUCCUAAAACUAUUCAAAAGUUUUCAAUGCGAUGAUUGGACCUUCCAUCAACAUGGAAACGAGACCUUGUACCAUCAACUCCCUACAACAAAGGGAAGCAAGCUAAAUGACCCUUUCGAGUCUCACAGUUUAAAUCAAACAUAUUGAAUGGAGAAACAAAACAUGUGUAUGAAUCAUCUUCCAACAUAGAAGCGAUUCAAAAUCCAUCAACUUCCUGCAAAACCACAACAAGCUAUAAUUUCCCUUUCGAGUCAAACCAUUUGAAACAAAUCCAAUAGAACACGAUGUUAGUAGACAAACCACAAUAUAUCUGAGCUCAAUCAUGAAGGAUUGAGAGAGAUUUAAACCCACUCUCGAUUACUACAUAAUGGUGGAAGCAACCCCAUUAGCUUUGAAUCCUGCAAAUCUCAAUAGACAUGGGUUAGAAUAGGAAAACAAAAGCAAGAUGAGAACACCAGGCAGACGAACCGAGCAAAGUCUUGAAGAACCUGACGCAAAUCUCAGAUCUGAGAAGAUAUGCUUCCACGUUGUCAAAACUGAACCACACAAAAAUCAUUGGUCCAAGAGACGGGCACGAUACGUGACAACCAUUAGGUCAAUGGCGUUUCUCACAAAGGAACCAAACCGAAGCUAAGAAUGAGAACCAGCCACCACCAUCGAGGAUGGAGGCGGCAUUGACCGAAGCAUACCCUAACAUGUGGAAAAAGACCACCAUAGGGUUGAAACGUGAUGUUGCUCAGUUUGUUUAUGCAUGUUUGACUUGUCAGAAGUCUAAGGUUGAGCAUCAGAAGCCUGCAGGGUUGUUGACACCGUUAGAUGUGCCAAAGUGGAAGUGGAACAACAUAUACAUGGAUUUUGUGACGAGUUUACCGAAUACUCCGAGAGGGCAUGAUGCCAUUUGGGUUGUUGUCGAUAGGUUGACAAAGUCGACACACUUUAUUCCGAUCAUUAUUAGUUAUCCGGUAGCUCAGUUGGCGGAGAUUUACAUUCAUAAUAUUGUGAAGUUGCAUGGAGUUCCGUCGAGUAUUGUGUCGGAUAGAGAUCCGAGGUUCACUUCAAGAUUUUGGAAGAGUUUGCAAGAUGCAUUGGGUUCUAAGUUGAGGUUGAGUUCGGCUUAUCAUUCGCAAACAUAUGGUCAGUCGGAGAGAACGAUUCAAUCGUCAGAGGAUUUGCUGAGAGUGUGUGUACUUGAGCAAGGUGGAGAUUGGGAUAGUCACCUACCGUUGAUAGAGUUCACGUACAACAACAGUUACCAUUCGAGUAUUGGUAUGGCACCGUUCAAAGCUUUGUACGGUCGGAGGUGCAGGACUCCUUUAUGUUGAUUUGAGUCAGGAGAGAGUGUAGUGUUGCGACCGGAUUUGGUUCAUCAGACUACAGAGAAGGUUAAGAUGAUAAGGGAAAAGAUGAAAGCGUCGCAAAGUCUACAUAAGAGUUACCAUGACAAGCGUAGGAAGGCCCUUGAGUUUCAAGAGGGAGAUCAUGUGUUUCUGAGAGUUACUCCUAUGACGGGUGUAGGACGUGCAUUGAAGUCUAGGAAGUUGACUCCUAAGUUUAUUGGUCUGUAUCAUAUAUCUGAGAGGGUUGGAACAGUGGCAUAUAGAGUGGGUUUGCCACCACAUCUUUCGAAUUUGCAUGAUGUGUUUCAUGUGUCGCAACUUCGGAAGUAUGCAGCGGAUCCUUCGCAUGUUAUUCCGAGAGAUGAUGUGCAGGUUAGAGACAACCUUACAGUUGAGGCCUUACCGUUGAGAAUCGAAGACCGUGAGGUGAAGAAGUUGAGAGGCAAGGAUAUACCUCUAGUGAAGGUUGUUUGGGGUGGAGUAACUAGAGAGUAAGAUGCGGGAGUCUUAUCCAGAAUUGUUUGCUUGAGGUAAUAUUUCGAGGACGAAAUUCUCUAAGUUGGGGAGAGUUGUAACGCCAUAGUCGUCGUUUUAUUUAUUUUAAUUUAUUUAGAGUCUUUUAUAUGAUUUUAAAUAAUUAUUGUUAAUAUGUGGUGUGUUAUAUUUUAUUAUAUGGUUUAUUUUAAUAUUAAUUAGAAUAAGUGGGAAUUAUUAUUAUUUUUUAGGUUGGGGAUUUAAUUAGAAAUUAAUAGAAUUAAGGGGAAGUAAAAUGAAAUAAAGGGGAGUUAUGUAUUGGGAGUUUGGAAAAGAAAUAGUCAGAAAGCAGUUUCACGUACAACAGACAAGUUUUGGGAGAAAAGGGAGAAGAGCCAAGUGAACCAGAUUUUUGUGCAAUUGUUCAUCUGAAUUAAGGUAAGGGUGAGGUUUACUUCAGUAGUGUAGAUGUUUAAUUCUGAUUUUCGUUUAACAAGUUUAUGGUAGAAAUUGGGAAUGUUGGGGUUUAAGUUGAAUUCUUGGUUUUUGGGUGAAUUGAAUGUAGGAAUUACUAUUUUGAUGUUAGAAAUAGGUUCUGGUUGCAUACAGCAUUUAGUUUUACAUCUGUAAACUGAUUUGGGGAGUGAAAUUGAGGAAAUUGGGAUUUUUGGGAAAAACCUGCAUUCUGCCCGUAUUGAUGUUUAUCGCUCGCCCCGGCGAGUAGCUUGUCUCGCCUCGCGAGUGAGCAACUUCAUGGCUCGCCUCGCGAGUAGAACCACUAGCCAUGGCGAGUUAGAGAGUGAGAGAUCAAGAUUUUUAAAUUGUUGUUAUAAGGUAUAAUUUGGUUAGUUUUGAGUGCCUCGAUGAUUUUAGAGAGGACUGAGACAAUUUUUAGAUUAAAAAGAUGAAUAGGGAGCUUAAAAAUGAAGAUUUAGUGAGAAAAAUGUCAAAACUCUCGAGAGCACCCUUUUUCUCAUUCGCCUCGUACUCGCCACGACGAGUAACCUUUUUCCUGAGCUCGCCAUAGCGAGCAGAUGCACUCGUGAGGCGAGUUGCCAGUAUCUGAACUGUUUGUUAUAUAAUUGAAUAAUGUUGAAUGAACUUGAUGAAUGAGCAUGAUUAUGAUUAAUUGUGUAUUUUUUUGGAAUUGUUGGAUUAAUUAUGCUGAUUUGUUGAUGAUUGUGAUGUAUGUUUACAUUUAAUUAAAUCAUACAUGUUGUUUAAUUGUGGGGUUGUAAGUCAUAUAUAUAUAUAUAUAUUGUUUAGUUGUAUGUAGAUAUACACAAGUGGAGUCCAUUGCAUAAACAUAAAGCGGUGAGGGCUCAUGCCCUGGAACGCCUUGUCGUUCAAAGCGGGAGGGCUCAUGCCCUGGAACACCUUGUUGUUCAAAUUGGUGAGGGCUUAUGCCCUGAUGAAUACUUUAACCAUUCAAACUCAGUGAGGGCUUCUGCCCUGUAAAUUGGUACCACAUGCAUGUGCAUUGUCGAGGAGUCUUAGCGGUGUUGUCGAGUAGUUGCAUGAGUUGUUGUUGUUGGUUGUAAAUACCAUUAUUGUUGAUGUUGUUAAUUAUGAAAUAUAUAUGUAUAUUGAAUAAUUAUUGUUAUGUUAGGGUGUUAGAUUCAAUUGAUGAAUUUUAUAUCUAUUAUUAUUGUUGUGAAUCUAACCACUUCUUCUUGGAAAUGUUGCCCUUCCUAUGGGUAACUUGCAGGUGAUCCUGAGUAGUAGGUAGUGGCUCAAGUGUCUAGGGCUCUGAUACGUGCAGGAUGGGGAUUACUUGUUUAUUUUCAUUCCUUAUGUAUCAAAUUUUCGAACAUGCUGAUGUAGCCCUUUUAUUAGUUGUUGAAUUAUUUUGAUGAGGCUUUUAUGCCAGGAUUGUUUAGUGGAGAAUUAAACAUCGAUGUUGUUGUUAUUUAAUGAAAAAUAUUCCACUGCAAGGUUUUGGUGAAACCAAUAAAGUUGUCGUUUAUUAAAUAGUUUUAUAUUCUAUUUAAGAAAUUUUGAAAAGUAGUGUGACAUGCCCGUUUGGUAUUAAACUCUGAUGUAUUAUUUAUUAUUUAAUUGUUUGGGAUAACGGGGUGUUACACCUGGAGACAACGUUGUAUACCAAGUAAAGGCACUCUUUGGUAAUGAACUUGGGAAGAAUUUCAUUCUUAAGUUCUCAUUGUUUGCUAUGUCACCCGCUUCUGUCAAGUAACGAGCGAUAUCUUCAACCGUGGAUUCAUUAGUUACUCCACCAAAUUUGGUGAAUUUAGGGAUUUUCCAACCCCUGGGUAAUUACUCCAUUGUCACAUACUCGGGUAAAGGUGACACGAAAUUAGAUCUAUGCAGACCCAAAUUGAAACCAUUUUAAGUCAAAAGGGUUUCGACUACGUUGGCAAUAUUUUUUUGACCCUCCAAAUUGACUUGUUGGGCUUGCCUAACUAUUUGAUCAGGAUCUUGGUUCCUUUGAACCAAAAUUUGAACUCUUUCAUGCACCACUGGCGCUGGUGGUUCGACUAUAGGUUAGGGCCUUGGAUUGAUAAGAUUUCCAGCAUUUAAACAUGCCUAUAAUUCUGAACUUGAGGUAUUUGCACAUUUCGCCUUGGAGGAGAGCCAAAGAAAUCAGCGAUUCGCCCCAUUUGGUCUGAUAGUUCCAAAUAACUGUUAUGGGUAUCCCUAAUUAAAGGGUUAAACACCGUUCCAAUUUGCUGAGUCCAACGUAUUGACCAUUUCAUGGCUACUAUCUUCCAUUUGGUCAAUGUUUGUUGAGGAUUUAAACCAGAAACAGUCGGUGUAGGAUAAUAAAAUUGAGGGUGAACUACAUUAAAUUCUCUGAAACAGGUGGACUAUUAUGGAGACCCAUCAUAAGGGAUGAAGUCAUUCCAUAUGGCUGGUUCCUAAGAUUUAACGGAUUAAAGGACCAUGGAUUUUGAACUAACGGAUUGGAAAAAUUCACAUUAGAUUGUGUAACCGCUGCAACCGUCAAAGUUGUGACGGGAACGAUUGAUGAUGUAUGAGCGGAAAUUCUUGCCCCCACCGUUUCAUCAACGUUCGCGCCAUGGGAUGACAUUGUGUGUGGAAUUUGAUGUGGAUUUAUAUUUAAUGAUAAAUUAUCCAUAGAUGCCCUUGUUGGGCUUGAAGGAGGAUUAUUACUGCGAGUAGAACGUACCAUAUCUGGAAUUUUCUUUCUACUCCUCAAGAACAUACACAACAAAAAUCAUAGAAGAUUGAAUACAAGGAACAAAUUUAGACAAGAACACAAAUCGUCCCACUGGGCGUGCCAAUUUGUUUACCCUAGAUUUUGGUAAACUACUGAAUUGGUUUCAAGACGAGGGCGAGCGAGAUCAUCCAACAAAUCUCAAGACCGUUUGUGUUUGAUUGUUCAAUUUCGUUUGAUGACUAUUCUAACAAACUAUUAAUAUAACCGUUGAAAUCCAGAAACAGGGUGAGACCCUUCGAGAUUAUCUUCAAUGGAUCAAUGCAAAGGAUUUAAAGGAUAAAGUAAAAAGAAAAGAGUCUAGGCUAAAGAGCUAAACUAGAAAUUGAAUUAAAGUAAAUGAAUGUAAAAAAAAGAGUUGGUACGCAUAUUCAUACGCUAUGACUUGUUUACUCGUUUCUCCUUUGUGUGUGUGUGUGUGGAUAGUUUGAGUGUGUAAGCUUUUGAUAUGUUUGAAUUGUGACCCGUUUUCCAUAGAGGAAAAUGCUACUUAUACUAAGUAACUGCCUACGGACACGUUUAAGAUGUAACCGCUAAUAACUGCAACGGGCGUAUUUGAAUUCCAAAUAACGCCUCUUCGACGAGAAACCUCCAUUUAGCCCCUCUCAUAAAUGCCAACCGCUCUUCAACGUCUUCUUCGCUCCGUCCAACCAUCCUUUCGAUCAGCAAAUCCUCUGGUCUUCACUUCCACUGUCGAACUUGAGACUUGAGCUUGCUUCGUUCCCUUUGAAAUUUAGGUCAAACUUCAUUGACCGCAUUUAUCAUAGCCUGCUGAAAAUACAGGCUAACAAUACCCUAGAAAAUGGACAAGUAAAAUCAGCGAACAGAGUGAAGCAAAAACCAAGUGGGUGGAGGAACUUCAUACAGUCCCAUGGGCUAUCAAACGACCCCUUACGUAUGGAUCGGAAGCAGUCAUUCCUGAAGGUGAGAAAAACACAAGAAGGGGGUUGAAUUGUGUUAGCUUUUUCUUAUUUUUCACCUAAGCUAAUAACACUGAUCAGAAGCAGAUAGAGUUCUACUUCUGAAGUGAUGUUCAGAACUAGAUGCAGCGGAUAAAAGAGAGAGAAAGAGAGAAGAAAGACACAAAGCAAUUUAUACAGAUUCCUUCCACAAACUGGAAGUCAGUCAUGUCCCCCUUGCAUUUCCAAGGAGAUUUCACUAUGUAAUAUCUGAUUACAAUUGCUCACUUCUAAGACUAGUAAGAGACUUCAAAUUUCUCAAGCACAACUGCAAGAGACUUCCUAUGCUCCUGAACACAAUCAAGAGACUUCUAAUGCUCAAGCACAACUGCAAGAGACUUCUAAAUUCAAACAGAAUUACAAGCAAAAUGUUUGCAGUUGAACCAUUGAUAUACAAUCAGUGGUGUUCACAAUACAAAUCAGAUACAAACUAUUAAGACUCUAGAAUUUCUAAGAUAUGAAAGUUGAUAAGAAAUUCUAAGUGAACUUUUGAAUGCAGAACAAUUUCAGCAGAGUUUUGGCACUUUGUAAAUUGUUGUUGAGUCCUUGCCAAUCUCUAAGUCUUCACUUCUUUAUAUAGAGAUGUGAAAGAGACGUUGUGAAUUUGCAGCACAUUCCAAAUAGAAUCGUUUGAAGCUUUGAUCAAUCACCAAUGAUCUUUUUCCUGAUAUGGUUAUUGUACUAUGAAUGAUCAAUUUGAAAGGCAUUCCCAUUUUCAAGAAACAACGUUGCAGGCAGAGCUGUUUUUCUUGUCUUGUAGCAGAGACAAAAAUAGAGUAGUGGAGGUAGUGGUUGUACACUUCGUACAAUUGUACUUUGUUAACGCUCUUUGAAGAACAAGCAUCCAAUGCCUUUAAAUUCUUUCAAACUUGUCGUUGUUUCACUUUUCCAGUCGUCUGCAAUGCUUAGACAAUAUUAAAUCCAUUGAACAACCUUUGAAGCUUUAUGUUGCAUCUCCUGAUGAACUACAACUUCUGGUGAUUUUCAGCUUCUGAUGAACUUGCUUCUAAUGACGUCACUACUUCAGGAGCACUUUGUCUUCAGGAGCAGUUUAUUUCAGACGUUUUAAGCUUCCUUUUUGUUGAUUCCUUUCCUCUCUAUUGUUCUUCCAAGACCUUUUUAAGAUGUCAAAUUUUGUCUAUGGUCCUGUACACUUGAAAAAAUAUUAGCAUAUCCAAUUGACAAUUUUUAAUACCUUGUUAUCAUCAAAACUCUCAAAGGGUAAAACACAUUUUGUUCCAACAUUCUCCCUCUUUUUGAUGAUGACAAACAUUAGUAUUUAAAAUGUUUAAUUGUUGUUAAUCUAAUUAACACGUUGACUAUAAAGAUAUGAGGUUUGUAAGCUCCCCCUGAGUCCAAUAGUACUUUAAGGUGAGGUUUGUAAGCUCCCCCUGAGUUCUAUCCAUGUUAAUUAAAUUCCUCAUUAAAAACGCAAUAACUCUCAGAAAAAUCUCACAUUAAUAGACUAAGAGAUUAGAAGAAGGUCCUAUUAAUUUAACUUGAUUAGAAUUAAAUUAAUAGGGCUCAGAGCCUAUAAAUACUAUACAUCUACUCCCCCUUUUGUCAUCAACAAAAAGUAUAAAAUAAAGACAAAAAGAAAUAGAUGAGAAAAAUAGUGAGAAAUUCUGUAAAUGAAUAAAUUCAGAAGCAAUAUAUAUAUAUAUAUCAGAGCAAGAACGAAGUUCAGAAGCAUAAUCAUUUCAUUUAGAAGCAAAAACAAAAUUCAUCAGAAGUAGUAAUUCAGAAGCAUAAAAACAAUGAGCAGAAAACAAAUAAUAGAUAAAAACUAAACAAGCUAAUGAUGUGCAACUAAGGUUGGGUUUGUUUUUUGAUCAUCUCCAUCAUUUGUUUCAUCAUUCUUUUUUGUUUCAUCUGCUUUUCUAUUCAUUUCUUGCUUGAAUUCUUCAUUACUCUUGACCAAUCUUUCUUCUCUAACCAUUGCUUCUUCUAACUGUGCUUCUUUGGAUGACUUGUAUUCUAGCAGGAAUAGCUUCUGUUCAAGAACUUCCUUCCUUAGCUUCUUGUUUUCUGAUUCAAGCUCUGCAUUCCUUUGCAUGAGUUUUAGUUUAGAAGAGGAAGACUUGAAGUUGAUCUUCUGCAGAAAGGUCAAAUCUAAUUCCUUAGGAUGCACACCAGUAGGAAUGAAAUCUGUAGCAUUCCUUUCUCUUAGGCAAAGAGGAUUUUCCACCCAAGUUCUGAGAAUUUUGACUUCUUGUAGAUUGUUGUCCACACUUCUUAGCCAGUCUUGAAGCUUCUGUUGAGCUAAGUCUUGAGCAUCCAUACAUGAUCUUUGAAGCUCGCUCAAGACAAAGUCAACUCUCUCUUUUAGCCUAUUCCAGAGCUUUUCAUAGUUGUCCUUGUGAAGAAGGUUAUCCCUUGCUUGAACUAGAUUGUUCAGCUCCUUGAAAAUUUUCUCACACACAUCUGAUAGUAUAGUAGAAUCAAGAAACAUUGUGGGUGGAGAAUAAAUUUUUGGUUUGGUAGGAACUACAAGUUGGAUAGCUAGAGUUGAUGGUUGAUCAGAACCAGACUCCAUAAUCACAGUAGAAGAAGAGUUUAUUUGCUCUUCCUCAAUAUUAGAAGCAUCUAAUGUGAUCAUAGGUUCAGGUUCACUGACAGUUUCAGGGAUAGCUGAUGAUGUAGGUUGAUCAGAAUCAAUUUGUUCAGAAGCAGAUGGUUCAGGAACAACUUGUUCAGGUGUAGUGAUAUUUGUUUGGGCUAUUUGUGAUUUUGGUGAUUGUUGUUGGGGGCUUUCUAAAGUAACUUCUUCUGAAGCUACCUCAGAGGCUUUUUGUGGGUUGGAUGAUUCACGCUCUUGGUUGGUUGAAGUGGGGUGUUGUGAUGUUGAUUCUGGAUUAGUUUCAGAAGGGAUAAAAUUAAGUGGUUGAAUCAUAGGUGGUUGGAAAGGAUGAUUAGAAGUAGGUUUUUACAAACAUCUAUUCUCAUUUGAGACAUGCUACCUAUCCUUUCAUCGGCACUAGGGAUCAUAGGUUCAAAGGAAUUGUAGUUGAUGUAACACCCCGUUUUUCCAACUUAAAAAUUUCACAUAUAAAUCAGAGUAUUUCAACAUAAACGGAAUGUCACACUUCUUUUCUUAAAAUCAUAAACGGAAUAAAAUAACUAUUUAUCUUUCAAAAUUCAAUGUCAUAAUAUUUAUUACUUCACACAGAAAUUAUUCAACUUUUAAACAACUUUGGCAAAAGGGCCUCAACAUAAAAUCUCUUAAAAUUCUUCCAACAACAUGUUCAUGAUAAUUCAUAAAAUAAUACGUAAGGAAUAGAAAGCAACAACAAAAUCCCAUCCCGUUACGUAUCAGAGCACCUAAGACACACGAGAGAGAGACCUCACACGACAUCAACUAUUCUUGGUUACCUGCAAGUUACCCAUGGUGGGCAACAUUUCCAAGCAGAAGGGGUGAGAUUUCACAUUCAAUAAAUAUAAGCAUAUAAUUCAUCAAAAGCAUUUAACAACUUAAACAUCAUCAAUUAAUAAUAAUAAUUCUUCAUAUAGUACUUCAUUAAUAGCUCAAUCAACUUCUAGUCAUCAUUAAUAUCAUAUUCAUCACAUCAUAUACAUUCAUCAUAUAACAACAUAAACAACACAACAUAAAGAUCAUCUCAUAACAACAUAAACAACACAUCAUAAAAAUCAUCUUAUAACAACAUAACAUCACAUCAUAAAAAUCAUCGCAUAACAACAUAGUCAUCACUUCAUAAAAAUCAUCGUUUAACAAUAUCAUAAUCAAUAUCAUAAACAACAUCAUAAUCAACAUCAUAUAGUAUCAUAACAACAUAACAACAUCAUAAUCAACAUCAUAUAGCAUCAUAAUAACAUCAUAUAAUCAACAUCGUAAACAACAUCAUAACAUUAUAAUCAAUAUCAUAAACAACAUCAUACAGCAUCAUAAUAACAUCAUAUAAUCAACAUCGUAAACAACAUCAUAACAUUAUAUUCAAUAUCAUAAACAACAUCAUAUAGCAUCAUAACAACAUAUAAUCUUCAUAAGCACUUCAUUAACAACACAUGGGUAGAAGACAACUCAACAACUUAACGACUCAUGGAUGACAACUCAUCAACAACUUAACAACUCAUGGAUGACAACUCAUCAACAACGACUUUGACUCGACAAUGCAACUUCGACUUCUUAAUCAUGCAUGUGGUACCAAUCCAGGGCAUCAAGCCCCAUCGCUAUUUAAGUAUUAAUAUACUUCCAAGGCAUCAAGCCCCCAUCGCUAAAUGAGCUAAAGCUCCAACGUGUUGAGUACAAAGCUCCAGGGCAUCAAGCCCCCAACAAUGAAAUGCUAAUGCAUGGACUCGACCUCUUAAACAUCUUAAUUCAACAACUUCUUAUAUAAUCCAAUAAUUUGGAACAACAACUUACAACUUAGACAACAUCAACAACUUAAGACUCCAAUACUUUGGGAUACUUUGGAAUGACAACUUACAACUUUACAACUUAGACCAACACCUGCAACUUGAUCAAUAUUCAACAGCAACAGAAACAACACGAGCAAUUCACAACAUAACAAUAUUAAUGAGAAGCAUCAACAACUUAAACAUCAUACAUUUUCCACAUAACGAAUAUAAAUAUUUCACAUAACCAACAACAGCAACAUAGGCAGCACGUAAACAUCACAAGAUAUAACAAUAUCAAAUGAUAAUCAACAACAACUAAACAUCUUAUAUAAUUCACAUAAUGCAUAUACAAAUAUAUUACAUUACCAUCAACAUUAAAUCAUAUUCAUCAACAUAUACAUUCAUAUAAUAAAUCAUCAAUCAUAAACAACAUUAUUUCUAUAUCAUACAAUAUUCACAUAAUAUAUGUAUCUUAAAUUAUUCAACAAAGAUAUUCACGUCCAACCAAAUUAGAUCCAUCACCACACAUGUUAAAUAGGACAUGCUGAAUUUUCAUAAAAUUUCACUAAGACCUACUUGGAGUAUUUUCAUCAUAUCUCACGAACCAAAAAUCAUUUUCAGGUCAAACCAAAGCCACUGGAAAGCUAACUCAAUUAUCUACAAAUUUCAUGUUUACACCAAAGGCCAAUUCAAAACUAAAACGUGUGGAAAAGACGCAAGAACAUGAAAUAGGACAUGCUGUCAAAGAGCAACUCGGGAAAAAUCUAUUUUUCACCCCAAAAUCCCAAUUUUAACUUCUCUAUGCCCAAAUUUGAUCCAAAAACUUGACUAACCAUUUUUAUACAUGUUAAGGCACUCAAAACCACAUAAAAGAUGACCCAAAACAUUACCCAAGCUCUAUGGUUAAGAUUACCCAAGGUUUGAAUCAUAUAAUCAACAAUUUAUCACUUUUAACCCUUAUUCCCAAAUCCUCAAAACUAAACCUACAACAUGUUAAAUAUAAUUUUCAGAAUUAAAACACUUAGAAUUAUUGAAGGCUAGUCCCACCCUUACCUUGGAUUGAUCGACGAAGGACUCUACCGCUUUCUCUUAUCUAAAAGAAAAUUAAACAGAAGAGGGAUUAUGGUCUUAAGAACACUUUUAAUUCCGAAGGGACAGAAGGGAGUAUAUAAAGAAGAAAGACUCGUCAACACAAGUCAAAAGAGGGAGAAGAGAAGAAAAGCACAGGAAGUAUCAACUGUGAAUUUCGGUGUGUAGAAUGCACUGUGUGAGUUCCCUAUUUAUAGAGAUAGUUUACAACUAAUAAAUGAGAAACUUUGGAAACAAGUAAUGCACCUAUUAGAUCUAGUACUUAAAUAUAUCAAUUGAGUACCAAAAUAUAUUAUAUUAAGUACAAAAAUAUAUUAUUCAGUACAAAAAUAUAUUAGAUUGCCUACCGAAAUCUCAAUAUUCUAUUCUAAUAUAUAUAUAUAUAAUAUUUAUAUAACAAAUAACAAUUAUAUCUCAAUAACAAAUAUAUUUCUAUAAGAUAUAUAUAUAUAUAUAUAUAUAUAUAUAUAUAUAUAUAUAUUUCUACACCAAAUAAGAAAUAUAUUUCUACACUAGAUAACAUAUAUUUCUACAACAAAUCAUACAUAUUUCUACAACAAAUCAUAUAUAUUUCUACAACAAAUAACAUAAUAUUUCUUUACCAAAUAACAUAUAUUUUUACACAAAAUAACAUAUAUUUCUACAACAAAUCAUAUAAAUCACAUAACUCAUAAAAAUAGACUAUAAACUCAAUAAAAUAAUUAAAUAUUAAAAUAGGGCAUUACAGUUGACACCAGGCUUUUUGUAGGUUUUGGUUGAUGGUGAAAGGCCUUUGUGAAUAGUUGUGUAUAUCUAACCUAAUGGUACAUCAUCUAAAUCUGAUGUGGAUGUAGAUGAGGUGUAUUGAGAGGAUAUGCAUAGGGUUAAAUCUGAUUCCACUAUAAUUAAAUUAUUAGUGUGUUGAGAAUCAGGAAUACCUUCUGAAGCUUCUGGAAUGGCAGCUUCUAAUACACCAGCAGCAAUAUCCAACAAGCUUCCAGCUUCAGUUGCCACCAACUCUUGCACAACUUCAGCAGCCCUUAUCACUUCUUGAGCAUCUGCACCAGCAUUUUCCCUUGCUAUGCUGGAUGCAGGGAUUUUAAUCUGCUUUGCCAACUCCAAGGCCUUCUGGAGUAUAGCAGCAUCUUCAGCUUUCUUCUUCCUUACCUCUCUUGUGACAAGAUUAGUAGCAACAUCUAUUUCUUCUUCUUCACCAGCAACUGUUGUCACCUUUAACUUCCUGAUAGCCUGCUUUCUCUUCUUCUUAGGUAUAGAAGGCUGAUUAGGUGCAAUUUGAGAGGAAGCAACUUCUUUACCACUUCGGGUCCUUUUAUUCAGAAUUCUUUCAGCAUCUAGGUCCUGAACUUCUUCCUGAAUAGUUGGUACACACGAACCAACAUUUACUUCAGAAGAGGCCUUCUCCUUCUUUACUUUCUUGGCCUUCUUAGAAGACUGUUCAGAAGCAUCUUCCAAGUAAUCAUCUUUGCUGAUAGCUUUCCUCUUAGUCUUCCUGCUCCUAGCAACUAGAAGAGCUCCACAAUACAGAGUUUCAGGCACAUCUUCCAAAUUAAUCUUUGUGCCUAUUGAUGCAAAAUGAUCCUUGAUAUAAUUCAUCUGGACAUCCAGAGGGUCUUGCUUGCAGAUGGGAGGAAAGUCUCGCAUUAAAUUUGAUACAGCAAAAGACUCUUUCAGGUCUGAGUUCAACUUUUUGUAAUCAGUCUUGCUGAUCAGCUUCAUAUCCUUCGGUGUGCUUCCAUUUAUGAGUUUGCCGGUUUCAGUCCCUAGCUGCUCAUCAAUAAAGAAGUUUACUUUGCUGAGAGCAUUCAGGAUCCCUCCUUGAUGAAGGAUUUCUGAAAUGAGUCUUCCAUAUGGAACCCAGCAUCUUUUCUUCUCUUGGCUUUCUCUAAGUUGCUGGAUCAUAUGCCUGAAGAUGUAUCUUGGAACAUUUUCUCUUUCUCCAGUUAUGAAGAAGUGGAGGAAGAUCUUGUGCUCAAGUGAGGGUUGAUCACUGCCACCACCUUUUGGUAGCAGAUUUUCAUUUUGAAUCUUCAGCAUCAACUUCUUCUGCAUACUUAAGUUAGCAUAGACACCCUUCUCUGUGCUGUUGAUAAGGAUUGAUGAACUAUUUCAUUCCAAGGUCUUGUUUUGAUGUUUCUGAUACCACCUUUGUACCUUCCUUCAAUAGUUCUUCUGAGGACGAAAGCAAUGAUGUCUUCAGAAAUAUGGACCGGAAUGCCCAUGAUGCCUAGACCUUAUCUCUGUGCACACAAAUGGUUCUAAGCCCAUUUCUUCACGAGAUUUCCCUUUUAGCUCUGGAUUGACUAUAACCUUUUUUACUUCUUCCACCUUAGCAGCUUCUUUGUCGUAGACACUUGCUCUCACCUAGAAGUGCCUUACCAGCGUUUGAUAUGUUAGUCCAUUCAACAUAUUGAAGUAAUCUAUUAAGUCUUGUGCUUCAUAGAAUCUUCUGAUGUCACAACCAUGGAACACCAAAGACGUGAAGUCUACUAGAUUUUCUUUCUGAAUCUUCAAAUCCCAUUCUUCCAGAGACAUGGUUCUUCCUUUAAUUUCGUAAGCUGGAAAAGCUUCUUGCAUGUUUGAUGAUGAUUCAGGAACUGAGCUUGAAGUUGCCAUAGAUGAUGAAGAUGAAUUUUUAGGGUUCUAAGGAUUUUGAAUGCGCUUACUUCGCAGAAAAUAGUUUGAGAAGAUGAAAGUGUAGGUUGUGAAGUGAGUAGUGUGUAUUUUGUCUAAGUGUUUCCACUAACUUUGCUAUUCAGGAGCAAAGAAUUCAGCGUCUGAAGUUAAAGUGCUGACAUCAUCUUCAGAAGCACAUUUUCCUCAGAAUCUCAGUUAAGAGCUUCUGAUGGACCAUAGCUUCUGAACAGACUUCAGAACUUAUCUUCUAGUUCAGGAGGAAGCAAAUUUAAUCAGACACAAAGUGCAUGUUCAAAUUUUUCUUUAUAAAAUCAAAUCUUUCCAUAGUUAAAGGCUUAGUAAAUAUAUCAGCCCAUUGAUGUUCAGUAUCAAUGAAUUGUAUAUUUAAAAUUCCUUUUUGAACAUAAUCUCUGAUAAAGUGGUGUUUGAUUUAUAUAUGCUUGGCUCUUGAAUGUAGAAUUGGAUUCUUUGACAAACAAAUAGCAGUAGUAUUAUCACAAAAGAUGGGAAUACUGUUAGCAUUUAUCUGAUAGUCUUCCAACUGAUGUUUCAUCCAAAGUAGUUGUGUACAACAACUUGCAGCUGAAAUGUAUUAUGCUUUUGCUGUAGACAUAGCAAUGGUUGCCCGUCUUUUGUUAGCCCAUGAUAUCAGAUUCUCUCCCAGGAACUGACAGUUUCCACUGGUUUAUUUUCAUUCAAUCCUGUCACCAGCAUAAUCAGCAUCACAAAAUCCAACCACUUGAUAAUCUAGGGAUUUCGUAUAGAGCAGUCCAAGAUUAGUUGUUCCCUUCAAAUACAUGAAGAUUCUCUUAACAACAGUUAAAUGAGAUUCUUUUAGGAUUUGACUGAAAUCUUGCACACAAGCAUACACUGAAUAAAAUAUCUGGUCUAGAUGCAGUGAGGUAUAACAAAGAACCAAUCAUACCUAUAUACAGCUUCUGGUCUACCUUUGUUCCAAUAUCUUCUUUGCUUUAGGUGCAAGUUGGAUGCAUUGGAGUGUUCAUCACUUUACAAUCUUCAAGCUUGAACUUCUUCAGAAGCUCCUUUGUAUAUUUUGUUUGAUGAACAUAUACUCCAUCUUUUCUUUGAUUGAUUUGAAUUCCAAGGAAGAACUUCAAUUCUCCCAUCAUGCUCUUUUCAAAUUCAUCCUGCAUUUACUUAGAGAAUUCCUUGCAAAGAGAUGCAUUAGUAGAACCAAAUAUUAUAUCAUCAACAUAUAUCUGCACAACCAGAAUGUAUUUCUUAAGAGUCCCUCUGAAGAGUGUUGUGUCAACUUGACCUCUUUUAAAAUCAUUUUUUAUCAAGAUUUACUGCAUAGGAUAGAAGUAACCUGAUUGCUUCCAAUCUUGCAACUGGAGCAAAUUUUUCAAUGUACUCAAUACCUUCUUGUUGACUGUAACCUUGUUCAACAAGUAUAGCUUUGUUUCUGACUACUUCACCCUGUUCAUUCAACUUGUUUCUGAAUACCCAUUUUGUUCCAAUAAUGUUCUUCUGCUGAGGUUUGGGUACCAGAUCACACACAUCAUUUCUUUGAAACUGAUUUAGCUCUUCUUGCAUAGCUAAUAUCCAUCCAUCAUCUGAAAGUGCUUAAUCAAAUGUGGAAGGAUCAAUCACUGAUAAUAAUCCUAUCAUAGACUCUUCUUGUUUGAAGUAUGAUCUUGUUCUUCUAGGACUAUCCUUGUUUCCAAUGAUUAGAUCCUCAGGAUGUGAAGACUUGUGCUUGAAUGUACUUUUGGAUUGAAUUACUUGCUGAGAGUCAUCGUGAGUUUCUUCAGAAGCAUUUUCAUUUUGUGCUUCUGAGGUUCGUUCAGGUUCUGUAGUGGGUUGUGCUUCUGGACUUUCUUCAGAUUCAGCUUUCUGAUCAGGUUCUGAAAUGUCUUCAACGACCUGUAUAUCUGCAAAACUUUCAUCUUGCUCUGGAGUUUCACUUCCAGGCUCUUUGUCAUCAAAUUUAACGUGCAUUGAUUCUUCAAUACAUAGUAUCUCUGAAUUAUACACUGUGUAUGCCUUUGACCUUUCAGAGUAACCUAAAAAGAUUCCUCUUUGGGCCUUGGCAUCAAAUUUCUUUAGGUAGAGCUUGUUAUUUAGAAAGUAACAGGUACAUCCAAAUUCAUGAAAGUAAGAGAUAUUGGGUCUUCUUCCCUUAAAGAGAUCAUAUGUUGUUUUCUCCAAGAUAGGUCUGAUAUAGAUUCUAUUUUGGACAUAACAUGAUGUAUUCACUGCUUCUGCCCAGAAAUGUUUAGCAAAAUUGUUUUCAUGAAUCAUGAUUCUAGCCAUUUCUUGUAAAGUUCUAUUCUUUCUCUCUACAACCCCAUUUUGUUGUGGAGUUCUAGGAGAAGAGAAUUCAUGGACAAUUCCAUGUUUUUCACAAAAAAAUUCAAAUGGCUCAUUUUCUAAUUCACCACCAUGAUCACUUCUGACUUUUAAAAUUUUCAUUUCUUUUUCAGAUUGUAUUUGAGUGCAGAAGCUACUGAAUACAUCAUAUGCAUUAUCUUUACUUUUUAGGAAUUUUACCCAAGUCCAUCUGCUAUAACCAUCAACAAUGACCAAUCCAUAUUUACUUCCAUAUAAGGAUGUAGUGUUAACUGGUCCAAAUAAAUCAAUAUGAAGUAAUUCUAAGGGUCUGGAAGUUGAGACAAUGUCUUUUGUUUUAAAAGAUGAUUUCACAAUCUUCCCUUUCUUGCAUGCACCACAAAGUGCAUCUGAAUGAUAAUCAAUGAAAGGUAAGCCUUUAACCAGUUGUAACUUACUAAGCUUAGAGAUUAAUCUCCAAUUAGCAUGUCCCAACCUUCUGUGCCACAUCUAUUUCUUAUCAUUCACAGAUAGAAGGAAAAUUACCUUCUGAUCAACCAGUUCAGAGAAGUUAAUUUUAUAGACAUUCUCUACUUUCUUUCCCUUGGAUUUGUCAUCCUUUUUUAUUACUGUGCAGCUGGUCUUUCUAAACAUCACAUCAUAACCAUUAUCACAAAACUGACUGAUACUUAAAAGGUUAUGUUCAAGACCAUCUACCAGCCACACAUUAUUUAUUGAGAUACAGGAGUUACCAAUAGUUCAUGUACCAAUGAUCUUGCCAGGUUGGCUGCCACCAAACUUCACAUUUCCUCCUUCUUUCAUUGUAAGGGUGAGGAACAUAGACUUCUCUCCUGUCAUAUGCCUUGAGAAACCGCUGUCUAGGCACCAUGAUUUUUGCUUUACUUUUGCUCUUAGACAUAUCUCAUUUUCAUCUUCAGAAUCUAAAUUAGAAUCUGCUUCUGAAGUCAUAGUAGCCACUAACCCAAAAACUACUUUAGCAUCUUCAGAAUCUUCCUUUUUAGAGUCUGAAUCACUGUCUAAAUCUUUCUAGGUCGCCAUUAAACUCUUUUUGAUCUGCUAUCUGAAUUUCCUUGUGUUGAAGCUUGAUUUCUUUGAUUUUUCCUUUGAUUUCUCCUUCUGAAGAUCAAAGCAAUCAGCAAUGAAGUGUCCAGGCUUCUUACAAUUGAAGCAUCCCUUCUUAAUAUUGUUAUCACUAACUGGAUGCUUAUAUCUUGAUAUUUAUAUCCUUUUACUGAUAACUAUCUAUCUAGGAAGUAAAUGAUUAUUAAUUAGCUAAAGAUGCCAUAAGAAAUGUUGACCCUAGACGUAGGUACCUAGUGGAUGAUACCCAUUGGGUCGUGUGGUGCAUUACCGAAGCUAGGAAUUAACUAGUUAAUAAUUAGGGAAACAUGCACCCAGCUGUCUGAAUUAAAGCUAUAACUUAGUAAGACCAUUCUCUUGAAACCCUUAUUAAGGUAGACGUAGAUUAGGGCUGCCCAUUUGUAGAACUACUAUGUAAGCGUAGAUAGAGUGUGCUAUGAGUGUCCUAAGAUUCAUAGAUGGGUAGAUCUAAGGGAACAUUGGUCUUCAUUUCCUUGGGAAACACUGGAAAGCCAAUACAAAGUUUACGUUUCAAUUACCUUUGAAUUAACAAGACCCCGCAGGUAAGGAUCACCGUGCGAUCAGCAGGUGCAGUUGGCCAUUGGAGGGAUAAACCUAAUUAGGUACCCAUUGGGUCAGGUGAUGCCCUACUUAAAUAGGAAUUCCAAACGGCCUCAUCAUUUGUAUAGUUUGCCUAAGAUAAAUAAACGCGACAUUUAUUUUACAUAAUAUCCAACAACGAAUAUAUAGAGAGAGAAUCAUAACCGCUACUUACUUUUCUGCAACCAAAACAGGUAAACUUGCUUUGUUGCAAACAAAUAAAAAUUGCAUCCUAACUUUUAUACUGUCAAACCGACAAAAAUAAGUAACAAGAAUUGUUCGGAUGAAAGGACAAUCCCUAUAGAUACAAUACAUUACUUAUCACUAUAUUACUUGAUGAAAACGACUCGUACCCUUGCCAUAAAUUUUACGCUAAUGCAGAGACCCUGAGAGAGGAACUCGAAUUCGCCGAUGAAAUCAGAAUUGAAGAGGCCCUAAAAGAGAUAGCACUAAAACAAAAAAUUGUUGCUCAACACAAUAGAAGGGUAAUUAAACAAGAAUUCGAAGUAGGUGAUCUAGUUCUCGGAUGAAAUCAGAAAGAUUCUGAAGAAUGGAAACUCGCCAAUAACUGGGAGGGCCCCUACAAAAUCCAAAUGGAAACUCGCUAUAACUUGGAACGCGGAAAAGCUCAAUAGGUUUUACAACUAUAAAAGAAAUUAGGCUAACCACUCUAUUGUACAUACAACCGAUAUCAAAAUUUCAUACUAACGAACUAAACGCUCUCACAAACGAGCAUCUACAAUGGAGGCGGAAAUUUGUGCCACUCCAAAUCGAAAAAUAUAAAGGACGAAUGAAAUCUAUACAAACAGAAUCAUUCGGGCCUCAGUAUAUCUGCUCACGUCUACGACAUCUCUUUUUGGAUAUGUUUAGGUAGAACCCUAGCUCGCGAUAGCCGAUUCAUACCUUAUGGCAUUGAACAUAAAUUGAAUUUUUCGUUCAUCCACCGUUAUUCGUUCGAAAGACAACUUCGGACAAACGUUCAGAUAAACAAUCUCUUGGAUAUGAAACGAUUCUAACACAUAUCUUGCGUUUAAGUUAGAACUCUCACGCUCGGAUCCCUUCGCAAAAUAACACACAAAUAUUGAUUUUUCUAAGCAAACAAAAUGAAAUACUUAGGGGAGGAAGGUUAAAAUCUUUAAGUUAAAACAACAAGUUACAUAAUCGAUCUAUUUUGCAAUCAAAACGUCCAAAAUAGUAAUUUUGUUCCGAGUAAACGUAUAUUCACAUGUCAAGAUUCUUUCCUUAACUUUGUAGACAAAGUUAGAACAUCAUAAGAACCGCCACCAUGAAAUUUUCAAGUUUUUAAAUGAUAGACGAAUUAAUUAUGAAUUGUUUAAGAAAUUCAAAAUUACGGGGAAUAAAAAUUCAUUAUUAAUCAUUCCUUAGUCAAAAAAAUCUAAUUUUUGUAUCUAUAAAGUUAUAUUUUAACGUCCUAUACAUGCCUGAAAUAAAUCAUGAAAAAUUCAACCUUUAUGUCACCUUUUUGGACUACAUGUAUAUUAUAGAGUCAAAAAAUAAGAAGAAUCUUAUAUUAAGGGAUCAGAAUAAGUGUUUUUUAUUUUAGAAUCAUUUUUCAAGAUUAACCCAAUACGCUCUCAAAAAAAAAAAAAGAUUAACCCAAUACGAAUUAACUAUUAUGAGGAUCAAGAUUUUAUCUCAACUUGAAAAUAAGGUGAAUUUAUCAAUUGAGAGAAUAAAGGGUUUAUAGUAUUUUACCUCUGUAAUAUAUGUCAUUUUUGGAUUUGGCCCCUUUAAAAUUUUUGUUUUGGUUUUUGUCCUUAUAAAAUUAUUUUUUUCCCGAAUACACCCCUAAUAGGCCAUUUUUAGAAUUUUUUUCCAUAAAUUUUCUUUUUUGAAUGGCCUAUUCCAAAACAAAAUUUUUACCGGGGCCAAACCCAUAAAUGACCUAUAUUACAGGGGUGUAAAGCACUACUAACCCAAAAAUAAAAGGGAUAAAUGUGAUUUUUCUAUAUAAUUCACAGGCAUUUGAUAACUAUUUUAAUUGAAGUAAUAACAUAGGAUUUUUUUGACAUAUAUAAUAGUCAAAAAAAUUAUAUUUAAUAAAUUAUAAUGAUAUUCUAAAUUGUAUUUAUGUAUUCAUUGAUUUGAAGCUCUGACUGUUGAUUAACCUGUUUACACUCUUAUUUAUUUUGUGAAAUUUCCUAUUUCUUGUAAGAUCAAAUGAUCAAUUAUAUGUGCUAAAGGGGCGAACAUAGUACAUCAAUAUAUUUAAGAGACAUUUAAAAAUAAGUUUAAUUUUAAUAAAGGGUUUCUUGCAAAUAAAACAUAGCAGAAGAUUUUUAACUGUAUAAAUUGAAUAACAAAAUUUUAUUUGUUGCGUGAAAUGGUGGGGAAAAAAAUGGUUGAAAUUCUCAAGUUUGUUUAUAUUAUACUCCUUUUUAUUUCUCUAUUUCUUGUUGUUAUCAAUGUUGAUGGUAAACUUAUUUUCAUAUUCUUUUGUAUUUAUCAAAAACAAACAUUUGUAGCUCUGCUUUUCGAAAUAUUUCAUUAUUUUUAUUUUGCAUUGCAGGAAAGCAUGAUUAUCACAUGUAUUUUCAACGCAUACCUUGUCCCGAGGAUCAAAACCUUUAUUGUAGUCAAAUUGAAUGUUGGUGCAAAUAAAAGGUAGGUACUGAAAUUAUUUUACACUUUCAUCGUUCUAAAUUAUAUGACGUUUUGGUUAUUUCAUGCGUAUUAAAAAAUGUAAUUACUUUUAUUUGAGAAAGAUAUAUUGUGAGUUGUUUUACAAAAUUGUUCUUAAUAAACGAUAUGGAAAAGAUAAAUUAAAGAAGUGAAAGAAGAGAGAUCAGUAAUAACUAAUUAAGAAUAUAAUUAAAAAUGUAAUACUAAUGUCUCAUUGGUAUUGUAAAGCGAAUUAUAAUUUGAAAAAAAAAAAAAUUAUUUUGAAUCAUUUAAAUUUCUUUGUUUAUCAUAAUAUUGUUACUUUUAUGUUUUCUCUCACACAUCGAUAUAUAUCCUACCCUUCAACUUAUUUGAUAGUUAUAGAAGUCUGCUGAUUAUGUUUAGAAAGUGUUGUAGGGACCGUUUGGAUUAUGCUUAUUUUGAGCUUAAGCAAAACAGUUUAUGCAAAUAAAUAAGUUUUUAUGUUAAUUUUUAAGUUAUCAUUAACGGAAAUUGUAUACUUAUAAACUGUUUUUUCAUAAAUUAUAUUUAAAAACUUAUGAAUAUUACAUAAAAACUUAUUUAUUUGCAUAAAUUGUUUUUUAUAAGCUCAAAUAAGCUUAAUCCAAACGUGCCCUGUAUAACCUUCAUUGAUUUUAAUGGCAUAGAGUUGUUUAAGGUUAAUUUUAACCUAUAUCUUCGAUAUAUCAUCUAAGAAAAAUAGAAUUGAGUUUUUGAACUCAAAAAUGUAAAUCAAUUAAUUUUAAAUUACAUUUUAAAGUGUUAUCUUGAGGAUUUCUUUGUACAACUACCUUAAAUAGUUAUCUAAUAACAUCAUUUAAUUCAAAAUGCAAACUAUGAAGAUAUUUAAACUAUUGGUGGUGUUACAAUAUAAGAUAUAUAACUUAACCUCUUAUUUUAUAUUUUUCUGAACUUGGAAUGCACCACAUGAUUUUCAAUAAUGCAUGUUGAGAAUCUAAUUGCCAUAUGUUAAAUUAUGUAUUACUAUAUUGUUAUGAUUGUUGUGAUGCUUUAUAUGUUGAUUCAUGUUUUGUGAUUAUUCAUCUACUUAAUGGCUUAUUCUUUUAGGUUUUGUUUGAGAGUUUAUAGGGGAGGGGAAAGUAGGGCUUUGGGAGGAUAAAAAUAUAGGAGAAAAUUGAAUUUUUUUUUACAUUUUUAAAAGAGUAUUUUUAUAAAGAAUGAUAAAUGAAUGCUUAUGAUUAAUAUAUUUUUAAUUUUAAGAAUAUUAUAAUAACAUGUAUUAAAUUUGAAAAAUACAUAUAAACACUCUUAAACCCCCAAAAACCCUCUUUCAAUACAAUUUUUAGUUCCCCAAAAUAAGGAGGAUUUUAUAUUUUGAAGAAAAAUAAGUCUCCCUAAACCCAUCCUCUAGUGUCCUAUAUUACUUCCACUUACUCCUUUUUCUUUUUUCUUUUUUAACCCCUUCCUUUCGCUUCCAAACUCACAAACAAAGCCUUAACAUAAUUUAAUAUGUACUAACAUCUUUUUUAUGUGUCUUAUUGUAGACAUACUUUAAUCCAAAUUAUAAUCCAAUUGACAUGGCAAGUAAUAGGUGGAGUAGCAAUUGUUAAGGAGGAUUCGAGGACAUGCGCGCAGCUUUAUUUUUUGAGUGUCUUAUUGGUUUUUAAAUUCCUAUGGAUUUUGGUGUUAUGUUAUUUUAUUUUAUUUUGUUAAGUUAUCGUUGUUAUCACUAAACUUUCGACACGUGUGAUGUACGGGAACACGGGUCCUCUUGACUGUAAUAGAGAUAAAUAAGUUAUAUUAUAUGUUUUCAUUGAUGUUAAAUAAUUUAUAUGAAAAAAUUAUAUUACCAUUAAACACGGUACUAUAAAAUUCAUAUUUUUUUGAAAAUGAGUUACAAACAACAUUAGUUAUCAUAAAUUACAAAAUACUCCCUCCAUCCCACAAAGAGUGAGCCAUUGGAUCACUUCAAACAUUAAGAAAAAUGUAUAAGUGUGUUAGCCUGCAAUUUCGACAUAAUCAAUUCGACAGGAGAUGACUUUGUGUCGAAGAUGGGAAUGACACUUGGUUACAUUCCAGAUGAUUGAAGGAUUCAACAUAUUCAUUACAAAUUUAGUGGCCUUGGCAUAUUUGAGAUUGCAAAGCCAUUAGUUUUGAGUGCAGAAAUUAAAAUAGUUUAUGAAGAGAUAAGAUCAAGAUGUCGGAGACACAUGCACUGGUAUAGAAAAUACUUCUUAAAUGGGGUGAAAAUGACUUUUUAAAUAGGUUCAUGAUCCGACUUAUAGGUGGCCGAUUUAAAAAAAUGUCUUUGAUUUUAAGUCUCCACCUUUUACCCGAUUUAAAAUCUACUAAUCAGUUCGCCCCAUUUAAAAUCCUUUAAUUGAAAUCGGUUGAACCCAUUUAAAAAAGGUUAACAAGAGUCACAAAACUGAUAAUUUAAAUCGGUUCACCCCAUUUAAAAUCUCUCUAUUUUUAUUUUUUUAAAAAACACGAUUAUGGUACCGAAUUUAAUAUAAUAAUCAAAAAUCUCAUGAACAUAGCCACUAAUAUGAAAUAUCAUAUGAUCAAAUUUCAUAUCAAACAUGUCACUGUUACAAUAUCAAACAAAUCCAAAGUUACAAUAUCAUAAAACUAAACAAAUGCUAAACAUUGUUUCAAAGCAUAGUUAUUGACAUAAUUAAAUUACAUCAAAGUCUUUCCAAAAUCAAACUUGCACAGCGUUCUUGAACAUUUUUCAUUUCAUCAUCAGUAAACAGAUCUUUGUCUCCAAAAAUCUGGAAAAAAAAAAUGAUAACAUAUUAUAAUAUCAAAUUAACUUUAAAAAAACAUAAGAAACACAUUAUUGUAAUAUUUAAUUACACACCAUAUCCCAUAAGUCUACAAUACCAGCUGUACAAUGUUCAACAUAUGUAUCAUUAUAAAGUAGCCACACUCAUAAUUUCAUGCUAAAUUCCAAACUGAUGUAUGUACCUAACUACCUAUGUAAUUUCAUGAUCAUCAGAUCAUAUAGGGAUUGAUGAAGCAGAAUGCACCGUAACAAACACAUGCACCUUAACAAAACUGGGGAAAAACAUAAUACCAAUAACUUUAACAGUUAUACAUCUUAGCAUUUAUCUAAAGAGUUGCAUUUUACUUACGAUUUUAUCGGCGAUACAACGUGUUUCUUCUGACAUGUACUCUCCUGAUGACUUUUGUCGUGCCCUUAUCCACUUCUCAUGGCGUGUUGGUGGGGAUGGAGGUGCAGCUAUGAGUCUUCAAUUGAUUCUUGUCUUUGUUUUAUUUUCUCCUGCAUCAUCUUUUCUUCAAGCAACUCAUAUCCUCCACGAGACAAGCUGUGGGGGCAUCUAUUAUGAGCCUGAAUCAAUUUCCCCCUAUUUCUUUUCUCCUGUUAUAAAUAACACACAAUAAUUAACAGAAAUACUAUAAAUAAAUUUAAUUGAUAAACUAAUUAUUCUUAAAGUCCAACAAAGUAGAAUGGAAGGAUCCUCCUGCGUUCACACGCAUAGGAUAGCCAUUUGUCUUUCAAUUUAUAAAUAUCAUGAGUAUUAUUUGGAAUAUCCCAUUGUUCCUGUGUUAUAUAGCAGAUAAAAGAGUUAGUGUACGGAAAUAAUAUAAUUAAGUGUUACAACUGACAAUCGUAAAUAGUAAUACCAUGAUAUCUUCUCAAAUCUGGUCUUUAAUAGUCCGCUUAUAAGAUCCCAAUGAUUCACCAAAAUACUAACUUUGCUUCUAGCAAUGGAACCCACAUGACUUUUGAAUUUUUCUUCUGUAUUCCCCUAAAGGCGUUUUGGUUCAUACAUCGAAUUCAAUCGGUAUCCUUUCACCAAUGACUCUAUUCACCCUCUUUUUCAUAGUCUGCAUAUUCUUCUCUUUAUGUUGAGGAGCUGGUGAAUUACCAAUACUUUACUCACCCUCUUAUUAGGUUAUGAAUCUUAAUUAUAGCUUACUUGUUUCAGGUUUCAAUAGCAAUAUUUAUAUUUUGUCCAGUUUAUAUGCAAUUCUUCCUAGUUGAAACUGUGAAACUAGCUCCCAGAAAGAACCGAGUUAAGCUUUUGCUCUAAAGUUAGUUAUGUUGUUAGCCGAAGAUAUAAAUCUAUGAGGAAUGCCGCCAAAAUAGUAAUCUUCAGGUAGUCUGUCUGAUGUUAAGCAUCGAUAUACAUAACUAUCUCUAUGAUUAUUUUCUGAAACUCCUUUCUAUGUGUCAGUGUGUGUCAUGUCCAGUUCAUGCUUCAUUUAUAACAACAACUACGAUAAGAACAAUGAUAAAGCUAACAUCUUUUGACACUAUCAUCGGCUAUAAAACACUAUUUUACCAAUACCUAAUCAGCUACAACUGAAAACAGAUGAUUCAUUCAAAUCAAAUAAAUUGUUACCGCAAUCAAUCACAUUUAAUCUCUCAAUCCAUAGCCACUAACAGUAAUCAAUCAUAGUUGAUAUUAUUUUUAUGUAGUAUUCAUUUUUAUGCAUCACAUAUCAAUUAGAAUAUAUAUGAAGUAUUUAUUUUUAUGUAGUAUUUGUUGUUAUAGAGCUAUAAUCAAGGUCAUGUAUAACAUAAUGUUUUUGCCUUUUUCCAAACAUCACGUCUUGAUCAUUUUUUUAGAUAACUAAGGAGAUUGGAGGUCAAAUCAAAAACACACUAACUCGUGGAGAUGGGAGCAAAUGAGAGAAAGAGGACCAAAACUUAGACUUGACGGCAGCAUGGUCAUCACGUGACCACCUUAACUUAAUCAAUAUCAUCAUUUGAUUACAAUCAAUCAAUGGCUAAAAUUUAGAAUCAAAUUAACUUUGACAUUUUAAUGUCAUUUAAUCCUAACUCCAUGAUGAAGAAAACAGUACUCCGGUCAGCCUUGCAAACACCAAAACGAAGGAUGGAGAAAUUACCUAAGAAAAACUAAGAUUUGACGAAGAGGAUGAGAGGCGCCGUUCCUUGAUUCCUCCUUUUCUUUUCCCGUCAAUUUCGUUCCAUCGUUUCCUUUCUCCCCGUCAAUUUCGUUGUGUUACGUUCUCUCCCCCUUCUCCCGUCACUUUCCCUUUCUCCACUCCAUAUAUAUAUAUAUAUGGAAAGACAACAUUUAUGAGUAAAUAGUCAAUUUCCCCCCUGAAAUUGUAAGUUUUAUCAAUUACCCCCCUGAAGUUCACAAAACUUCAAUUUACCCCCCUGAAAUUUCACAACGUUAGUCAAUUUACCCCCUCCGUCAAAUUUUUCUGUUAGUGAACAUUACGUUUUGCAAAUACCCCCCCUGAAGUUUUGCACUUAUGUGCAAAAUGCCCCCCAAACUUAAAAAUUUAUAUUAUUUUUUUCUUAAAAACAAACAAUUAAUAGUUAAAUAUUAAAGCUAACUUUUAAUUUUGGAGUUUCGAAAAACUACAUGCAUAUAUACAUCAAAAUAGGGAAAAAUGUGUAUUUUUAAAGUGACAAUAAUGGUUAUUUCUAAUAGACAAAUUAUUAUUUUUAGAGGUUUAUAAACAAAUUAAUAAUCAGAUUUAAAUUUAUAUUUUCUCCUUCACCAUCUUAGUCUUUUAACUCCUCCAACUCCUUCAACAAUUUGUUCAAACCAUUUAAACUACACAACCCCCAAUACUUUCAUAUGACUUGUUCUUGUUUACACACUUUAUAGAAAACUUCAUUCUAACUUCUUGUUUGUGCUUCAGGUAGGGACAAUCAUUCAUCGUAUACAAUCUAGCUCACACCACAAUACUAUCAGACCGACAAAUCAUAUAUAGCAUAUUAAGUAAUAUUCAUCUAAAAAAGACAUAAAUCAUCAGCAAAUAAAAUAUGUGAUCGGUAUGUAUAGAGGAACACUUAUUGAAAAAUGUCAAACACUUAAAAAUUUAUUUCUUUACUUUUGAAAUUAAUCCACAAAUCAUACCAUUAUUGUCACUUUAAAAAAUACACAUUUUCCCCCAUUUUGGAGCCUAUUUUGAUGUAUAUAUGCAUGUAGUUUUCCCAAAUUCCAAAAUUAAUAGUUAGUUUUAAUAUUUAACUAUUAAUUGUUUGUUUUUAAGAAAAUAAUAAUAUCAAUUUUUAAGUUUGGGGGGCAUUUUUCACAUAACUGCAAAACUUCAGGGGGGGUAUUUGCAAAACGUCAUGUUCACUAACAGAAAAAUUUGACGGAGGGGGUAAAUUGACUAACGUUGUGAAAUUUCAAGGGGGUAAUUGAAGUUUUGUUAACUUCAGGGGGGUAAUUGAUGAAACUUACAAUUUCAGGGGGGAAAUUGACUAUUUACUCCAACAUUUAUUAAUUUACCAAAGGCUAAAAUAUGGUUUUAGUCUCUGCAAAUAUACCUCGUUUUGGUUUUAGUACCCUGGUAAAAAAAAUUUUUGUAUUUGGUCCCUGCAAACGUGGCACAUUAUAACUGAACCAAUUUUGUAGUUUUUGGUCCCUGCAAAAUAUUUUGUUUUUAAAAAAGGUCCCUGCAAAAUUUUUUGUUUUUGAAAAUAGUCCCUCCCAAAAUUUUUUGUUUUUGAAAAUAGUCCCUGGAGGGACUAUUUUUAAAAACAAAAAAUUUUGCAGGGACCAAAAACAAAUUUUUUUUUUACCAGGGACUAAAAUCAAAACGAGGCAUAUUUGCAGGGACUAAAACCAUAUUUUAGCCUUUACCAAAAUACCUCCAUAAGGGCAAAAUGGUAAAAAAAUGGACAAAAAUUGUCCUAUAUAGUAUAGUAGAUUCUUGUUAAUUAUUUUCUUAUAAUUAUUGUUAAUUAAAUUAGUAAUAUUUCCUCUAAAAACAGAUACUUAAAUAUUAUCUAAUUUUUAAAAUAUUAAACCUUAUUUUGAAACGUUCAAUACUUUUAAUUUGAGCAAUAAUUAGUAAUACGUUAAAACAAAAGACAAGAGAUUAAUUUGACAAAAAUAUAAUUUUUUAAUGGUAUAUUUUUAUUAAUUAAAUUGGCAUUACAUGGCCAUUUUACAACCGUCAAAUGCUAUGAUUUUGAAUGAAUACCUUGAAAGUACAAGGUUAAGCUCCGACAACGGUGUAUAUUAAAAUAAAUAAUUUAUUAGGUUAGAGGGUGGCCAUAAGCCAAUUCAUGCGAUCCCUUCUUGCCUGGCCACUUUGAAGUGUUGUAUGCUUCCAUGAACUCGAUACUUUUCCAAGGUACGCACUUACCAUCAUAGAAACAGCCUCCUUCUAGGAUUAUAUCCCAUGAGCACUGUUUGCAGUGGUCAUGGGCUUGGUCGUAAAUGUCAAGAUAAUGUCGAUGUGGGUUUCCAGGCCAUGUAAAACCACAGAAGAAUAACGUAUUUUUAAAUGGAAGAUGUGAUGGUUUGAAUGAAAACUCAUAGGUUUCUCCAGGCAUGAGUGUGUGAUCUCCAAGAUUGUCAUCUUUAGAUUUGCAACGAACAGUGAUGUUUGUAGGAGUUGGAGUCAAUACCUUAUUGUAAAUAAAAACUGUUACCCUAUAACCAAAACUGUAAGCUAUAGUCUCUCUGGCCUCAAAUGCAAGUAGUACAGUUAGGAGUAUUGAGCAUUUUAAUAUAAUUGUACUGGGAGUUGUCAUUGUUGUAUGGUCAAAACCUACAAGACUUACAUCAACAUUUAUUUAUAGAACACUAACUAACUCCAAAAAAACCAAAAAAACGUUUAAUUAAAGGAAAAUUAUUUGCAAUUGCAAAUUCAAAGACCUUUGUGAAAUAGCUUCUUCAAAUAAAAAAGACCUUUUUGAAAUUAUCCCAAAAAAAUACCAUAUUAUGCAAACUCAAAGACCGUUUUAAAAUUAUCCCAAAAAAGACCGUUUUAAUAAAAAAGACCGUUUUAAAAUUAAAACUGUAUGAAUUAGACUAGUUGACCAGUCAAUUCGCCUUUAAUGAAAUUAAAUGGCAAUUAAUUUAAGCCAUAUUGAUCUCAUCUCUAUAUUUAUUAUAAAUAUUUGCCUUAAUUUUUUUGAUCAACUCUUCUCACAUUCUUCUCUUUUAUUUUUAUUAUUGUGGAAUACAUAUAAGUUCACGAUUCUGAUUCCAUUUUAAUAAAGCACUAUAACUAAUAAUUGUUAAAGAAAUCAAUACAUGAAUCAUGUGCAUGUUCUAUUUUCGGUGUUUUUAAAAAUGAAUCAACUUUCGUGUUUGACUUCUCUUGCUUGAAAGAGAAAUAUUAUAUUGUCAAAUAAAACAUAUAAAUAAAUUAAAUAACUGAUUAAAUAUCAAUGAAAAUUCAUGAAUGAAUAUAAAUGAGAAAAAAAAACUGUUCAAAUAAGGCUUAGAAAGUCCUCAAGAACAUGUAUAUUAGAAAACUUCUUUUAAUUAGUAUUUAAUUUAAUAUCAACAAGAGCGACCCUAUGAUUCCAUGUAAAUUGACUCCCAUGUUAAUUUCCUCUAGGAUAAAAAAUUGUUAUAGUUAAAAAAACCAAACAUAUGGUUCAUUAAAAAAAUUAACUUAAUACCUAUCAAGGACUUAUUUCGUAAAAAAGACCCGUUUGUUAUAACAUUUUUUGUAAAAACAAAAUGUUUACAUGUUAGGUUUUGUUUGUUAGGUUUGAAAAAAGAAAAUCUAAAAAUAAAUGACUUAAAAUGUGUAUAUACAAAGGUAAGGGGUGUCUAAUAAUAUGGAACAAGUGUAAAGGUGACUCUUAUUAUUUUUAGCAAACAUGUCGUAUAAGUUAAGAGUAAAAAUUGACUCCUAAAAUUCUAUUGGAUUUGAAUAAAUUAUAUUUUCAAUAAUAAUCACAACUUUUAGAUCAAUUCAAACAUUUGAUUUUAUCUUAACCACAUUCAAAGUCACAAACAUGACUGAUUUUGAUGAGCUGAUACUAUAAAAUUUCUACACUAACAUUCAAAAUAAACAUGUUUACAUUAUAUGCCCCAAAAUAUAAAGUUGUUUUGAGUAAUUUAUCUUAAAACUCAUUUGAGUAUUAUACUGAAUUCACUAUAGUAAACAAAUAAAAAAUAACUUAUGUUUGUAAUCUAAAAAGUAUCUUAAGUUUUUUCAAUAAUAUCUAUAAAUCAAACGAGGAAAGUGUUUAAAAUGGUUUUUUUUUAAAACUUGAUAUUCAAUUCAAGGACCGAUUAAUUCAAUGAGAUCAAUCUCACGAGCAUAUAUUAUCAGACUAACAAAAGUGUCUGGAAUGAUAUUUAAAAAGGAAUAUACUGGAACAUGUCAUUAUUAGAAAAGUUAAAAAAAAAUUAGCAAAAUAAGAACGUAAACACUCCUUAACUAAUAAUUACAUAAUGAAUUUCAUUAAAUUUCUAUUUGAUGAACAUUAAUAAUCAUUUCAAAGUCAAAUAAAUUUCCGCAUAGAAAAAACUUCACAUAUAUAUUGUGAACAUUCAAAAUUAUAAUGAAGAUUUCAAUUGUAUUUCAUUUUUUUUUUUUAGGGAUUUAAAUUGAAUAUUCAAUUUUAAUUGUUAAUUAUAUGUCAUAAAUUAUAAGUUAUAUGCCACACAAUCAUUUUUCCCCUGGUAGCACAUUAAAAAAUGGUUAUAAAAUGACAUUUGUUUGUGAAAGAACUUUAAAUUGAUUGUUUAAAGAAAAACUUCAAGAGCAUUAAGCACUCAAAUAUAUAUAAAAAGUUAACGUGUCUAAUAUGAAACAAGUGUAAAGUUGACUCUUAUUAUUUUUAUCAAACUUUAAUAAAAUAUUGCAUUUUCCUUAAAAGAAAAAUAUUGCAUCGGGGUUUCUUUUAGAUCAUUUUCUUGAUGUCCAUAUUAUAUUGAUCCAAACAUACGACUCAAAUAACAAAUAUUUUUCAAUCAAGUAAAAAACAAGGGGGGUUUUCGAUCACGAAAACGUGACGUAUAAGCUAAGAGUAAAAAUAGAGUCCUAUUAAUUCUAUUGGAUUUGAUUAAUUAUAUUCUCAUUAACAAUCACAACUUUAAGAUCAAUUCAAACAUUUGAUUUUAUCUUAACCAUAUUCAAAGUCACAAACAUGAUUAAUUAUGAUGAGCUGAUACUAUAAAACUUUCUACACUAACAUUCAAAAUAAAUAUUGUUACAUUAAAAUGAUCUACACAAGUGAUUCACAUUGAUAUAAGUUGGGAUGGAGGUGAUGCCUCUUGAUGUUUUUCCACUCUCCUUGCUUAUCAAAAAAAUAACAUUGAUAUAAGUUCUUUCACAUCAUUACGAAUAGGGCACAUCAUAACAAAUUAGCCUAAAAUGUGAUGAGGAUGAAACUUUAGAGAAAAGUACAAAUAGGGGACAAAUAAUGGUGGUAAAAAUAGAUUGACUAAAAAACCAUUUUCUUUUAAAAAAAAUAGGGAGAUUAAAAGUGGAUUUGAGCCUUAUUUUAUUUUAAUUUUAGUGCCUACAAAGAGUGUAUGUUUUGUAUGUGGCUGUUUAGAUGAUAGAGUGAGUUAUUGAUAAUUUUAUGGGUUAAUUGAAGGAGUUAGAAAUUUUUGUUUAAAUGUUUUGUAAAAAAAUUAGAGUAAAUUAAAGAAUGCCACAUUAUUUUUGAAUUUCUAAUAAUCAUAUAUGUUUUCAACUCAACAUAACACAUGUAAUUUUCCAUAAAUCCCAUCAAAAACAAAAAAUGAAGGAAUUUGAAGUAAUAUAGAUUGUAUAAAAAAAUAUAUAAUGAAAGAAAAUGACAUCCAAUAACUAAAUUUUAAGAUAAAAAAUUAAACAAAUGACAUUCAAAAAUUAAAAAAAAAAAAAGUUUAUCAUAACGUUGGGACUUGCGAGUGAGCCUGUACUGAGUUAGAUCAUCGUAUUAGGCCAACACCAACCAUAUAAGUGAGAUUGACACCACAUCUUUACACAAAAUCUAAAGACCUUAGUUAUAUGAGUCAUCACACUUAUUUUCUAUUCAAAAUCUACUAUUCAAUUCAAUGUAGAACUAAACUCACAUUUGACUCAUUAACAUCGCUUUAAGGUGUUUUCUCUCUAUAAAAUCAAAAAAUAAAAAUAUUAAUAGCAUCUAUACUAGGCACAAGAUAUGCAAAUAAGAGAUAAAAAACAAAUAUAACAUGUACCAACAUUUUUUUAAAUGAUAACACAUAGCUGUUAUAAUUUAAUAAGGAAGCAAAAAUUAGUAGAAUCGAUAUCUAUAUUCAAGAUAAAAAAACAACAUUUAAAGGUCAAAGGCAAAGCAAAACCUUUUCGUUUUUCUCUAUAAGGAAUGAUGUGGUGGUGUAUAAAAAACAUUGAUUAAGUUCAUAUUAUUUGUUUCUAUAAAAAGGUUCAUAUUAUUUGUAGAAGCAAAAAAAUAAAAAACAACGGUGAUAAAAAGGUUCAAAGAAAAAGGUUUUUAUUUAUAUAUAAGAAAUGAUUGAAUUAAUAGUACAUAAAAAACAUUAUUUAAGUUCAUAUUAUUUGUGGAAAAAAAUAAAAAUAUUUGUGAUAAGUAUAAAAUAAAUUACUCAUAUGUUUUUUAUUUACUCAUGUGUUUUUAAAAACAACUUUAUACUUUAUUUUUUCAAUUUCACAUGAUGUAAUUUUUUUAUAAUUAUAAUAUAAUAUAUAUUAUAAAUUAUUUUUGCAGCAAAUUUUGGAUCUAUACGUUAAUGUAUAAUGUAGUGAUUUUCUUGAAUUUUUUCUAUAGAUAUUGAUUCUAAUUUCACCAUUCUUCUUACAAUUCCGAUAUAGAACUAAAGAUUUCAAAAUUCUUUUCAAUUUUAUUUGUUUUUGGGUUUUCAACAAUACUCACUAUUUGUAAAAAAAAAAAAAAAAAAACUUACUACUCUAAUUUUUUCAGUGUCUCCAAAACCAAUUAUCUUAUUCGAUUAGUACACAUGUUUGUCUACAUUUUUCGGUAUUGGUGUCAAACAAGCACAUAAUAAGAAAUAGUAUGAAAAACAUUGGGAAGAAGAAUCUAACAAAUAGUACGAAAAAUAUUGAGAGGAAGAUGUCCUUUGUCUCGUAUGUUUGAAAUGUCCUUUGUCUAUGUUUGGUCGUGAUUUUGAAAUGGAUUUAGUUUGUCUACCUUUGAGCGGUAUGGAUGUGAUUCUGGGUAUGAAUUGCUUAGAGUACAACCACGUUCUUAUUAAUUGUUUUAGCAAGUCAGUGCAUUUCUCUUCCGUCGAAGAGGAAAGUGGUGAAGAGUUUUUAUCUACUAAGCAGGUGAAGCAACUGGAACGCGAUGAUAUCUUGAUGUUUUCGUUAAUGGCUACUUUAUCUAUUGAGAAUCAAGCAGUGAUUGAUAAGCUACAAGUGGUGUUGGAAUUUCCUGAAGUUUUUCCAGAUGAGAUUCCUGAUGUGCCUCCAGAGAGAGAAGUCGAGUUUUCUAUUGAUCUUGUUCCUGGAACGAAGCCGGUGUCGAUGGCACCUUAUCGUAUGUCUGCUUCCGAAUUAUCUGAGUUGAAGAAACAGUUGGAAGACUUGCUUGAGAAGAAAUUUGUUAGACCAAGUGUUUCACCUUGGGGAACGCCGAUUUUGCUAGUAAAGAAGAAAGAUGGUAGUAUGAGGUUAUGUAUUGAUUAUCGACAGUUGAAUAAGGUAACUAUCAAGAAUAGGUAUCCACUUCCGAGAAUUGAUGAUUUGAUGGAUCAGUUAGUGGGUGCACGUGUUUUCAGCAAGAUUGAUUUGAGGUCAGGUUAUCACCAGAUUAAAGUAAAAGAUAAAGAUAUGCAGAAGACAGCUUUCAGAACGCGUUAUGGUCACUAUGAAUAUAAAGUUAUGCCUUUUGGUGUUACCAAUGCACCUGGAGUGUUUAUGGAGUAUAUGAAUCGUAUCUUCCAUGCAUUUUUGGAUCGGUUCGUAGUUGCGUUCAUCGAUGAUAUUUUGAUUUACUCCAAGACUGAAGAAGAACAUGCUGAGCAUCUGAAGAUUGUCUUGCAAGUGUUGAAAGAGAAGAAACUUUAUGCCAAAUUGUCUAAGUGUGAGUUCUGGUUGAAAGAAGUGAGUUUUCUUGGCCAUGUUAUUUCUGGUGAUGGUAUUGUUGUGGAUCCGUCUAAAGAGAUUGAGAGGAUUUUCGGUGUUAUGCAGUGCACUGAAGAUCAGAAAGUGCGGUUUGGUACUCAUCAGCUAGCUGAGGAAGCUGAUGAUUGGUGGGUUAGUCUUCAACCUACCCUUGGCUAAGAAGGAGUUGUUGUGACCUGGGCUGUGUUCAGGAGAGAGUUCCUGAGAAGAUACUUUUCGGAAGAUGUUCGCGGGAAGAAGGAGAUUGAAUUCCUUGAGCUGAAGCAAGGAAACAUGUCUGUGACUGAGUAUGCUGCCAAGUUUGUUGAGUUGGCGAAGUUUUACCCGCACUAUACUGCUGAGAAUGCUGAUUACUCGAGAUGCAUCAAGUUCGAGAAUGGUUUGAGGCCCGACAUCAAGAGGGCGAUUGGAUACCAACAGCUUAGAGUUUUUCCAGAUUUGGUCAAUAGCUGCAGGAUCUAUGAAGAGGAUACCAAGGCUCACUAUAAGAUUGUGAACGAGAGGAAGGGCAAGGGACAACAGAGUCGUCCUAAGCCGUACAGUGCCCCUGCUGAUAAAGGGAAAUAGAGAAUGGUCGAUGAUAGGCGGCCUAAGAAGAAGGAUGCUACUGAGAUUGUGUGUUUCAAUUGUGGUGGAAAAGGCCACAAAAGCAAUGUCUGUCCUGAAGAGAUCAAGAAGUGUGUCUGGUGUGGCAAGAAGGGUCAUAUUGUAGCUGAUUGCAAGCGUAAGGACAUUGUGUGUUUUAACUGCAAUGGAGAGGGUCACAUUAGUUCACCGUGUACUCAGCCUAAGAGGGCGCCGACUACUGGUAGGGUCUUUGCUUUGACUGGUACUCAGACGGAGAACGGGGAUCGCUUGAUCAGAGGUACUUGCUAUAUUAAUAAUACUCCUUUAGUUGCUAUUAUUGAUACUGGUGCUACGCAUUGCGUUAUUGCUUUCGAUUGUGUUUCUGCUUUGUUGAGUGUGUUUUACUUGUUGUUUUGGUUUUUAUUUGUGCGAGGUACAAAACUUGUUGAUGUCUUUGAUUGGCCUUUGAACCAACAAUAUUUAUGGUUGAUGUAUUUUGUUCUUAUGCAGCAAGUUAUCAGUGAAGAAGUUGUACAGGAUGACAUAGAUGAGGAGGAAGACAUAGAUGAUGAAUUUCUUGAGGACAAAUUUCUUGAGCACAACUUAAGUGAUGAAUUUCAAGAGGAUGAUAUAGAUGAUGAAUUUCAAGAGGAUGACCUAGAUGAUGAAUUUCAAGAGGAUGACCUGGAUGAUGAAAUUCAAGAGAAUGACAUCGGUGAUGAAUUUGAAGUGGACGAUUUGGCUGAUGAAUUACAAGAUAAACUUGAAUGAUCGAGUUGGAUGGUGUUUUAUUUUGGAUUGUAGUUAAGCCACAUUUUGGAUUGUAGUUAAACCACUUAACUCUUCCGAACUAUAAUUUUGUUAUUUUGCUAGGCUUAUACUUCGAAGCAUUAAACUUAUCAAGUAAUGUUUGACAUUUUUAUUACUAUUAUGUCUUGAAUUAAUGUUUGAACUAUUUUAUUAUAUUACAUCUUUUGUGGUUGUAUUGUUAAAUUCGAUCUUGUUUGAGUUAUAAUUGACAAUUAUAAUAUUGCCUUUCAGCUAUAAUUACAUUUCUAAAAUAAUUGGAAAAUUCUAAAAUUUUACAAGGACACUCUAAAAAUGUUGUUUGUAAGCUAUGGGGACGUUUUUAUGAUUUCUUAAAGAUUCAAAUUUUAGGGGACGAUUAUUAAUUGAAGCAACCUAUGGGAACAUUUAAAAACGUCCCCUCAGAAUCCCCAAAAAAUCAUCUCAUAUUCCUAAGGUUUAGGCGACGUUUACAAAAACUGUAGACUAUAGGCGACGCUCGUAUAGGAGUUGUAACACCCCGUUUUCCCAACUUAAAAAUUGCAAACGUAUAGUCAGAGUAAACAACAUAUAACGGGAUAUCACACUUCUUAAAAUCUCAAAAUUAGAUAAAUAAUAAUUUAUCCUGCAGCAUAAACUUCAACAAAAAUCAGCGGAAUUAUAUUCAACUUCAUAAAUUGUCUUGGCAAGCAGGCCUCAUCAAAACACAUCAUAAGUUCAGUUAAAUAACAUCAAAACAUAUCAUGUACGUAAAGGAAAGAGAAAUAGCCAAUAAAGAUCCCCUCCCGUUACGUAUCAGAGCAUCUUAAGACUCGGUGAGACAAGGCCACUUACGACAGCACAAACAACAACCUACCCUGGAUUACCUGCAAGUUACUCAUACGAAGAGCAACAUUCCAAGCAGAAGGGGUGAGAUUUCACAAAACAAUAAUAUUAAGCAUAUAAUUCUACAAUUAUAUUUAACAACAUAAAACAUCUUAUUAAUCAACAUUGAUAAUAAUAUAUCACAAAUCACUUCGUAAUAAUCACAACUUAAUCAUUUUAUCAUCAUUGACUCGACAAAUGCGACUAUGCAACUUAGACCUCUUAUAUGCAUGUGGUACCAAUACAGGGCAUCAAGCCCCCAUUUGAGUAUUAAUAUACUUCCAGGGCAUCAAGCCCCCAUCGCUAAUUUUUAGCUAAUGCUCCAACGUCGUGAGUACAAAGCUCCAGGGAAUCAAGCCCCCAACUAUGAAUGCUAAUGUAUGGACUCGACCUCUUAAACAACUUAAUUCAACAACCUCUUAUAUUAGUCCAAUAAUUUGGAACAUCAUCAUCUUCAACAUAGUAGACCGACUCAUGCAGCUUAGUUAAAUAACAAACAGCAACAUAGGCACUGUUCAACGACAUGACAUAAUCAUAUCAAAUUCAAUUCAUCAACAUCUUAGAUGUAUACAAACAUUCUUCAAGUAAUGCAUAAACAUUAUAACACAUCAUAAUCAACAACAACAUAUCUUAUUCAGCUUCACAGAUUAUAGUUAACCUCAUUCUCAAGUCUUAAUUCUACCCAAGGGUUCAACUCUCGACGAAUCGUGCGACAAAGGUCGCAAAAUCCAACAAGUCACUCUGUUUCUCGGUCACUCGCGAGGCGAGAGCCUCUGCUCGCCGUGGCGAGUUCAGGUUAGAAUCCCAUCAGUUUAAUUCCAGGUUCAAUCUCGUCCUAUAUUCUUCACUAAUCAAUAUUAGACAUGUUCAAACACUCAAAAGCAUCUAAGGUUCAACUCAAAAGUCAAAAAUACGAAAUCUUGCAUGCUCUCUGGUCAUGCUCACUAUGGUGAGUUCAGUUGUUCGCUAUGGCGAGCUGCGACGUGCAACUCGCGAGGCGAGGGAAAUUGGUUCGCGUGGCGAGCGAUGAACUUCAUCACUCGCGAGCCGAGGAUCAUCGUUCGCGAGGGCGAGUGAUGAAUGUAGGCUCGGGCAGAAGUGCAUUUUUCACGAAAAUUCAUCCUUUGUCAUGGUUUUAAGCCUAACAUUGAUUCCAGAAUUCAUCCUACACAUUAUCUAAGGUCUAGGAACAAUUUCUACAUCAAUCUAACAACUUUUCACCGUUUAAUCAUGAAUUCACUCAAUUUGACCUAAUUUUCGAUUCCUCUUAAACUCAUCCUAAUUCAUGCUAAAUACAACCAUUGAUUCAUAGACUUAAUAAGAUUGCAAACUUAGUCUCACCCUUACCUUGUUUGAUUAAAAUCGCAGCCCCUCUAGGUCUUCUCCCUUCUCUUGGCUUUUUCUCCAUUUUUCCAAAAACUGAUCGUACGUACAAUGUUUUUUUUUCUAAAACUAGGUUUCCCUUUUAUACCUCCUCUGAUUAUCUUAUCUUAUCUCUCUUUCUCCCUCAAAACUCUCUAAAAUAUCAAAACAGCCCCUAAACUCAAUAUUUAUUUUAUUUUCAAAUCUUAUUUUAUUAAACAAUAAAAUAAGUCACAACUCCUCAUUUUUUUUUGAUAGGCCAAUAGGAAGGUUAGGCAUCAAGGUAUAGCUGUGGCAUCCCAACUAGGUUGGCACCCCACAGUACGCCCAUCCUCUACCGCCAACCUAAUAAAUAAUAUUAAUAAAAAAGGGGGAAAAUAUGUACAAAAGAGGGGGGACUAGGCCAAAACCCUCAAGGCGAAAUAAAAUAAAAUAAAGCAUAACAACCAGACAAGAGAUGGCUACGGAAAUCUAUAGUUAGGCAGGCCAUUUUUGUCUCUAGCAAAAUGUUCCGAAAGAGAAGCCGGCAUAGUCCGGAACCAAGUAUUGGAGGUCACCGUAUGUCCCAAGGAAGCCAGAAUGUCCGCACAACAAUUACCCUCUCUAAAAAUGUGGGAACAAAUCACCAUAAGUCCAACCUGAAUGCAGUUAUGCCAACGGUUCCGUAAACGCAGCGGGAUAAGAGAGUGAUUGUGGAAGGCCUGUACCGCAGUGGCAGAAUCGCACUCAAGCCACAAUCUAAGCCAGUUGUUGGAAGCCGCAUACUCCAUAGCACACAUCAGACCUGCAAGCUCAGCUUCAAAAGCAUUUCCAUGACUAUAACACCCUUCCAAGUGGCCAGCUUAACCUUAAUACGAUCCACGAUAGAUUGAAAAUGAAUACGUUUAGGCUUACCUUGAAAGAUGGGGCAGCCUAAGUAUUGGAAAGGAAUAGUACCCACCGCAAAACCAGAAAGAUGCGCAAGCAUAUUCCGACGAGAACCCGUCAUCGCGCCCGUAUAUAAUUUGCUCUUGUCAAAGUUAACCAACUGUCCGGAUGUGUCCGAAUACUCAUUAAAAAUUCGAAGCAGACAUCUAAUAUUUUUCUUGGAGCCAACACAACAAAUAAAAACGUCAUCGGCAUAUAAGAUGUGCGUAGGAAGGGAGACUCCUCUACAAUAGGACAUAGGCUGUAAAGAAUUGGAGACCCUCUCAUUCUCAAGCGCGCGACUGAGAACCUCCUCCGCUAGACAAAAGAGAAGGGGGGAGAGAGGGUCACCUUGUCGAACUCCCCGGGUACAAGGGAAGUAUUCCACCGCGUUGCCAUUCAACAGAAUAGAGAGAUGAGCUGAAUGCAAAAUGGCUAGAAUCCAGUCACAGAAUAAAUCACAGAACCCAAACUGCUUCAAAACUGCUACUAAAAAAUUCCAGUCAAGAGUAUCAAAAGCCUUGCGAAUAUAAACCUUGAUGGCAAUAUUCCCACCAAAUUGUUUCUUGUCUAACCGGUUGACAACUUCAGAGGCUAUAAUGACACAUUCUGAAAUGUUACGGUCACGAACAAAGCCUCGCUGUUGAGGGGAAAUUAUUCUCAUGCAAAUAAUAGCCAGUCUGUCAGCCAAAAUCUUAGUAAUAAUUUUAAAUUGAAAAUUGGCCAAUGCAAUUGGGCGGAAAUCCCCCAUGGAAGCAGCCCACAGGGACUUUAGGAAUCAGCACCAGAAUGUUGGCAUAAAUAUUUGGAAUCAGCGCCCCUGUGUAAAAGAAAUCUUGUACCGAACUCACUACAUCGACCGCCACAAUGUCCCAAAAAUAUUGAUAGAAAUGGCCCCCGAAGCCAUCAGGACCAGGAGCUCCAUCCGCGUUCAUAUCAAACACCGCAUUUUUAAUCUCAUCAAAAACAGGCACCGUAGUCAAAGCACUAUUUUCCCGCAUCGAAACCAUCGUCGGAAUUACUCUAGCCACCAAAUCAGUAGUAGCACAUAUAUUAAUACCUCCAAAAAUAUUUUGAAAAUAAUCCACCACAUGUUCUUCCAUUUGUCUAGGAUCAGUAAUCCGGACAUUACCAUUCUGAAGAAAAGUGAUAGGUUUGGAGCACGAUUUGAUGCGAGCCAAUCUGUGAAAAUAAGCAGUGUUGCGGUCCCCAUAAAUAAAACUCUGUUGUCUAGCCUUUUCACGCCAGAAUUGAUCUUGAUUGUUCAUGGCUUUUGUCAAAGACAAUUGUGCAUGUAAUUCUAACGUAUGGAGAUCAGAAUCCAAACCAGCGACAUCAAUCAAAUUCUGAAUGCGCAUCACCUCAUCAGAUGCCAACUUGACUUGACGUUGAACAUCUCCAAAAAUGGACUUGUUCCACACUCGGAAAGCGUCCUUAAUUUUGCGUAACUUAAUUUGUAAACGAUGCAUGCCUGAGCCAAUAAUUGGUUGCUGCCAAAUUUUCAAAACAAGCGGACGACACUCAUCAUGAUUUACCCAAGUCUUGAAAAAUUUGAAAGAAGCAGUGCUACGCACUCCUGAGAGAUCAAUGCGCACCAAUAGAGGGUGAUGAUCGGAUUGAGUCCUUAAGAGAGCUGUGCACGAGGUACCUCCCCAAAAAUCUGUCCAGGCUUGGUUACAAAUAACCCUGUCAAGCCGAAGAAAGACAGAGUCGGAAUCUAACCUGCCAUUGUUCCAAGUAAAUUGUACCCCAUUUGUAUUCAGAUGUAAUAAUAAAUUGGCAUUGGACCAAGCAAGAAAAUCCGUACAAGAAAGAGAGGGAGGGAGACGACGUCCCCUUUUCUCAUGAGCACCCAAGACGGCAUUAAAAUCCCCCACAAAAAUCCACGGAGCGACGUAAUUAUUCUGGAGCAUUGUUAGAUCAGCCCAAAGUUGGCGGCGCAAAAGAUAAGAUGUGCUAGCAUAAACUCCUGCAAUAUAAAUAGUAGUCCCGUUGCAGACAUGUUGAAGGACCAAACAUUGAGAGGAUGCGAAGACAACAGUAAAGGUGAUCUCCGAACCCCACACCGCCCAAGGAUUAGGAAUGAGCGGCUCCCUUACGUUUACACAAUAAUUUGUCAUCUGAAUAGUGUUCCAAAACCGACUAGGAAUAGAAUCAUAAGCUACCAUAGGUUCAGCAAUAAAAAUCAAAGUAGGAUUAUUAGCAUGGUACAUAUCGUUAAGAGCUACACGUGAGUCAUUGUUACCAAUACCCCGAAUGUUCCAGAAAAGAACCUUCAUUGAGAUGUCGGGAGGGGACCCUGUGAACGGGUUUGAUAACCAGCAGCCUUGUCGGCAGCCUUGUGAAGCCUGGCCAAUUUCUUUUUCUGAGAUUUAGUAACCACUGGUGAAAAAGGAACUUCCUCAUUGACCGCUGCCUUGUCCAACCAUGAUUGCAUAAAAUCCAUUUCUCGCCUCAAUGUGGGAUGCACCGUCGUGGCCGGAUUAGCUGCUAUUGUACUGACAUCUAACUCUCGCACGGGAGAUAAAACUGGCUCAUGAUACGUAAGGUCAUUCCUAGCCACAAUAUCAAACGUAUUGACAAGCGGAAUGCUAUAGGAAGUCUGAUUACUAUCUUGCUGAACUGUAACAUCUGGAUGAGGCUGCUGGCAUGAUACCUCUUCUUGCUGAUCCGUGUCUAUUACCAAUGGAAUUGUAGCAUCAAUAUCAUGUUGCUCAAGUGCAAGCUCAACAGCCGGAAUGGCAGUAAUGUCCAGCGCGGGUUGAGCAUCUGUCACAACUAACGGCAAUAUUUCCUGAGGUGUGGGCACGGCCGAAGGUUCCUGUUGUGAUAUCUGUUGUUGCUGUCCUCUAGAGGGCGUCGGCGGAACUGACUCAUGCGGUUCAGCAAAGGCCAGAGAAGAGCCAAUCCCAGUGGGAUUUUCUUUUGUAGGGACCCAUGUUUUUUUGAUAGAAGGAACCGGUUUUUUGCCCUGUGCAAUAUUCUCCUUAUGGGCAUUGCUUUCCUUACGGGGAUAUAGCCAGCGGCACGCGGAAACGUCAUGUCCUAUGUUCUGGCAGUGGGUACAAAAAUCAGGCAGCCAUUCAUACGCCACCUCAACAUUGAAUGCAUAACCUUCUCUCUCAACAGUGAUCUCAUGGAACAUUUUUCUUGAGAAGUCCAUAUCAACAAGAAUGCGGGCAUAAUGGCCGUAAAGACGUUUGGUAGUAGCGUUAUCAAUAAUAAGUGGGGUGCCCACUGCACAAGCAAUUUCACGUAGCGUCCUAUCCAUCCAAUACUCCUGAGGAAGCUCUAAGAGUCGGAUCCACACUUGAGCAUGAGUAUUACGUUGUGUGUGCAUAUUAAAAUCUUUUUUCCAUUCAAACAAGCAAAGAACACCCAGCUUCAAAUUGAUCGUUCCCAUCGCCCAUGCCAAGCGCAAAUCUGCUUCAGUAGAGAAAAAGAAUUCAUAGAAUCCCCUUCCCAAGGACGUCAUGGACCAAGCCCCAUUAGUAUUCCAUUGAUUCUGAAGUUUGGAAUAUAUGUCCUUGGUGGUGUAGGGUUUAUCGCCCUUAUUUAGAACUAGGCGACCACGAAGAUUACGUUUACAAAAGGCCAUACCCUUCUCAUAAACGGACUGAGAUAUGUGAACGCUUACGUUAUCACAACUCCUCAUAAAAAUCAUAUAAACCACCUCAAUCGUAAAAAUCGCAUAAAUCACAUAUAUAAUAUAUAAAUAUAAUAUAAACUCAUCUAAAAUAACUCUAGACUCAAUUAAAUAGUUAAAUAAUUCGAAAUGGGCGUUGCAGGAGUCGCCCGGAAAACGUCCCCUAUACCGUUAGGGGACGUUUUUCUUAGUUCUGGCAACAUUUUUCGAUUGUUGUUAAAAAGGAUAAAUGGUGUAGUGAUAACAAGAUAUCACUUAUAAAAAUAAAUCGACUAAAUUAUAAAAAGACAUCUAAACUCAAUAAAAUAAAUAAAUAAUAAAAUAGGGUGUUACAACAAGGGUAUCAUUGUCUUACGUUAGUUCCCAAUGUCAUCAUCAUAUGUUAUUUUGUAUUGAAUACGAUAUUAUGAAUGAAAUUAGUUAAUUUGGUUUAUGUUAAAAACAAAGAAAAAAAUAUUAACGUUGGUGUCAUUAAAAAAACAAUUUAGAUUAUAUUUAUUUGUUAUAUUGUUGGUGUCAUUGAAAUAGAUAAUCAUGGUUAGUUUGAUGUGUUAUAAUUUGAAAGCAACAAAAAUUUAUAUUUUUAGUUUUAAUGAAAAUCAAAAUUUGAUACAAAAACAUACCGUUCAAAAUUAUCAAAUGUUAGCGUAAUAAAAAGAGCUGAAUUUUUCAUUACCUAUUCUACCCUUCAUUUUUAUUUACUAUUUUAUCCUUCAAUAAUAAUAUUUUAAAUUUUUAUUUAAAAAAUUAAGUCCCAUUAAAAUAGGAAAUAUACCACUUAAUAGGAAAAAUAUUAUAUAUGAAGGAGAUAGGGAUUUUGGCCUUAAAUUUUUAUAAUUUCAAUUAUAUUUUUAAACAAAUUUUUUUAUAUUAAUUUAAUAUUGAAGUUGGAAUUAAAAAUUAUAAUGUCUUAUAUUAUAUUUGUUAAAUUACUAUUGUUAUCGAAGAAGAUAAGCAUUGAUUUGAAGGUUGGAGUGCUAACCUAUAGUACAGAUAUUUGCCGUACACUUUAGCCUUUUCAUUUUUCAAAAGAGCACGGUUAAACUAUUUUUUAUAUUUUGCCCCAUUAUAUAAUGAAAGGCCAGAAAAUAAAAAUAAAAUAUAGGAAAAGAAUUAAAGGUUGCCCUUGGAUUGAUUUAGCGAGCUAAACAUCAAUUUUUUUAUAAAUCAACUGGCGAAAAGACGGGCACGUGUUUUUACUGUGCGCUAACGUUUGAAAAUUAUUAACGAUGUUUUAUUUUAUGAAAUUUUGAUUUUGAUUAAAACUAAAAGUAUAAAUGUUUGUUGUUUUCAAAUUAUGACUAAUCAUGAUUAUUUAUUUCAAUUAUACCAACAAUAUAACAACAACAAAAAAUCUGAAUUCUUGUUUUUAAUGACAUCAUCAACAAUCUUUAUUAUAGAAAAAGUUGUUUAAGGGUAUAUUUGAGAUAAUGAUAAAAUUAGUAUAAGUAUACUAAUCUAAUUUGUUACACUUUUUAAAUGAUAAAGGAAAAAAAACCACACAUAUUAUAUUAUAUAUAUAUAUAUAUAUAUAUAUAUAUAUAUAUUCAUAUCGUGUUUGUAACAUUUUUUUUUAAUAUUUAAAUUUACUUUUAUCUAUUUGUUACUAUUGUUAUUUGUAUUCAAAAUUGAAGGCGUUUUUGGAAAGAAAAAUUCAAUCCAAAAGAGUUGAGAGGGGUAGUUAUAUAUAUAUAGUAUAGAUAAAUAUUUUUUUCUUUAUAGAUCAUAGGAUACAAAACUUAAAUUUGAUCAAUAAAUUUCUAUUUGUUAGAUACAAUCUAAAGUGAUUAAUAAAUUUCUAUUUAUUGCAGGCUUAGGAGAAUCAAUAUGCCAGAAAUGAUUCAAUUUGAUUAUUUAAUGAUUCUCUUCAUUUUCUUAAUUUUUGUUGUAACUAACAUUAUGGGUAAACCAUUUUUGUUUCUUUUGAACUUUUCUUUUUUUGAGAAAUUGUUUUGAACUCCUUUAUUGUUUAAAAAUAGUUUACCCCUAUCAAAUGAUAUUUGUUUAUUUUUUUAUAUAACAGCAUGGAGGCCGGACUGCAAGGAGAAUAAUGACUGUCCAACAUUUUAUUGUGCAACUUGGAUAAAUACAUGCAUCAAAUUUAAAUGUUAUUGUAUUCGUCCAUGGGGUUGAUAUUGUAACUUUAAAGAAAGUUAAAAGCUCAGCUGAUAUAAUGAUUAUAUGGUCAUUGAUGUGAUCAUCUUUAGAGGUAAAUAAAGUCAUGGUUAUUUAAAACUAGAGUCGGCACUCACGUGUCAGUCCCUCUGUUUUUUCUACUGCGCUUAUGUAUAUGCUUGAAUAUAUAUCAUGCCAUACACAAAUAUAAUAUUAUUUUUUUUUGGUCAAGACAAAUAUAAUUUAUUUAACACCAUAUAGAAGAAUACCAUAUAAAGGAGUAUUUUUUUAUAAAUUAAAUGGAUCCUUAGACAAUAUCACAGCAGUAAGGUUCAAUCCAUACAAAACUCCUCACUACAACACACAUGGACUCCAUCAGUAACUAGGCAUUACUAAAGCUAAUUCUUUUCAAGUAAUACACAUUUUUAACUUAAGCAGGUCAUGACAUCCAUUUGUGAAGAUUGCAAGAGCCACAAACUAUCGUUAAAUUUUUAAAAUAAGUGCUUAAAUCGUGUUCUGAAAUGGAAGUACUUACUACAUGUAUAAACACAACACAAUUUAAAGGAAACAUAAUAUUUUAACUAUAUAUUUUCAAUGAUUGUUCAACCUAAUUCAAGCAAUUCAAAUUUUAAUCAUUCAUCACACAUGCAUAGAAAAAAAAAACUUGCAUCUUUCCAAGUUCCAACUAAUUAGCUAAUGAAAAAGUUCCAACUAAUUUUAAUCAUUUCAUUUACUCGGGUUUUUAUCUUGUGAUUUUUAUGUUGCAGAUUGCUUUAGCUUAUGCUGAAGGUACUGAUGCAAUGAAAGUGACAUAGGAAUAAAUAAAACAAUAAAAAGAUCACAAAACACUUACUUUCUAAAAUAACACACUUGGAAACGUAAAAGUAAAAACACCAUCCAAAUUUUCUUAUAGAAUAGAAGUAUAAGGGACAAUUUUUGUUUCAUUAAACCUGCCGGAAAAAAAAAAAAAAAAAACUGAAAUUUUACCAAUUUUACUCUACAUAAUGUAUAGCUGCAAAAUUUAGUAUGAGAAUAGACCGGCAAUGACGACAUGGAUCACUUGGUCACUUUGGCACUCCAUGGUUUGUCUCAAAUACUUUUCAUGGCCACAUUUUUAGAACCCGAAUUUCGUAGCCCUGCAUCUUAAUUAAACGACAUACCAACUCAAUCUCAUUUGCUAAGAAAAUGAAGGAAAGAAAGUCAGCAUCAACAUUGAAUUGUACUCCCCAUGAUGACAUUAAGCCAACAUGAAAGGCUUCAACCUUCAAGAAAAAGAUAAUUAUUGAUUUUGUCCAUGGGAAGAUAGACAACCAAAAUGGGAGAUCAAAUUUUGUCACAAAAAUAUUGGAUGUUAUAAACGGAUAUAUUCACUAAGGUUCCUCAUAUUCAUUUAUCUGUCAAUACAACCGCACAGUGUGUGCAACACCGCUACCAUCGAAACAGAAUCUCGACUGCUGUAGCGAUACGAUCUGUCACUUAGAAUAUUCAACCUUUUGGUUUCUCAACUGCAUUCGCGUUCUGGGCAGUAGUUUCUAUCAACAUAUGAAGAAAAAGAGCAAGUUAACUAAUUAGAAGUAUUUGCAUUUGCAUUUCAUUUCUAACUGUAAUUUCAUUUGCAUCUAGUUAGUUAGAAUAGUGAUGAGCUGGCACUAAUGUGUAUAUAACUGAAUGUAAUGAACCUUUACAAGUCAAUGAAAAUCAGUUACAAGUUUUCUUCAUUUGAAGCUUUUUCUCUCUUAACCAUGGUGGUUUAUUCUUCUCUGAUGGUAUCAGAGCAAGUUCAAGCUUGCUCUGCUUCCGCAAUUGCUACUACUCUGUUUUCCUCUGUUUGAUUACGUGUUUCUUCCAUUAGAACACGAAUCAUUUUCUUCUUCUUCUUCUGGUUUUUUGUUGCAGUUUCUUCUUCGUUUCAAGUUUCAAUCUUGAUUCGUUUUCUUUCAAUUUGAUUUUUUUUUCAAUCAAUUUUGUUAGUUUUUGAGUUUUUUUUUGGUGAAUCAUGGUGAGAAACAACAAUAAUCAGAAUCAGGAUCAAGGUCUUGAUCCAUAUUUUGUGCAUCCAUCUGAAAAUUCUUCAACCGUUAGUGUUACACCGCAGUUGAAUGGCGAUAACUAUCAUGCUUGGUCUAUGAAGAUGCGAAGAGCUCUAGCUAUGAAGAACAAGUUCAAAUUUGUCGAUGGUACUAUCCCCAUUCCUGAUGAUGAUGAAUUGAAUCGAAGUGCUUGGGAAAGAUGCAAUAAUCUUGUUCAUACAUGGAUUAUCAACUCAAUUACACCUUCUAUUGCACAAAGUGUAGUAUUCAUAGAAAAUGCGAUAGAUAUGUGGAAUGAUUUGAAAGAUCGUUUUAUGAGAGGUGAUAGAAUUAGGGUUGCUCAAUUGCAUCAAGAAAUUGCUAAUUUGAAGCAAGGCAAUCAUAAAAUCACAGAUUACUUUACUGAACUGAGGGGUCUAUGGGAAGAAUUGGAGCAAUAUAGGCCAAUGCCUCAGUGUAACUGUCCUAUUACUUGUACUUGUGCUGCUAUGAGGUAUGCUAAAGAGUUUAGAUUGGAAGAUAGAACUAUACAGUUCUUAAUUGGAUUGAAUGAGGAAUAUCAAGGAGUGGCUUCUCAGGUUUUACUUAUGGAUCCAAUGCCACCAAUCAAUAGGGUUUUUUCAAUGGUUAUGCAACAGGAAAGGAAAAUGCAAUAUGGUGUUAUCAAUGUUCAGAAUACACCAUUAGAGGAUACUACAAGUAUUGUAAAUGCAGUGAAUGGUCAAAAACAGUUUGGCAGAGGUAGAGGAAAUGGGUCUUCUCAAGGAAGAGGAAGAGGUAAUGGAAGAUUUUGUACCUUUUGUGAAAGAACUAAUCACACAGUGGAAACUUGUUACAAGAAGCAUGGAUACCCUCCAAACUGGGGAAGAGGUGGAGGAAAUUCCUAUGCUAAUAUGAUUGAUGGAGAUGAUGUAGAGAGUAAAAUGCAGACUGCAUCAACUAGCAGGAAUGAAGAAAGUGCAGGGGUCACUCUUACUAAGGAUCAAUAUCAGAAUCUGAUGUCUCUAUUGGAAAAGAGUAACCUUGAGACAAAGUGUUCAGCAAAUGUUGUGAAAGGUAUCAAUUACUCUUCAUUUAUUGGAGGUAAUUCAUGUUUUGCUAAUUUUGAUGAUAAGCAUGCUGAUACUGGAUGGAUUAUAGAUACAGGAGCUACACAUCAUACAUGUUUUGAUUUGAAAUGGUUCAGUAAUUGUACUAAAAUUGAACCUAUGAGUGUAAAUUUACCAAAUGGAAAUACUACACUAGCACAUUGUAGAGGGCAGAUAAGAUUAUCACAGGAAUUGAGCAUAGAUAAUGUUCUCUAUUUGCCUCAAUUUGCUGUGAAUCUUAUUUCUGCUUCAAAGUUGAUUAAAGAGCAAAAUUGCAUUUUGCAUUUUGAAGCUAAUGAGUGUACAAUACAGGAAAAGAACAGUUUGAAGAAGAUUGGUUUAGCUGAAGAGAGACAUGGUUUAUACUACUUGAAGAUUGAUGAGAAGCACAAUCAAGUUUCAGUGUCUAAUGUGGCUGCUUUAGCAAAUUCAAAUAAAGAGCAUGUUCCAGAUGGAAUCUUGUGGCAUCUCAGACUUGGUCAUCUAUCAAAAGAUAGAAUGAUGUGUAUGAAUAAGCUGUAUAGCUAUAUUUCUACUAGUCCACACACUGCUUGUGAUGUAUGUCAGAUGUGUAGACAGAAAAUUUUACCCUUUCCUGUUAGUAAUAAGAAUGCUAAAGCUGCUUUUGAGCUUGUUCAUUUUGAUAUUUGGGGACCAUUUGGUACAGCUUCUGUCCAUGGUCACAAAUAUUUUCUUACUAUUUUAGAUGAUUGUACAAGGCAUAUUUGGGUUGUGAUGAUGAAUAAUAAAUCUGAAGCUUCUCAGAAAGUAAAGAGUUUUAUUUCUAUGGUUGAAAGACAAUUUGACUGCAAAGUCAAGAAAGUUAGAAGUGAUAAUGGACCAGAAUUCAUGUUGAAAGAGUUCUAUGAUGAAAAAAGGAAUAAUUCACCAAAGAAGUUGUGUGUAUACUCCACAACAAAAUGGGAGAGUGGAGAGAAGACACCAACACAUACUCAAUAUCAGUAGAGCCCUUAUGUUCCAGUCAAAAUUGCCUAAGAAGUUCUGGUCAUAUGCUGUAUUACAUGCAGUUUAUUUGAUUAAUAGAAUUCCCACUAAAAUUUUGAACAACAAAUCUUCUUAUGAAGUGUUGUAUGGUGAAGUACCAGAUUUGAGUAAUCUCAAAGUUUUUGGAUGCUUGAGUUAUGCAUCCACCUUACCAGUUAACAGACACAAAUUUGAUUCAAGAGCUAAGAAAUGUGCUUUCUUAGGAUACAAGUCAGGUAUCAAAGGUUUUGUCCUUGUGAAUGUCCAUACUUCUGAAAUAGUUGUUUCCAGGAAUGUGAAAUUUUUUGAUCUGGAAUUUCCUUUCCAUUCCUCUAGUGUUACUACAGUUCCCUCUACACAUAUUUACCUUGAUAGUCAAGUUACUAACAUUGUGCCUGUUAAUGACAUUAUUGUGAAUUCUUCUGAAGAUCAUGAUGAGGUUCCUCAUGAAGAUUCACUUAUUGAUACUGAAGAAAGGGAUGAUGAAGUGGAGCCUGUAGCCACCAGAAAAUCCUCCAGAAGUUCUCAAUCACCAGUUUACUUACAAAAUUAUGUCUGUAAUUCAACAAGUGGUCAUUACCCUAUGACAAAUUUUGUUAGUUAUUCAGCUUUAUCUCCUAAACACCGUACUUAUGCUUACUCUUUGAAUACUGAGAUUGAGCCCACUAGUUAUCUUUCAGCUAGUAAAGAUUCUAGGUGGUUAACUGCUAUGCAGACAGAGAUAGAGGCUCUUAAUGCAAAUAAUACUUGGGAAUUUGUUGAUCUUCCUUCAGAUGCUGUAUCCAUAGGUAGUAAAUGGGUAUAUAAGAUCAAAAGACAUGCAGAUGGUACCAUAGAACGUUUCAAAGCACGUUUGGUUGCUCAAGGUUUUAAUCAAACUGAAGGGCUUGAUUAUUUUGAAACAUUCUCCCCUGUUGCCAAGUUAUCCACCAUUAGGGUAUUGCUUGCUCUUGCAUCUAUUCAUGGUUGGUAUUUGCAUCAACUUGAUGUCAAUAACGCCUUCUUGCAUGGAGAUUUACAUGAAGCAGUAUAUAUGAAAGUCCCUCAAGGUGUUACUCCUCCCAAACCUGGACAAGUUUGCAAGCUCCAGAAAUCCCUUUAUGGUCUUAAGCAAGCAAGUAGGCAAUGGUUUGAGAAGCUUACUCAGUUUCUUUAUGCUCAGGGAUUCACUCAAGCUAAUGCAGAUCACACAUUAUUUACUAAAAUCACUGCUACUUCCUACACUGUGGUUUUGGUUUAUGUGGAUGACAUUAUUUUAGCAGGAACAUGUCUGCAGGCGUUUGAUUCAUUGAAACAAGCUCUUAACAAUGCUUUUCGCAUCAAGAAUUUAGGGGAACUUAAAUUCUUCUUAGGAUUGGAAGUAGCACGUUCCUCAAAAGGCAUUUCUCUCUGUCAACGCAAAUACUGUCUGGAGCUUCUUGAUGAUGCUGGCUUGACUGGUUGCAAACCAGUUUCUACUCCUCUUGAUCCUUCUAUACGUUUAUCUCAAGAUACUGGGUCUCUUCAUGGUGAUGUCACUGGUUAUAGACGUUUAGUUGGAAGACUGCUAUAUCUCACCACCACACGCCCUGAUAUAGCUUUUGCAGCACAACAAUUGAGUCAAUUCAUGGCUUCUCCAACUGAAUUGCAUUACAAAGCAGCUCUUAGAGUUUUGAGAUAUUUAAAGCGCUCUCCUGGACGUGGUUUAUUUUUCUCUAAAUCCUCUGAGCUUCAAUUGCUUGGUUUCAGUGAUGCAGACUGGGGAGGGUGUGUAGACACUCGUCGUUCCAUUUCAGGGUAUUGUUUCUUCAUUGGCCAGUCUUUGGUUUCCUGGAAAUCAAAGAAGCAACCAACUGUUUCAUGUUCCUCUGCUGAAGCAGAAUACAGGGCUUUAGCUUCGGCUACUAGAGAGCUUCAAUGGUUGUGUUUCAUUCUUCAUGAUUUGAAGCAAGCUCCUUCACGUUUACCUGUACUCUACUGUGAUAACCAGAGUGCACUUCACAUAUCAGCUAAUCCAGUGUUUCAUGAACGCACCAAGCACUUAGACAUUGAUUGUCAUCUAGUACGUGAAAAGAUUCAAGCUGGAGUUAUGCGUUUGUUACCAGUCACCUCCCAACAUCAAACAGCUGACAUGUUUACCAAGGCUUCUGGUCCACGACAAUUUCAUGCAUGCAUGCUCAAACUAGGGAUGGUAGAUAUCUACCAACCACCAGUUUGCGAGGGGGUAUCAACAUAUGAAGAAAAAGAGCAAGUUAACUAAUUAGAAGUAUUUGCAUUUGCAUUUCAUUUCUAACUGUAAUUUCAUUUGCAUCUAGUUAGUUAGAAUAGUGAUGAGCUGGCACUAAUGUGUAUAUAACUGAAUGUAAUGAACCUUUACAAGUCAAUGAAAAUCAGUUACAAGUUUUCUUCAUUUGAAGCUUUUUCUCUCUUAACCAUGGUGGUUUAUUCUUCUCUGAGUUUCUGCUGUGUUGUGAUCCUCUCCCUAUGCAGUACUCAGUUGCAUUGCUCAUCUAAAAGUGAUAGGGAAAACUAAGAUAUAAAAGUUGAAUGAACAGAGGUACAGACCCACGUUGGUGUUUGUAUUUUACUUGUUGCACCUUACCCUAGUAAAAAAAUCGGUGUGAUGUCUCUUGUUCCCUAUCUCACUGUCUAGGUCACUCCUCCCCGAUAAUAAUGAAGGUGAUGACAGACCAUCUUACGUUACUCUUAGCAUGUUUUUCAGUUAUUUUCAGUAUGUUUUAACAACAAAAAGGAGGAGUAUUAGAACAAUUGCCUAUAAUUUUGGGAGUUUUGUAAUGUUUUCUAUAUUUGAGUAUGUAAUUAUAGUUUUCUUGAAACAUAGUGUAACGCCCU